RNAcentral lists this long non-coding RNA (90934 nucleotides) under Ananas comosus (pineapple). Its description in RNAcentral is "long non-coding RNA (ACOM_LNC003253)". The record is from RNAcentral. Lineage: Eukaryota; Viridiplantae; Streptophyta; Magnoliopsida; Poales; Bromeliaceae.
GACUACUCCGGAGCUCACUGCCUGGGGGGAGCGACCACCACCAAGCUAAGAAACAGACUAUGUGAGUAAGAUCUGAUCCUCCUUCAGAGGAUUCACAACAACUGACAAUGCCACAAGUAACUCUGACUAGUUCUUUAUGCUAGUUUCACAAUUCCAUUUUUUGAUGCUAACUAAAUCUCUAGUUAGAAUGUCACCGAAUUUACUAUUAUCAUAGUCCACAGUAAAAUUCACACAUUUAUAGGGUUCUAUGUUCAUAUUCUAUGGCCCACAUGUUCUUUACAUUAACAUAAAUUCAAUUGCACAAUAACACUUUUCCCUAUAAUGCAUGAAUAUGAUACAAUUCACAUAAAUAGAUAUGCUCAAUAGAAUAGCAUAGACAUAAAGAGAGAUUCGAUGACUUCGGAUAGCACCACCCACCUGUAGUGGUGUUAAUCAACUAGAAUCCACGUUUCAGAAAGCGUCGACGACUAUCUCUCGCGACUCCGUGCAAAUAGAACUAGAACGGCCGCUACCGUAAUUAGCGCGUCGUCGACCUGUCGGAAAGUCAAUUUAGACUCUUGGGCAUGUUUACUUUUUACUUAUAAAGGAUUAGAAAAGGUUAAACUAGAGUCAAUACUCAUAUUUUACAAAUUAGCAUUUCAAUGCUAUAUAAAACGGCAACUAUAGCCGAAAAACUUCUUUUGGCGAUAUCUUUGCGUAGGUUCGUCGGAUUGCCGAACCGACUUCGCCAACGCGUUUCUUUUACCCUCAAUUUGGUUUACACGCGGUCAAUUUCGCAUUAGGACUCUUACUUUGCAAAAGUGCAUUGCCGGGGUCAAUUUCUAUAAAAACCCCGUUUUUAUCGAAAUCCUAACUUAUUUUCGAUCUCUCUCUUUCUUAAUUCUUUCUUUUCUCUCUGGCUUUCUUUCUUUUCUUCCUUUCUUUCUUUUCUUCUUUUCUUUCUUUUCUUUUCUUCCUUUCUUUCUUUUCUUCCUUUCUUUCUUUCUUUUCUUUCUUUUCUUUCCUGCUGUUGCUGCGCAUGCUGCUGCUGCUGCUAAGCUGCUGCUGCUAGCUGCUGAGGCUGUUGCUGCUGCUGCUGCUGCUGCUAGCUGCUGCUGAGGUUGCUGCUGCUGCUGAGGCUGCUGCUGCUGUGCUGCUGCUGCUGCUGAUGGCUGCUGCAGCUGCUGUUGCUGCUGCUGCUGCUGCUGCUCAGCAGCUGGCUGAGCAGCUACUGCAGCAGCUGCUGCUGCAGCAGCUUGCUGCUGCUGCUGCUGAUCCAGCAGCUGCUGCUGCUCGCUGCUCUAGCAGCAGCUGCUGAUGCUACUGCUGCUGCUUCAGCAGCAGCUUGCUGCUGCUGUUCCUGCUCACAGCAGCAGCAAGGGCUGCUGCUGCUGCUGUUACUACAGAGAGAGAGGGAUGAGAGGGAGAGAGGUAAAACCUACCUCUUUUCUUCUUCUUCUAUUUCUUCUUCUUCUUCUCUUUUCUUCUCCUUUCUCUUCUUUUCUUUUCUCUUCUUUUCUCCUUCUCUCUCUCUACGUAUGGCAGCAAGGAGAGGGGAUAAGGAUGGAGGGGGGGGCUGCCUGGCAGGUUUAGUGGAAAUCGACUAAGGCAUAGGUUAAUUACCAUAAUGCCCCUCGACUUAUCCGUUUAGCCGCGCGGAUUAAAUACCUUUCGUAAGCCCUUCCGAAAGUUCGAUUGAGCUCAAAUUUGACAGACAUGUUCGUUUUUACUUAACAAGUCCACNGUGACACCCCAAUAGUCCCACAUCGGAUGGGAAUGGGGUUAUCAUUGGGUUUAUAAGAGACUUAGACACUAGUAAUAAUAACUGGGCUUAAGCAUUUUGGGCCGGUUGUUGGGCCCAACGAGUUAUUAUUGCUAGUGGGCUGGGUCGUUACACAAAACAAGGAUCAAAGGAUAAAAUCAAGUACUAACCUUUCUAGGUGCCUCAAAACAAGCUCCAAAUCUUCUAGGGUUGAAGAUUGGUCCACCACCAAGCCCUACAAGCAAGCUCCAAGCCUUGCAAGAGUGGAAAGAAGAGAAAAGGGGUUGAGCUCCAAGCUCCCUCAGGCAAGCUCCUCUUCUUCUUCUCCUCCUUCUUCUUCUUCUCUCUCUAGAAAGUGUAGGGAGAGGGUGAGAAAUGAGGAGGGAAGAGAGUGAAAGGGUCAUAUAGACCAUUUAGAGCAACAAAAUCCAGAGAGGCCCCUCAAAAAUUCAAAUUUGCAUCAGCCCGGACUGGGCAGUUUUUGCCCAGAGGGACCGGUCUCUCCUUGCAAGGGACCAGUCUCUCGUGUCGAACCCGAGAAACCAACGUUCGGGAACCGGUCUCUCCCCGCGCGGGACCGGUCUCUCACUGCGUAGACGCGCUCGGGGACCGGUCUCGCCCGCCAGGGACUGGUUGCCUCGCCGGCUGCGCAACACUGUUCACUGGAGGACCGGUCUCUCCUAGCAGGGACCGGUCUCCGAGAGUGAAAACUCUCAGGACUCGUCCAGAACUCAGGUUUUCAAACUUUUUGGAUCGAAAAACAUUCUACGACCCUCCACCAAGUGUGGAAAAGCUUGAAAUACAUCCAAUCACUCGAACCUCGCAAUUUGCAAAGGUCCAGUGUGUUACAAGUUCUCACCCCACUAUUCCAGAGUCGGGACCGAGCGAGCCGACGAGCGAUCGGGGUAAAGGUAUCGCACCAUAGUCAGAGGCCACCAGAGUCGGGUUAUUUCAUAUUUUGUUAGUUUACCCUUUUAUCAUCUUUUGUAUUUGAUGAUUUAAGAUGUUAAUGUAUAAAGCGAAGAAAGAAAAGAAUGUAAUGUUUAUUUUAAGCCAAUGUGAUGUAAAAGAAAUGAUGCAAGCAAUAUAAAGAAUCAUGAAUGUACAACUUGGAUGAAGUGGAUGCAUGUAUGUGAUCAAAAGUUGAAUUAUAAUACUUGUGUAGAUGUUUAGUUCCCUUUCUUUCACUCAUGGCUAUUGCUUAUCCUCGUGUAAGCCGUUUGUGUAUAUUUCUGCUAGUGCACUUCAUUUUUUGAAAAUGUACAUAUGAUGAGCCUUGGGCGGACAGGAGAAACUCUGUCCGUUCGGCGUUUGUUUGACGUGCUCGGGCCGGCCCAAAUUGGUAUCGGUCGCGGGGCGUGACAUCUAAAGUGUCAUAUUUGAGUAUAUGUAUGUAUUGACCAUAUUGUAUAGUAGGGUUACUUGUGAGCUUCUCAUUGCAUAUUGUGAGUUCAAAUGCAUGAGAAAUACUAGUAAGAAAGUGAGAAUUUAUAAACUCUAUGCAUGCAUGAUAAAUGAUGAGAACUUAGUAGACCUAACUUAGUAGACCUAGAAAACAAAUGUGACAUGUGGACAUGAAUGUAGAGAGUGGCAUUGUUGAGUCAAGAAUGCUAGAAUUGAACACUUAGAGAACAUGUGUGGCAUGUGUGUGCGAGUACAAAGUAGUAUAUAUGACACUAGCGAAAGUAAAGAAUGCAAGUAAAGGAGUGAUUGUGACAUUAUGAUAUAACAACCUUCGAGUUAAGGGUCAUAUGUAGAUUGUUUCCUUAUAGUUAUGGAUUGAACUUGACAUCUUUAUCGUUAUGGAUUGGAUCAUACUCACCUGUAAGUCCUUACUCGAGGGCGGUAGCUUCCCCUCGGGCGAUGUGCUCCGGAGUUGUCAUUACUGAAAAGUGGAAUCUCUAGAGGACGGUCCUAUCGGGCGUAGUAGUCUCCCCGAUACUUGAGAUUUGAGUUGGUGAGUCUAUUGAGGGCGAAACCCACGGGCUAGCCUAGAGAUUGGGAAUCGAAAAUGUGACCUUGCAUUCAUCAUGAGUAUUCUAUCGAGCAUCGCAUUCUUUAUUGUUUAGGCAUAUUAGCUGCAUUUGUUUAGUUGGUUACUAUCUGUCUGUUCUUCUAUUAUGCCUGAUUUAGAUCUAGUGGGAAAGUCGGCGUGGUUGGUUGCCGAACCUACUGGGAACUUUGUUGUAGUUCUCACACCCCACCUUCCACAGAGUCAGGACCGAGCGAGCCGUCAUACGACCGCGGUAAAGGGAUCACGCCCUAGAUAGAGACCACCCGAGAUGGUUUCAUAUUUUGUAGUUGCAUUUCCUUUAGUAUCAUCUUUUGUAUUUGAUGAUUCUAGAUGCUUAAGAGAAUGAUGUAAAAGAUAUUUAUUUCCAAUGUCAAAGGUUGUAUUUUGGAGAAUGAGAUGUAAAAAGAUAUGAUGAAAAAGAAUGUAAAAGGACUUGAUGAAAGUAGUAUGCAUAUAUAUGAUUUAAAGUUAAUUAUUGUACUUGUAUGUUGAGUAGUUAGAUCUUUCAUUUUGGCUAUUGCUUGCCCUCGUGCAAGCCAUUAUGUUUGCUUCCGUAUGUGUAAUUUUUAUACCCUAUUUGUACUUGUUGUUGAGUCUUUGGUGGACAGGGGAGGUGUUGUCCGUUUGGUGUCUGUUCGACGGGUCCGAUCCGGCCAAAUAGGACCGAGUUCGGGGCGUGACAGAUAUAAUGGUAUCAGAGAGUAAAGUGCCUAAAGUGAAAGUAUAGGAUAGACCUAGAGACUUUUAGUGUAAGGAAGUGAAUUCUCAAAAUUCGAGAGUUGGACUUCGCUCAAAAUCGAUUAUUUGUCGAGUGGGUAUGCUUCGAAAAGCCGAAGAAGUCGAAAACCCGAAAAAUGCAUUGCAACAGAUCCACGAGAGCAAGUUGUGCAAAAGUCUGCACUUGGCAGAUUUUGCUCUCGGGGACCGGCCCCUGGUGGGAGAGACCGGUCCCCGUAAGUUGAAGCUGCGAUAGAAAAUCUCUGCUCACAAGUUUUGCUCUCGGGGACCGGUCCCUACCAGGAGGGAUCGGUCCCCAUAAGCGUUGUGAGCGGCAUAGAAGGUCUGCGCGCAAAGAUUGCUCUCGAGGUCCGCCGGUCCCUCAAGUGGGGAUCGCUCCUUGAAGGUCCGGUCCCUUAGGCGAGGACCGGUCCCUGUACGCGUAGAAACUGGCUGAGAGCCUCUGCCCGCAAGAAAGGCUCUCGGGGACGGGUCCCUCUAGGGACAGACCGGUCCUCGAGGGACAGACCGGUCCCCGAGCACGAAAAUUGCCCAGUCUGGGCAGUGUGAAAGAAGCAAAAUUGAGGGGCUUGGAUGUAAUUAUUGCAUUAGUUAGGGGUAUAGAGGGGAGAUCACCCCCUCUCCCUCCCAACCCUCUCUCCCUCUCUCUCUCUAAGCUCUCUCUCCCUCUCUCUUGAAGUGAAGAAGGAGAAGAAGGGAAAGAAGGAGAGAAAGAAGGAGAAGAAGGAGAAGCAAGCUAGAGAAGGCCUUGGUCUUCUUCUUCUUCUUCCUCUCACCAUUGGAGCAAGCUUAAGAGGUAAACUUCUAAGCCCUACAAUGGUAGAAACCUAUGGUUUGGAUUUCUUGCUCUAGAAAUGGUUUGAUUAGAACUCUAGCAUGCUUCAUAGAGGUUUAAAGCUUAAAUCUAGAGUUUGAUUGGGAUAGUUUGCUAUAGAGAUGCAAACCCAGGGCUCCAAAUUGAGGUUUUGCUUAAUAGUGAGGUUUGAUCUCAAUUGUUGGCAUCUAAACCUAAUUGCUAGGUGCCUAAACGCGUUGGCGAAGACGGAUUGAGCAUUCGUCGAGUCGUUGAAAAGUUAUCAGCAAAACAAGACCGAUUGGGCUUCGUUUCCGCCUUGGAGGCCGAGACGGCAUCGAAGCAACUGCCGAAUAGCGUUCUUAGCGCCCCGACAUCGUCGAAAGGUGGGUGGUGUCAUCCCGAAGCAACCGGGUUCCUCUCUAUGUCUUAGUAUACCAUGAUUUCGCAUCUCUUGCAUGUUGCAUUGUAUUCCAUCCCUUAUGCUUUCUAAUUGAUAUCAUAGUGUGAGUUGAAUACUCGGUAUUAUGGAUAGAUGAGGAUUGGGUCUUGACGUUGAAUUCUAUAGUGCCGAGGAAAAGAGAUGGACUCGAUAGUUUCCUAAUGACAUAAUGAGUGGCAUGUGAUUGACAAAUGAACAGAACGAGUGGCAUAUAAUGUAGUGUACAAUGACACUAGUGACAUAUGAACUUAGAGAUAGGUGGACUCCCUAGUGAUGACUCAUUGAACAAAGAACAUAGUGUAGUUAAACAUUUACACAUGGACAUUGGGAUAGGUGGAUUCCUGAGUGACUACUAGCCCUAGUUGAUAGGGUAUCCUCGAGUUGAGAGGAUGGAUCAUACUCACAGUCUGUUUAUACUUGUGGUGGUCGCGCCACACAAGUCGUCGUGCACUCCGGAGUUUGGCGCGAGAGGGGCAGAGUUGAUGUCCCUCAGACGGUCCCUGGUUUGAGAGCGAGGUGAGUCUCUUUACCAUACGGGAUGGCGAGGUGAGUCGAAGGCGAACCCAAGGGAUCGCCAAGGAUUGGAUAAACAAGAGAAUAUCACUGUCAUUGAACAUUUGCUUAUUGGACAUUGUAGUGGACAUAGUGGCAUGUUAGUAAACCAUUUACUAUAUGAUGCAUGCAUGCAUUACCUGUGAUUGGGCAUAGUAGCAUAGUGUUCUUACUAUGGCAUUUACCGUUUUCUUAUCUAUCUAUCUAUCUAUCUGCUUUUACCCACUCGGACCUAGUGGGGAGAUCGACGGAGUCGGCGGCCGAACCUACUGGGAACUAUGGACAAUAGUUCUCACCCCACUUUGUUGCAGGACCUAGUUCGAGCGGCCCGUGCGAGGACCGCGGCAAGGGUAUAGCGCCCGAGCAGUAGUAUAGUAGCUUUCCUUUUGCAUUUGCAUACCCUAUGUAUUUGAGAGACUUAUGUAGGUGAGGAUUUGGAGAGCUAUGUAUGUAUUUUGAUGAUGGCCUAGUAGCAAUUGUAUCCAUUUUGGAAAGAUGUAAUGUAAUUGAGGUAAAGGAAUGCAAUGUGGUGUAAUAGCUAGUAAAUCUCUCUUUUGUUCACUUGUAUGCAUAUGUGACUCUUGCUCUUAGUUGUUGGCACUUGUUGUGCCCUUCGUUGAUUGUGUAUGUAUAGAAUUUCUAUUCCUGGGCAAAUUCUUAUACACGAUCUGGUUGUUUGGCCUUGGGCUGACAGGGGAGGUGCUGUCCGUUCGGCGUCUGUUCAACACGCCCGAACUGGACCAAAUUGGUAGCGGUCUCUAGGCGUGACACUUAGGAAUGAAAAACCUUAAGGAUCUAGGAGACGUGAGUGACAUGGAAUUAAAAUAUAGUGAAAGCUUAUGAUUGAGUUAAUGUUAGCAUGUCUCUAAUGUGGUCAGGGACUAAAUUUAAGUUGUUAUUUGUUUUUUUUUUCUUGUGUUGUGAUCGGCGGCUGACGACAUGAUGCUUGGGAUGAAAAUAAAUACACUUGUUUGCUUUCGCUGGAUUGGGUAAAUUCGAGUAUGUUGGUUAAGUAUCUAAUGUAAUUGCUUCAUUUCAGGAAGCAAUGCUGCCUCGUGGACGACCUAAGACUCCUCGUGGUCGACCUCAGAAAUGAUCCAUGGCUGAAGAACCGAGUGCGGCUCCCGUGCAACCCGGAGGGGGUGGCGACGGGGAGCUUCGGGAGCAGAUGGCCGCGCUUAUUGGCGUAGUGCGGCAACAAGCGGAGUCCGUUCAGUGCCAAGGGGAGCAAAUCCAAAGGCUCCAGGACGCCUUAGAGCGGCAGCAGACGGCGGCGGCACAAGUGGAGGCCGAGCAUCCUGUGCCCCCUGCAGUGGUGCCGAUGGUGGCCGAGAGAGUAGCGGCGGGGGUGGCCGCGGCGGCCAUUCCAGUUACGACAAUACCGGCCGGAUCGGGGACCUCAAACUCCAAUAGUGCGGCGGUGGAGGCGGAGCGGGAGCAUGCGUUAGCAGCUCUCAUAUAGUUUAAUAAGUUCAACCUACCUAUCUUCGAAGGGGGGGUGGUGGAACCGGCGGUGGUGGAGUCAUGGAUCGACUCCAUGGAGACGCUCUUCGAGGACUUGUAUAUCUUGGAGAAGGACAAGGUGUACCUCGCCACACAUUGCCUUGAGAAGGCGGCGAAGGUGUGAUGGAAGCGAGUUAAGCGGGAUGGGUCUCCCGAUCUUCCGCCUAUGAUGUGGGAGGAGUUCAAGAGGGCGGAGGGCGGUGUUCGCCAAUUACUUCCCCGACACUGUGAAGCGGAAGUUGCAAGAAAAAUUUCGAAAGUUGAGGGAGGGAGAUCUGUUACGCCCCGGGGUCCCUUUGGGUUUGAAAGUACAGCGGAAGUAACUGAAAAUUUUUUUGUUUGAAAACCUGACCCCAAGGUAUGCCAGAUCCGCCACAAAUACAGGGAAUCCACUGUUCACACGGACAGAGUCUCCCCUGUAUUUGCACGGCGUCACACAAGUACAAAAGUACAAACGGGAUACAACCACUAUCACUGAAUAUACAAAUAUCCGUUCAUUCAUACAUCCAUACACCAUUCACCAUAGGUUCAUAUACAGAUUUUGAAACUAUCAGUUGAAAUGUUUCCUACCCAGAAACCUAUUUUGAAAUACUAAGUCAAGAAAAAUCACGAGAAACUCUUUUGAAAGUUGUUUCCCACACGGAAACCUUUUCUUUUUAAAACACGCUACCACGAGGGGUAGAAAGCCUUUCUAUUUUACAAAAUUCCAAAAAAACUUUUAUUACAUUCAUGAAAACCCACAUAUUCAAAUAUAAUAAAAAUACUGAACCAUACAAACUGUCUAAGCUAUAACAACAGAAUAGUAAGGGUAGAAACUAAACCGAGUAACCUGGGUCGGAAGCUCUAUUGACCACUACGAACAUAUCUCACGUCUCGUCUCAAUCCUCACCGCCCGCAAUACCUGAAAAAAGGUGGGGAAGGUGAGAACAUGUAAACAUGUCUCCCCUCCCAGUGGGUACCGCAAGCCAACGAAGGCGAGGAGUACUCACCGGAUUAAGAAUAGAUAAACAAUAACAAGGGCAGAUAUACUAAAUACAGUAGCAACAAUAAUACAUGAACGGAAUGUAUAAGAACGACUACCGCUACUGUAAAGAAGAACAUAAAGCAUACAUGGGUAUCAAACUAUAGUAGCAAGAUAAGUAUAUAGAAAGAACUGUAAGUAUGCAUGCAACAACUGCUAUUAUAGACAUAUGCGUCAACCGAACGUAUAGACCAAAUAUACCCAAUCUGUACCGGCCGUAUGGUACCCAACACCUCAGGCCCAUGCCACAUCUGCUCUAAACAGAAACAAGCCAUAUUGGUACCUAUUACCUCAGGCUGAAAGCAUAUAACCCCUCUUGGGCUCACGGGUUGACACUAGCAACCACUUUUUCGGAAAAGAACACCCUCUUGCGGUGGCAAAACUGCUGGUGUUCGUGAAAUGCGUACGAGCAGUAGCGAUCGAUGCUGAAUGCUCAAUAACCAACCGUCGGCAACCAGUCGACAAUCCUGCCCCUUAGGGCUCACCGACCGUAUAGGUCAUCAACUGUAAGGAAAUAUAAGAACCGACCACUCUGGUCAACUAGGAUGGAAUAACUCAACAUCCUCCCAAAAGUAUGCAAGUACUACUCAAUAUCAACUAACUGUAUACUCAAGAACUGACCAAUAGGUCACACGAAUGUCACAUCAUGUAUCACUAAAAUCCAGAACUACCGUCAGCCACUAGCCGACAAUCCAACCCCUUAGGGUACACCGACCUCAACGGUCAUCAAACGACAAAAGUCAAGGAACCAAAUGAAUAGGUCACAGAUACGAGAUACAAGAACCGACCAACUAGGUCACUGAUCUCACAUGAAAAUACGAAACCGCUCUACACUAAACAAGAUACAGGAUAUGCAAAAUAACUAAGUAGAGAAGCAAGGAAAUAUGAUGUAACUACUCUACUCCUACUUAUGAUACUAGAUAUGAAAAACAACCGAGUAGAGUAUAAACAAACAACAUGGGUGCUAGGCUCAACACUAUAUAUAAAGAUAUAUAUGCCAGAUAACAACGAGAGAGCAAGGGUAAGAAACCAUCACCGAGCGUGCACCACUGUACCGACUUCGGAUCGAAGUACCCACCUGUACGAAUGUUGCGCCUGUCUCCUUACUGCGAAAGAAAGUCAACUGGACCUACGGAGGGUCCAUCGGGUUAGUAUCUAACCCACAACUAAUAACCACAGUAUCCACAACCCUACAACAAUUCCACGGAGAUCGGUUUCCCAAUACCGAUUACCGUAACUUGCCGGAAGUCCCGAAAAUCGCACCGGGACUCCGUCGGGACCCCUGAAAUGUCCUGGAACGCACUGACUCGUGCUACGAGUCAUCCGCUGCCACAAAACACAUCAAAUAAGAUGUCUUGGCAGUAAACACAAAGAUACACAACCAAACAACUAUUGGUGGAUAAUUGUUCGGAUCUAAGUUCCUGAAAGUGUCAAUUUCGACACCGGAACCCCCCCGUCGCUCACUCGUCAUUUUCGAACCCUCGAAAUGAUGCGAGUGACCAGCCAACAAGGCUCAGCGACUAAACAAUCCAUCACGAAGCACCGUCGGAAUAAUUCCGAACCGAACCCGCGUUCCGUCGUCGGAUUUCGCCGAGAAACGAGCCGGAAAUCACUUUUCGAUUUUUGUAAAUGCAUGGGGCCUUGGACAAUCAGUCCAGAGGUUACCCACAGCCCGCACACGUUGCCAACAGCGACCACAACCAUCAAAAAUGCGUAAAACCACCAGGUUACCCAAAAUCACAUUAUUUUAUGUGAUUUCGGGGCUUUUAUGGUCCGACUACGCAAACCGAAAGUUAAUCAGCCAAGCCGAGACACCCACUGACAGGUCUCGGCGUGCUGGAGGCCGUGCUCACCUUUCGGAGCACUUUCGGCCACUGAGGCAACCGCGCGAGCGAUGCGAAGUUCAGCGAAAACUACGCGCUGAAACUAAAACACCUCUAACUCACACAUCCGGAGCUCAUUGACCCUAAAUGAGGUGAGCACUGUGACCAGCACUGGCUGACGAUCACCGUGCUCACCUCCAGAGGCAUCGGAACAGCCUCGGGUUGCUGGCAUUGCGGUCAGAAUCGUAAACAGUGCACAAAACAGCAUAAACAAGCUUACCGGUCGGGGGAAGCUAGGGCACGGCCAACGGCGGCCGGACGGCGAGCGCGCCGGCAGGGCGAGGGUACUGCAAGUGUGGGGUGGCAAGGGCGUGUGUCGGCCGGCGACGGGAGGUGGCCACGGCGGGGGGGCAAUGAUGCCCUAGCCGCAUUGCAAAGAAGAAGCUUGGCUCGGGUCCGGCUAGCAGGAGGGCUCCGGCGGCGGGGGCGCCGGCGGCAACCCGGCGCGGCAGGCCAGGGGAGGCCGGCGCUCAUGCCGGCCGACGGCGGGAGGCGGCCUCNAAAAUUAAAAUUUAUAAUUUGAAAUUUGAAAAUUAAAAUUUGAAGUUUAAAAUUUAAAAUUUAAAAUUUGAAGUUUAAAAUUUGAUAUUUGAAAUUUAAAAUUUAAAAUUUAAAAUUUGAAAUUUGAAAACUAAAAUUUAAAAUGAAAUUUGAAAUUUGAAAUUUGAAAUUUGAAAUUUGAAAUUUAAAAAUUAAAUUUGAAAAUUAAAAAUUGAGAAUUAAAAAUUGAAAUUAUAAAUUAGAAAAUUUAAAAUUAGAAAUUUAAGAUCCAAUGCGGCGUCCUCUGCGACUGUCCUUCCUGACGCGACCCUCUGGAACGCUAACGUCCCGAAGACCCACGACCCUGAGAGCGUGAUUGUGGAGGUCUUGGCGGACGCCUGCUGCUCGACUGUCCUCCGUCAUCUGGAUCUGGGCGCUUCCUAUCCUGACUCUGCCCUGACACCUGGGUCCGCUCCCGAAUAGAUGCAUCACCUCUCUCCACUCACAAAGCCUGCUCAAUAGAUGCAUUCAAGGUCCUCAACCUCUGCGCAAGUACCAACCUGAAGAUCUCUGGUCUCAAGUCUCGCUCAAACAGAUAUACCCUGUGGGCCUCGUCUCUGGCUACAAAUGGCACAUAGUUCAGGAGUCAAGUAAACUCAUGGAUGUACUCCUGAACUGCUCUCUCUCCCUGCUGAAGCUUUUUCAGGUCCUCCUCGAGCUUCUACUUCAUGCUGCUUGGAAAGUAUAUCCCAUACAGCAUCCCGCAAAACUCAUCCCACUUCAUUUGCAAUGCCAUCAACCCUCGAUCUCGCCUCAUCCUCCUCCACCAAGAGUGUGCAUCGCCGGCCAAGCAGUGAACUCCCAAGUGUACCUGCUCCCGCUCAGGAAUAAACAAAUCCUCAAACAGCUUCUCCAUCGCGCUCACCCAGUCUUCUACGACACAGGGCUCUGUGCAGCUGCCGUCAUAGGUCGGCGGAUCAAAAUGGCAGAAACAAGCCAGCCUUUCAAUCAACCGCUCCUGCUCAGCCUCAGUCAUCUGUGACGCCUCUCCAGAAGAUGCAAAUUGCACAGUAGGAACUGUCACUGGUGGGUGUACAGCUGCGGCUGGUGCGGCCACUAGAGUAGUCGGGGGUGGAGCUGCCUGUUCUGGUGCUCUCGGUACUGCGCUCUGUGGCGGAGCUAAUGUCUCGCACAUCCUCUGCAACAACGCCCCCUGCUGCCUCGUCACCUCCAUCAGAGAAGCUAAUUGCUCUCUCAGAUCCGGGGGUGCACUCGACUAUAGUCGUGCACUCAGCUCUGCCGGCUCAGGCAUCUCAGAAGGUGCGGCGCUAUCCCUAGUCGGCGGUAGACCUCGGCGUCAAUACAUAGCUGCAAGAAAAGGACAUAAGGGUCAGAUACAAAAUACAAACACUCUCGACCCAAUAAAGCGAAAGUCUAGAAGUCGGCUCCUAUUUCUCCUCAAAAUUAUGCCGUCUGCAGCGGACAUAAUUUUCUUGGAUGAAAUAGACACUCCUUCAGUCACUCAUUCCGCCCUAGGAUGAGUUAAAGCAAAUCAAUCGCUGACUUUCGCGAUAAAUCACGCCUCUCGCGUCUUGCCUUCCUAAGGUUUACCAAACUUAGGGUUCCUAGGUCCUAAUGGCCUAAUGCUAUGCUUUGAUACCAACUUAAUCUGUCACGCCACGGAUUACUCGUUUCCCCGGGCACGCCGACAAAUCCGCCGUAUACAAAGGACUUUCUCCAGUAUACGAAGCGAUAGCUGUACCUAUACCUGUAAUCAUACAAUAUUACAACCAGUAGUAUAGAGCUGCUAAGAAGAAAAGCAUAUAUAAACAACAUCGGUUCAACAUACAUAUAUAGUAUCCUGGUACAAAAAUCACUCGCUCUAGCGAGACUGUCAUGCCCCGGAUUACACGUUUCCCCAGGCUCGAUAACAGACCCGCCGUAUACAUAGGUAUUUUUUUUGUAUACGAAGUGAAAAGUAGAAGUAUCUAUAAUCAUACAAUACCACAAACAGUAGUAUGGAGCAGCUAGGAAAAUAAACCGUAUCAAUAAAUACCGAGGUUCAAUACAUACAUGUAAUCCAGAUAUACAAAAGCUCGCUCUGGCGAGAUGCAACAACUGUAUGUAAAGACCCAAAAACUACAACUACCUAUAGCUGGUGCUCCUCUAGCUCUGCGACUCUCUGGAAGGGCUCUAACUCGCGACGUCCUUGCCAUGAUCGAGAUCAGCAACAGCAGCAGCCGAAGGCAACGCUCUGCAAAAACAGCGGUAACAACUGGGCGUGAGAACUACUACAAAAGAAGUAGUCCUCAGUGGGUACCGCCCUCAAACUCAUCGGCCCACUCACUAAGUCUACAGAAGGGAGCAAGGAUAGCAGAAAAUACUGGAAGAAAAUCGACAGCUAUAAACCACUACACUAUCAUGCUCUACACUAACCAACUGUAGAAAAUGUCAAUACCGACCGAAUCUCACUAGGACUGCAAGCAUACCCGUCCCUGGGACUGUGAACACACCCGUUCCGCCCGGUUACGACUAUACAGCUACCUCCACGCUGACACCAGUGGAGAGCAAGUCCAACAUGCACGAACAACACCAACGCAAAAGCACAAAGCCCGACUCCGGAGUGGCACUCGCGGGCGCUACCCAACUGAGUAUGCAAGUGUAUCUCUGUCGAGCUUAAUCAAGCUCUCUCAAGCUAACAUCAAGUGAACAGGGUCUAACGAGUAACUCACGUGCCCUAGGCACAAUCUGAGACUAAAAAUAAUCUGGGUCCACCGUCAACCCCGACGGCACCCGACAAUCCGAAAUAGCCUAGACUCUGCUGUAAAAAAUAAGCUCGGCAUCUCAGCACGAGCGUAAAUGCAUUCUAAACUAUCUCGAGUACCCAUCGCGCUGAAACAGCGGUGAUACAAUCAAAAUACGGCUCCUAGAGCUAAAUUAGGUAGUAGAAGCAUAUGACGGAUCAAAACGCUGGUUUUCUCCUAAGUCAAGUUCCAAAUCCAACAUGUAUAAUUUAUCUAAUUACUAAAUAUGCUCCAAAUUCAGAUUUAUAUAUUUACAUACUCAUCGAUGAAUUUGAGCUACAGCAUGACAACAAUAGCCGCAUAUCAUACACGUCGACUAACAUGCACUUAGAAGCGAAACCAAUGAUACACCCACCCCAAAUGCUCUUUCCAGGCAGCAAGGAGGUCUCGGAACUGCUGUGAGACUCAGCUGAAAUCACACCAAAUCAGCAAUUGGAAUACUUGAAGGAUCUAGCGUAGAAAUCCACAAAAAUUCAAUAAUUCAGCACUUAAGCUUAAAUUAGUUCAAUUACAAUGCUAAUUUCACUAGAUUACCUUCAAAUCAGCAGUAGCAAGGUUCCCUCAGCAGUGAAAUAGCUGUAGAAAGUUUCUCUGGUUCAAGACUACUCUUCUCCCAAGAUCUGAACCUAAUAUAUCCAAGUUGCAUCAAUAACAAUGCUAAUUUCAGCACUUAAGCUUAAUUAACCCAACUCCAAUGUCAAAACUCACCUAAUUACAUCCAAAUCUGGUGAGGAGGGUCUCAAAUCUAGUGAAGUGCAUAGAAGUAUCAAGCUCAGGUCCAAAAUCCUACUGCCUUUACAGCUAACCUCAAUAAAAUCCAAGAAAUUCCAUUUUUAGCUCAAAACUGCAAGCAGCAAGGAAAAAUAGGAAAUCGACAAAGCUAACCUCAACCAAACUCGGCAAAUCUGCCAAAAACGUUGAAACACACUCGUGCUCUGGAUUCCUCUAGAAGUCUAGAAUCCAGCAAACCAAGUUUCGUCGUAAUCUGAUCUUCCUACGUCACACACGAGCCAAAACACCGAAGGUCGUCGCAGGAAAACUGCAGAAUCAGCACUCAAUCACAUUCAAACUGAUGAAUUGGAUGAAAUCCAAAGGAAAUCGAGGAGUGGAGAAGAAAUCAGAGGUGCUACUGAGAAGAGAGAGUGAAAAGAGCUCACCAAGGUCACUCUCCACCUAUUUAUAGGGUGCUGGAAUUGUAGAAUAAGCCCCAAGAACAGCUGCUGCAAUUUGGUGUCCCUACAGACUCGGGCAUUUCCGGGCGCCCGAACUCACAUUAUGGGCGCCCGAAUCCUCCAGGCUACACAAAGCUUCCUCUUCGGACUCUUCGCCCGCGGUGUGCUGUGCCCAUAUCUGGCUCUGGCGGACCUCACCAACCACCAGCCACGUGUCAGCACAAUCGAUACACACAAGGUGCACUUUCGGACUCACAUUCGAGCGCUCGAAACAUGGACCCGAAUUGGCUUCCAGUUCUCAUCAGUUCUGCACUCAACUUCUGGGCGACCCAAAUCCAGUUCUGGGCGUCCGAAUCUGGCAAAACUCCAGUUUUGCUUAUUUGAGUGCCCGAGUCCAUUUUUGCAUCCAUUUCGUGCAGAAUUGACUCCGACUCAAUCUGACACUCUCCAGAUGUGUUGACUAGUCAAUAAUAUUACAACCAAUCCUAUCCAAACCUCCGGAACACUACAGAGACACUAACAUCAGUAUGUAUAAGAACCAAAAACUACAACUACCUGUAGCUGGUAUAUCUCUAGGUCAGCAGCAAAACGGAAAGGAAUUUAGCUCGCGACUUCCUUUCCACGAUCUGUAUCUGCAACAGCAGCAGCCGAAGAAGAGGGCUCUACAAAAAGGAUCUACAACUGGGUGUGGGAACUACUGUAAAAAGAAGUAGUCCUCAGUGGGUACCGCUACCGACCUUAACGGCUCAUCCACUAAGUCUGCAGAGGUAAGCAAUGAUAGUAAAGAAAGCUGGAACAAAUCUACAGUUAUAUGCCACUAUACUAUCGUGAUCCAACACUAACUAUUUGUAGAAAAUGCAAAUUCUGACCCAAUCUCACUAGGGACUGUGAAUACACCCGUCCCGCCUGUCGAAGUUACAUUAACAACCACCACAUUAGGUAGUCAGUGGAGAGCCAGUCCAAUCAGGACACAAUGACACCAACAAAACAGCACUGAGCCCGACUCCGGAGUUGCACUCGUGGGCGCUACCCAACCGAGUAUGCAAGCGUAUCUCUGUCGAGCUCAAUCAGGCUCUCACAGGCUAUAGUCAAAGUAGAAGGGUAAAAUUGAUCUAACCACCAAAACUCACGUGCCCUCGGCACAAUCUGAAGCAAAAAAUACAAUCUGGGUCCACUGUCAACCUGAACGGCACCCGACAGUCCGGAACAUUCUAAACACAGCUGUAAAAAUAAGCUCGAUAUUCCAGCACGAGCGUAAAUUUAUUCUACACUAUCCUGGAUAUCUACCGUCCACAAACUGCGGCGAUACAACACAAACUAUGGCUCAUAGAGCUAAAUCUGGUAGUUUAAGAAAAUGACGGUGUAGAAUCGAUAGUUUUUUUCUAAGUCAAGUUCCAAGUCCAACAUGUAUAAUUUAUCUAAAUCACUACUGUAUGCUCCAAAUUCAGAUUUCAAUUAACAUGCAAAUCAACGAAUUCGAGCUAGAUAACAUGGUAUACAAAGACUAAAAAAUAUACAUGCUGACAUCGACUAGGCUUAGGAGGAAAUCCGUAGAAUCCAGUAAGCAUAUCAUUAACUCACCUCUAGCACGAGCUCGACGACAGCAAGCAACUGCUGAAAACCUUUGUUGAGACCAGCCUCCAACCAGCAAUAAAUCUCUCUAAGGAUCAAAGCACAAAAAUCCCAAAGUUUCCAUCAAUACUCUAGAUUUCAGCACUUAAGCUUAAAUUCAUUAAGAUUGCAAUGUCAAACUCACCUUCCAAUCUUCAAUUCAGUUGAGGAAAGGUGCUAAAACCAGUGGAGUAUGAUGGAGCAACCUUCUCUGGUUCGAAAUGCAACUUCUUCCAAGGAUUGAUCCAAGAAAACCAUAAAAAUACAAAUUUCAGCUCCAAUACAGCAGCAGUCUGCAAAAACAGUAAAUUGACAAUGCAAACCUCAAUCAAAUGCUGUCAAAUGAGCCCCACGAAAUCUCCAAGAAGUCUAGUAACCACCAAACCAAAUUUCACAGCAAACGGAGCUUCUUACGUCGCACACGAGCCAAAACACCGAAGGUCGCUGCUGGAAAUCUACAGAAACUGCAAUUCUCAAGGUGGAAUGGUGUAAUUUGGAGUAUUUGGAGGACUAGAGUGCAAAAUAUGAGCUUCUCUGUAAGGAAGGGUGAAAAAGCUUCUCAGGGGAUCGCACACAAGCUUUUAUAAGGAGGUGCAAUGGUCUGAUAAGCCCCAAGAACAAAAACACUAACCUGCUGUCCCUGCAGAACUCUACAUUUUCGGGCGCCCGAAAUUAACUUCUGGGCAUCCGAAACUUCUAGAUCAAUACAGCACUCCUUCGUUGGUUCCUUCGCCUGCGGUACGAUGUGCCCAAACAUGGUCCGGCGGACCUCACCUACCACCAUACACGGUCAGCAUAGUCGAUAAUCCCAAAGUGAACUUUCGGGCCCAUUUCUGGGGACCCAAAAACAGGAUCCGAAUUGGCUGCCAGUUUUAUUUCAGUUCACGUUCAGUUCUGGGCGACCCAAACCAUGUUCUGGGCUCCCGAAACUGGCAAACUUCAGUUUUGCUUAUUUGAGUGCGCCGAGUGCGUUUCCGCAUCCAUUUUGUGCAAAAACGACUCCAAUUCAGUCCGACACUCUCCAGAUGUAUCGACCAAUCGCUAAUACUGUAGCCAAUCCGAUACCAAACCCCCGGGACACUGCAUAUAAAUUAGAAAAUUUAAAAUUAGAAAUUUAUUAUUUGUAAACUAAAAUUUAUAAUUUGAUAUUCGAAAAUUAAAAUUUGAAUUUAUAAAAUUAGAAAAUUUAAAAUUAGAAAUUUAUUAUUUGUAAACUAAAAUUUAUAAUUUGAUAUUCGAAAAUUAAAAUUUGAAUUUAUAAAAUUAGAAAAUUUAAAAUUUAAAAUUUGACAUUUAAAUCUUAAAAUUAUAAAAUUUAAUUUUUGAUAUUUAAAAUUUAAAAUUCAAAUUUUAAAUUUGAAAUUAAAAGUUUGAAUAUAAAUUAAAUUAUAAAAUUUAAAAUCUAUGUUGAAAUUUAAAAUUUUAUGUUGAAAUUUUAAAGUUAGAACUUGAUGCAUCUUUGUCCAAGAAUGGUAAAAUUCUUUUUUUUUGUUAGAGUGGUUUAUAAUUUUACUUCAUUUUUUGAUAUAGUUUAACUAUAUACCAAAAAUUACUUUUUUUUUUCUUCCAAACGCUUCAUAGAAUAAUUUUUCUACCGAUGUAGCAUAGUUUUAAGGGUAUCCAAACAGAGCCUAAUUAUACAAGGAGAUGCUGGCCUGAGUGAAAGGCUAGGCAAACUUCGCCUGUCCUCUACCUGCCAAAUGAUCACAACUAGCUAUGAUACUUAUGCAGUGAGUACGUAGUACCCUAUAUUAGUUGGUCUUUAAUUAUUUUCAUGUUGUUCUUGUUAGCUCUUCUUCCAGGAACCGGUUUUGUGGAUUUCUCAGUGCUUAAGAUUUAUGGGUGCCAUCCACGGUCCUUGCCGACUUGACAAGCUGAACAAUGAAAACAACAAUCAACCAGAUCAGGAGGAAAAACAGAAGGCGUACGAGAGAGCAGCCCAAAACCUAACGAUUGCCUCGGUACUUAUCGCUACCGUGACAUUUGCCGCAGCUUUCACCAUGCCGGGAGGUUAUAAAGCUGACGACCACCCAAACGGAGGCACACCAACUCUAGCAGGAAAAUAUGCUUUCAACGCGUUCAUAAUCUCGGACUCCUUAGCAUUUGUUUGCUCCAUCAUGGUCACGUUCUUGCUUACGUAUGUUAGCUCAUUUAGGGCAGAUCCUUCUGUUCGCAUUAAACUCAUCAUCCGCUCCUCCAUUUUCCUAUCCGUGGCCAUAAACUAUAUGAUGGUCGCAUUCGCAAUGUCGGUGUAUGUUGUGCUGGCUCCAGUUAGUACUCCCGUUGCCAUUCUUGUCUUCAUAUUCUCUUUCGCUUUGAUCCCAUUGUCUGCAGGUCCACAAAUAGGACAGCUUUACGGUCUGUUAAGCGCACUAAGGUCCAGACAUGGAUGGUUCGAUCUGAGCUUUGUAAUUUGCUAUUUCAUCUUGGUGACGGUGGUAGAGAGUUUAGUAGUAUAUGGCAGCAUCUUUCUCUUAUCGCUUCUGGCAGGGAUUCAUCAAUCUCAUAAUUCGCAUUAGGUCUUUUUCUUCUCAGUUGUUUGUUGUACUUUUUAUUGGUAUUUGUUUUUGUACUUUUAUUUGAGUGUCCUUGUUUGUGUUUGCUUCAGGGUCCUGGUUAUAUGUUUGGGUCAAUUAUUAAAUAAGCUUGUUCGGAUUAAAAGCCAGCAGGGCUUUUAAAGAGUCUGUGUUAAAAAAUGUGCCUAGCUAGGGCACUCCUUAUUAUAUAUGAUGAGUGAAGUUAUAAGUUUUCUUGUUUAAAUCACAUUUUUCCAUGAAUUACGUACAAGCAGCCAGGUGCGACGUAAGUAUUUUCUAUUUAAUUCACUUCUUCAUCAACUCUUCAAUUGACAAUAAGAGCUUGUUUGGUUCAUAUAAUUUAGAUUCUGAAAUCGAAUGAGAUUCAGUAGUUUCGACAAUAUUGGGUGGUGUCAUUACAGGCGCUUGUAAGCCUACCAUCGGCUGCUCAUUCCGAAUUAAUAAUUAUCCUAUUCGCGCGAUAUUCUCCUUAGAGGCCGUGAUUGCGGCCAACACUGCAUCUAGCCGUGCAGUGCUAGUAUGGCAUAUAUAUAUACAUACAUAUGUAUAUAUAUAUAUGUACAUAUGAACCAAACAAGCUCAAUUGACAAUAAGAGCUUGUUUGGUUCAUAUAUAUAUAUAUAUACAUAAUAUAUUUNUAGAUCAUCCAGGAUGCUCACGGACGGAGAUAGAGGUGGCUAGGUAGUAGGUGUGAUGGAGGAGGUGGAGGAGCAGCCAGCUCCGGCGGCCGGCGGCGUGCUCAGGUGGCCGGGGCAUGCGCAAGAAAAGCUGGGGAACAAGAGGGAGGCGGCUGGGUUAAGGUUGAGGAAGAGAGAGACCUAGGGUUAGGGUUUCCAUGGAGAAACCCUAAGUGGUCACUUUUAUGCAAAUGGCCAAUUCGCACAAAAGUCCCCCGAAACUCAGUAUUUCGUACUAAGACCUUCACAUCGCGUGUAUUUUGCGCGUACACACCUUGUCGUCCAUUCUCACGCGAUUCGGUACAUAAAAUGUCGGGCUUUUCGCGAAAAUACUGUUUCUCCACUUGUGACCCUUCCUCGAUAAUCAUGCGAUAUCAGGAGAUCCGUUCGUCAGAUUUGCAGACGGAUCGCACCAGUGCGAUCAGCACGACAGAUACAUCAAAUUCAGGAUUUUGUUUUGUCCAAAUUGGUUGCCGAUUUGCGACAAAACCUACCCUCAAUACAUUCACCAUAAAACACACACACACACACACACACACAUAUAUAUAUAUAUAUAUAUAUAUAUAUAUAUAUAUAUAUAUAACCAAAGAAACCCCUUUAUCUCGAAAAUCGUGCAUCAGAUCUAAAAUCCGUCAGNNNNNNNNNNNNNNNNNNNNNNNNNNNNNNNNNNNNNNNNNNNNNNNNNNNNNNNNNNNNNNNNNNNNNNNNNNNNNNNNNNNNNNNNNNNNNNNNNNNNNNNNNNNNNNNNNNNNNNNNNNNNNNNNNNNNNNNNNNNNNNNNNNNNNNNNNNNNNNNNNNNNNNNNNNNNNNNNNNNNNNNNNNNNNNNNNNNNNNNNNNNNNNNNNNNNNNNNNNNNNNNNNNNNNNNNNNNNNNNNNNNNNNNNNNNNNNNNNNNNNNNNNNNNNNNNNNNNNNNNNNNNNNNAUAAUUUAUUCGAGUUUGGAUUCGGAUAAUAUUUCGGAUAUUCAAACCUAUUGACAUCCCUACUCCUUAUUCCACUUUUCAAUAUAUAAAAAAAAUACGUACUAAACACGGUGAACCAUUCACCGUGUUUGAACACGGUGAAUGGUUCACCGUGUUCAACUUAACACACGCGUCCCGUCCUACCCGCGUGGCGCUGACGUGACGUAUGCGUGGCAGGUCCAGAGCCAAUUUGCAAAUUUAAUUUUGACAGAGCUAUUUUUAAAAUAAAAAUUUGCCGGGGUCUAAAUGCAAAAAAAGCCCAAAAAAAAAAAACAGAAGAAAUGAAGGGGGAGGAUCGCCCACCCUCUUCUCCUUCGUUUCACCGCCAAAUCCCGGCAUCCCGCCGCGCCGUACGCGAAUCCCCGAGAUCGCGGGGGUACGACCUUUUCCCAAUCGGAUCCCGGCGAUCCUGUGAAGCCCGCCGAAUCCACCAGAGAUCUGCCCCGUACACAGAUCCCGCGAAUCCCGCGCCCCAAAUCUCACCAGCGCACCGUCUCGUUACUCCGCGCCGCUCGCUGAGCCGGAGAUCCCGCAAAUCCCGCUAUCCCGUACGCAGAUCCCGGAGAUCACGCGUCGGCCGCCGUCAGUCGCGUCAGCGAAUCUCGAGGGCCAUGCUGAAAAUCUCGCCAUUGUCGCCGCUCGCGAGCCCCGUCGACAUCACUGUACACAGAUCCCGCAGAUCUAGCCGCGGAUCACGUCGAGCCAUCUUAUCACCGUCGAUCACCGGUGGAGAUCUGGGGAUUUGGUUCCUCGGAGCCCCUAUAAAACGGCGUCGGGGAGAGACGAGCGAAGGGGGCCCAGGGCAUACAACCCAUCCACACAUACACAGGAAGAGAGAGAGAGAGAGAGAGAGAGAGAGAGAGAGAGAGAAGUAACAGAGUAGGAAGAAGGGGAAGAAGAAAGAGAAAGAUAAGGAUAAGGAGAAGGAGAAGUAAAAAAAAAAAGAAAAAGUAAUAAAUAAAAAAAAAAGAGAGAGAAGGGAAGGCUUGGCGUUGCACACCGCCCGUCCAACCCCGCCGCCGCCGCCGCCGCCGUCGACGACGAUGGCGCCAUCCAACAAAGCAGCACCCACCUGAGGUGGGUGCAAAGAUAGUAGUAGAGUACCAUUUUUCUUGAAUAUAUCCAAAUGUACCCUAAACUAGAAAUCCUAGUAAAUUCCAUAAUUAAUUUUCUGUUGAAUCAUAUUUGGGGUAAUUACUUGGUUAGUUUUGUUGCCUACACACAAUUAUAACUUUAUUCAGGAAAAUCAUCGUAACACCUUUUGUUAUCAGGAGUAUUUAUAUAUUUUGUUAAAAUAAUAAUAAUAAUAAGUUUUCCACCUUUGAGAAGUCAUGCAUAUGCCUAUAUUACUAUUUUGAUUAACCUUUCACAAGUUGCAUUAUGUUAAACUGUCUCAACUACCACCAAGUUUCUUUCCUAACUAGUAUAACAAAACUGUGAUUUUAUACAACUCUGAAUAGUUCUGAUACAAUUUUACUGAUAANAUAUAUAUAUAUAUAUAUAUAUAUAUAUAUAUAUAUAUAUAUAUAACCAAAGAAACCCCUUUAUCUCGAAAAUCGUGCAUCAGAUCUAAAAUCCGUCAGCGCCAUUGGUUCCAGAAUAGCUGAACUGGUCGAAACAAGCAAUUGGAUCGCUAUGAUCGGAGUCCGAUACGCACCAGAAGCCAACUCUACUCCGUGGCUUCUCCGAAAAAUCGGAGUUACUAUUCACUUAAGUGAAUACUAAUGAUCGCGUAACUUCUCCGUUCUAACUCGUUUUCUUCUGAAACUUGAAAAGUACUUAUGUAAUUAAAUUACACACAAAAACAUCGUCGACAGAGAGUUCAGCUACACUGUCAAAAUCUCAGUCCUUACAAGAUCGCUCGGUAGCAGGAGUUCUCCCACAUCAUUGACUGUGUCCCGGAUGUUGUUUGGGAUGACCGGGACCGGGCCGAUUGGUUCUUGCGAAGACUUUGACCGAGAAUUUAUAGGGUCGUGCAGAUUCUCAAGCUCACGACCUUUGUUGAGGUCUUUGAUAGAGCCUUGUGGGCAGAGCACGGCGAUGCCCACGUACGUGAGGAGCGCGAGUCCUCAGCCAAGUCAAGGGACAAGAGCAAGAAGCGGGCAACGGGCGGCCUCUCGGUAUCCUCAACAGCAGUCGAAGAACGGGAGGACUUCCCGAUGCGUGAUUUGCGGCGGCAAUCAUCGAUCGUCGGCUUGCCCGCAAGGCGAAGGAACGUGCUUCAAGUGCGGUCAAGCGGGACAUAUGAUUCGUGAGUGCCCGAGAUGGGCGUCAUUUGCACCGACGGCGGCAUUAGUUCCUUCUACCCGCAGACAGCUUGCGGGGUUACCACCGGCGAUGUCGGUUGGGCGCUCAUCUUCAUCGCGUCAGCCGAAGGCAUCUAGAGCACCGAGUAGGCAAAUUUUUGCCACUCAGGUGAAGGAGCUGAUUGCCGUCCCCGAUGACGUCGUGGCAGGUAUUAUCUUGAUCAAUGGCACUAGAGCUAAAGCUUUAUUCGACACGGGUGCAUCGCAUUCAUUCAUAGGUGCAUCAUUUGCGAAAACUCAUGACAUAGAGAUCAUGCAUAACGAGGACUAUUGGUCAGUGAGUACACUUGAGCAUUCGUUCCGUGUCCAUGAUGAGUACUUAGCUUGUUCGGUACAGAUAGGUGAUUGGAUCAUGCUGAUAGACCUAUUGGUGUUAAACCAGAUGUGGGGCUUCGAUGUAAUCUUGGGGAUCAAUUGGAUCUCCAAGUAUUAUGCCGUGAUAGAUUGUGAAAGCAGGGUGAUCACGUUCCGUGAGCCUAAUCAAGAAGAGUUAGUGUACCGGGCAUGUAAAAGCAAGCGCUUCGCGGCAACCGUAUCAGCGGCGAGAGUGAGAAAAAUGAUUAAGGGUGGAUGUGUAGCCUACCUGGCGGCAAUGGUAGAAGCCCAAAAGGAGCACCCGGAGCUUAGUGGUAUUUGGGUAGCGUGUGAGUUUUCGGAUGUAUUCCCGGGGUGGUGCCAAUUUCGAAGGCUCCAUAUAGAAUGGCACCGACGGAGCUAAAAGAGCUAAAGGCGCAGUUGCAAGACUUGCUCGAUAAAGGCUUUGUGAGGCCGAGCGUGUCACCGUGGGGAGCUCCAGUGCUAUUUGUGAGGAAAAAGGAUGGCUCAUUUCGAUUCUGCGUGGAUUACCGCGAGUUGAACAAGGUCACAGUUAAGAACAAGUACUCAUUGCCAAGGAUUGAUGAUUUAUUCGAUCAGUUGAAAGGGUUGAGGGUGUACUCGAAGAUAGAUCUUCAAUCGGGGUAUCAUCAGUUGAAGAUACGGCCCAAGGAUGUGCACAAAACGGCGUAUCGUACGCGGUAUGGCCAUUAUGAGUUCACGGUUAUGCCGUUUGGGCUUACUAAUAUCCCGGCAGCAUUCAUGGACUUGAUGAAUAGGGUCUUUCGACCGUUGCUAAAUCGGUGCGUCGUGGUGUUCAUUGACGACGUGUUGGUCUAUUCAUGGAGUGAGGAAGAACAUGAGGAGCACUUGAGGACCGUGUUGGAAAUACUACGCAAAGAGAAGCUUUAUGCAAAAUUAAAGAAGUGCGAAUUUUGGCUUUCGGAGGUUACCUUCCUAGGCCACGUGAUUUAGGGUGAAGGCAUCUUGGUGGAUCCGAUGAAAGUAGAGGCAAUUAAAGAUUGGCCUCACCUGACGGGUGUAGCGGAGGUCCGCAGUUUCCUUGGACUAGCGGACUACUACCGGCGGUUCAUGGAAGGGUUCGCCAAAUAAACCACUCUACUAACGCACCUCACACACAAGGGAGUGAAGUAUGUUUGGAGCGACGAUUGCGAUCGGAGCUUCGAGGAGUUAAAGAAAAGGUUGACAUCGACCCCGGUGCUUGCUCUACCGACGCCGUGGGAGACUUUUGUAGUAUACAGUUAUGCUUCAUAUAUCGGUCUCGGGUGUGUCUUGAUGUAAAAUGGCCGAAUUAUAGUUUAUGCUUCGUGCCAAUUGAAGAGAUAUGAAAAGAACUACCCGAUUCAUGAUCUAGAGUUAGUGGCGGUUAUUUUCGCGCUAAAGUUAUGGAGGCAUUACUUGUAUGAUGAACACUGUGAGAUCUACACGGAUCACAAAAGCCGUAAAUAUUUGUUCACCCAAAAAGAGUUGAACACAACAACGGCGGUGGUUAGAGUUAUUAAAAGAUUACGACGUUACUAUUCUAUACCACCCCGAGAAGGCAAUUGUCGGGGCCGAUGCACUUAGUAGAAAAUCGGGGGAAAACUUGGCUUCGGCAAUUAUACCCCAACCGUUGUUGCAAAAGGAGAUGUAAUGGCUCGGAUUAGUAGUAGUAGUGCCGGGAGUGCCGGAUACACUUGCCGUGUUGGUGGUACAAUCGAUCUUGUUGGAGAGGAUAAAAGAGUUGCAAGCUUCCGAUGAGUAUCUCCAAAAGGUGCGUGGAGAAGUUGAGAGCGGUAGUGUCGAUAAUUUUGGCGUUGGGACCGACGACACCCUUCGAUUCCGAAAUCGAUGGUGUGUUCCCAAGAACGAGGACAUUCGAAAGGCGAUUAUGCAAGAAGCGCAUCAAUUUUCUUAUAGUAUUCACCCGGGCGGCAUCAAGAUUUACCAAGAUUUAAAAGUGCACUAUUGGUGGCCGAGCAUGAAGAAAGACAUUGGAGAGUUCGUGGCACAAUGUCUUACGUGCCAACAAGUAAAAGCGGAGCGGCGGUUUCCGGCGAAAAAAUUGCAAAUCUUACCUAUACCCGUUUGGAAAUGAAAAAAUAUCGCUAUGGUCUUCGUGACCGGUUUCCCCCGAUCUCAAGGUGGACAUGACGCAAUUUGGGUGAUAGUAGACCGGUUGACGAAGUAGGUGCAUUUCCUACCGAUUCAUAUUACAUGGUCGGGGGACAAGUUGGCUCAAGUAUACAUGGACGAGGAUGUGAGACUUCAUGAGGUUCCGGUAUCAAUUGUAUCGGAUCGGGACCCGAGAUUCACAUCUCACUUUUGGAGGAGUCUACGGGAGGCAUUGUGUAACAUACCAGAUUUUGGUAUAAAGAUAAAAAUAAAUAAAAAUAGUGUGAGAAACUAUUUUUAUUGGAUUUGUAGAAGUAAAACAUAAGUCAGAAGUGACUUGUGCUGAAAUCGGAAUGAAAACAGAAGAUUUAGAAUUUUCUGUUGGAAACGGGACAGAUAAAUUAGCAGAAAAUACACAGUCUCAGAAAAUUAUGAAAAUUGGAGGAUAAGUCAGAAAUAUUUUUAUGAGGCUAGAUUUAAAGUUUCAUAUUUUUCUGACACCCGUAGAGUGAGAAAUAAAAUCCGACAGCUAUCUGAUAAAGAUUACAGUUCGGUACAGUUUUCGGUGACCAAAUGGGGUCGAAACUGAAAACUUAAAAUAUAUUCUUGCUCAGUACGUAAAACUGAAUAUGACUGUCAAGUUUGAGCUCAAACGGACAUUUAGGGAGCUCCGGCGAAAGUUAUCAGAUUUCAAGCUGCCUGGAGUGAAUAGUGUUUGAGGGGUAUUAUAUAGAAGCUGAUGCUUCUUCUCCCUCAACCGUGCGCCACACACACACCCGCACGCCACACACGCACACACGCUUGGAGAGGGAAAGAGAGAACCCACCCAUUUUCUCUCUAAAUCUCUCCCAAAAUUGAAGGUUUUGGUGGAGAAGCAAGCUUGGAAGUUGAUCUUCAUCUUCUUCGUCUUCUUCCUCUCCAUUAGAGCAAGCUUUGAAGGUAAGCUUCAAACCCUUUAAUGGCAUUUCUCUCUAGUUUGGUUUUUAAGCUCUAAGAAUGGAUUUAGAGGUAUUCUAGCAUGCUAAUUAGAGGUUUGAUGCUUGAAACCAAGGCUCUAAUGGUGGAUUUUUACCUAGUUGUAAUCUAGGGCUCAAAAAUGCUAGUUUUGUAAAUAUGAGGGUUUGAUCUCAUUUGACCCUCUGUAAACCUAAUUGCUAGGUAAACGAACGCGUUGGCGAAGUCGGUUCGGCGAUUCGUCGAGCCGUUGCGAAGUUAUUAAAGAAACGGACGUUUAGGCUUCGUUUCCGCCUGGAGGGCCGAGGCGACAUCGUAAACCCAUGAAAACGGAUUUGAAGCAUCGUGGCACAUAACCGAAGACCUUUAAUUUUCGGAUCGUGAAUUGGAGGCCGUUCGGGUGGUCGCGCGAGAGAUCGGGCCAAACCGGGUGCCGGGUGCCGCGGGAGGCCGAUUGCAAGUGUCGACAAGCAAUCGGAAUGCGAAAUGAGGUGGGUUGUGCUUACCGAAGCGAUUAGGUCGCCUGUAUGUCUAAGAGAAAUGAGAUUUCAUAUUGAUGCAUGUUGACAUAUAAUGUGAAAUGCUAAAGGAAUGCAUAUUGACAUAAUGUAAGAAUGUGAAAAGAAGUAUGUUAACAUAUUAUAGAAUGCUAGAUAAAUGCAUGUGAUUAAUGAUUUGAAUGCAUAAGAUAAAGGGCAUAUGAAUGUUAACAUUAUAAGAAUAUGCUUAAAGAAAUGCAUAAUGACAUGUUGUAGAGCAUGCAUGUGGAUAAUGCUAAGUAAUGGUAUGAUAAGCAUGAUUUAGAAAUAAUGAAUGCAAGUAUGUGGUUAAUGUUAAGAAAUGGAAAUGUGCAUAUGGAUAAUCUAUAUACAUUAGAUCGAGUGGCACUAAAUCUAGAGUCAUGGACAUAGGUUAAACAUGGAAGCUAUGAACCUAGUGUCUUGAACAUAGGUUGAACAAGUAUAGUGUGAACCUAGUGUCAUGAACCUAGUAAACACUUGUGGCAUUUGAGCAUAUAUAUUUUGUACCAUUCAUGUAUGAUAGGGCUAAAUACAUGUGAACCUUGGUUGCUUUCAAUGACAUGUUUCUAACGAAGUUGAACAUAGAGAAAGGUAGAACCAUAAUGAACAUGUAUGUUAGGACCCUAUUAUUGUGUGAAUGUGAGAGUUGGACUUGGACAUUAGUAAACAAAUGUGACAUGGACAAUAGAGACAUUGAUUGGCAUAGAGAACAUAGUUAUUAAACAUAGUUUAACCAAGAGUGGCAUUGAGACAAGAAUGACCUAGAGAGCGGCUUGAAUAAAUAGGUAGAAAACCUAUCAUGAUUGUGGCAUUUGUGGCAUUGUGGCUUAUGGCUAUACAUUCCCAAAUUGGGAAUCGGAUCAUACUCACAUUGAGUCUUGGCUUGAGGGAGGUCGCUCCUCCUCAAGCGGUGUGUUUCCAGAAAUCGACACCGCAGGGAGCGAGGUUGUAAUACACUGAACUUUUGCAAAUUGCGAAGUUCGAGUGUGUGGAAUGGUGUGUGGAUCACUCCUACAUGUUCUAAAAGGUUAGAACAAGUGUUUGGACAAGUUUGAGAGUGAUUGGAAUGCAAAAUAUAAGAAAAUGCAUUGACCUCCGAAAUUUCAGCAUUUUCUGCUUGCUGUACCGGUACAGCCAUUACCUUGUACCGGUACAAGCUGGCAGAUUCGUGAUAGCAGGGCCAAAUUGGUCAUUUCACAUCUUGUGCCUACCUAUUUGAUCCCAGCACGACUCUUGGAGCUUGCUGGAGUGUGCUAGAGCCCAGAGAAGCAACCUUGCAUCAUUUUCUCUCUCUCUCUCUAGGGUUUUUCUCUCUCUACAAAGAAUUCGCCGAUUUCGCUCNNNNNNNNNNNNNNNNNNNNNNNNNNNNNNNNNNNNNNNNNNNNNNNNNNNNNNNNNNNNNNNNNNNNNNNNNNNNNNNNNNNNNNNNNNNNNNNNNNNNCAUACAGUUAGAAUAUACAAUAGCUUAUCUUACCCCCCAAUUUGGGCAACGGUAGAAUCGACGUCCUUGGCUUGUUGGCUGCUUCGAUACCCAUAUUCUACAAGAUCUUCCGCAGUCGCACACAGGAAUUUGUGUGUCAGGAGUUGAUGCAGAUCUCUCACUUAGAUGGCUCUUAUGGCUAGAAGUGAGGCAAAUAAGAGAAAAAAAAAAGCUAGUAGAUGGAGAAGUAAGCUUGACUUAUUUUUGAGCCAUGGAUGUGCUUUUAUAAUGUUAGAAAAGAAGGUUACCGUUGAAAUGACCGUUGGAGGGUAAAUAGGAAACGAAUUUGAUAUUUUAAGGGCAAAUAAGAAAAGUAUUGGCUACAUGGAGGGCAUAAAAGAAAAGUAGGUUACGGUACGAGGGUAUAUUGGAAUGGGCAAAAUGGUAAUUUUGCAGGGAUAACGGCAACUGUUAGCACCUAACUGACGGAAUUUAACUGCAGGGGUAAAUUAGAAAGAACUUGGAACAUAAAAAAGGCAUUUUCAAUAUUAGCCUUCUGAUAGGGGUAAAUAAAAAAAUCAGAAACUUUUUAGGGGUAUAUAGGCAAUUGCCCCAAAAAUAAAUAUCUGAACUGAAAAAAUCAAAUUGAUGACGAAAUACAAAAUAAUCUUUAAUGCUUAGGGACUCAAUUGAAAUCUCCUCGAUGAAAGUUAUGAUCUCAAAUGUUGAAAUAACACUGGUAGUCCCUAACCUUCGCAUCAAUUUUUAUUUCAGUUCCCAACCUUUUUUUUGCAAUUAAGUCCUUAGUCUCUUAAUUUUAUUACAAUUACGUCUCAAACGUUAAAAAAAUGAUUAAAAUUAACGGAAUCGCCACAUUAACGUCUAUUUGGCAUUCUUUUGCAUGUCACUUUAGGUCCCUAAACUUUGCACAUUUUUCAUUUCAGUCCCUAAAAAUAAAAAUUUUAAAAUUUAAAUUUAAAUUCAAAAAUAAUAUUACAAUUAAAAUUUUAAAAUGACAACAAAUUAGAAUUUUUGAAUUUGAAUUUAAAGCUGAAUUAAAAUUUUGAAUUGAAAUUCAAAUUUUAAAUUUAAAUUUUUAAUUGAAUUUAAAAUUUGAAUUCAAACUUAAAAUUUUGAUUUUGAUUUUGAUAUUUCAAUUUACAUUUAAAAUGAAAGUUUUGAUACCGAAAUUUAAAUUUAAAAUUUGAAUUUAAAUUUAAAAUCAUAUUCAAAAUUUUGAUUUUAAAUUUUAAAUUUGAAUUCAAAAUUUAAAUUUGAAUUUAACAUUUGAUUUCAAUUAUAAAUUUGAAUUUAAACUUUGAAUUCAAAUUAACAUUUUGAAUUUGAAAUUUCAAAUCGAAGUUUGAAAUUAAAUUAGAAUUUACAAUUCCAAAUGUGAAUUUGAAUUUAAAAUUAAAUACAAAAUCGAAAUUUCAAUUCCAAUUUAAAUUUGAAUCCAAAAUCAAAAUUUAAAUUUAAAAUUUUAAAUCUUAAAUUAAAUUUUUUUUUGAAUUUAUAAAUUUAAUGGGUCAAUUACACCAUUGGUCCUCAACCUUUGUAUCGUUUUUCAAUUUGGUCCCAAACCUUUUUUUUUUUGCAAUCCGUUGACACGACACCUCCUAGGCGCUGAUAUGAUGCUGACGUGGUAGUUUACGUCAAUUUUAACAGCUAUCUAACUGCUGGGACUUAAUUGAAAUGGAAUCAAGAGAUUAGGGACUUGAUUGCCAUGAAAAAAAAGUUGGGGACCAAAUUAAUAAAUAGUGUAAACGUUAGGGACCAUUGGUGUAAUUAACCCGUUGAAAUAAAGAAUUUGGCGACCAAUCCGAAUAUUACUCAAAGUUUAGGGACCAUUAGCGUAGUUUACCCUAUUUUCUGGUGCUCUUUAAAGGGCGGCCAGAGCCCAAACCCUAGAGAAGGCCUAAACCUCCCCGCAGCUUUUCGCCACGCACCGGAGCGCUUCCUCUUCCCCUUUCUCUUUCUUGGUCGCCGCUCUCCGCUCUCCGCUCGCCGCCGCGUAAUUUUUCUUCCCCUCUAAUCCAGUUGGUGAUGGAGUUCUGGGGUAAGUCCUCUCCUUGUUUUCUUCUUCUUCUUCCUCUUUUUUCGCAUCUCCUGCUAUCACUCCUCCGGUGUUUCUUUUGUGUUAUUUGAUCUAUCACUCAAUGUCGCAAUAGUUUCUAUCAUACGUUUUUCUUCUCUAUUUGAUUCCCCGUUUCAUCUCCUCUUCCUCUUCCUCUUUCUCUUCCUCUUGUUGUUUUCUAUUAUUUUCUCUUUCUUCUUCAGGCGUUGAAGUUAAACCCGGAGAGACCGUCAAGUGCGACCCCGGAGACGACAAAUAUUUGCAUCUUUCGCAGGUCUUUGAUUUUUUUUUCUUUUUUAAUUUUUUACCGAGUUGUUUUUUUUUUUUUUUUUUUUUUUUUUUUUUUUUUUUUUUUUUUUUUUUUUUUUUUUCAAAAGUGCUGUGUUCUAGCAGAGCAUUUUAGCUGGUGCAUCUAUACUAAUUAUUAUUAUUAUUGCCGUAUUAAAUGAUAUUCAGGCGUCACUAGGGGAAACUAAGAAGGACAGGGCAUCUGAGAGCGUUCCGAUCUAUGUGAAGUUCAACGAUCAAAAGCUGGUCCUGGGAACCCUGUCCACAGACAAAGUCCCUCAAAUUUCUUAUGAUUUAGUCUUUGAGAAAGAGUUCGAACUCUCUAACAGUUCCAAGAACGCCAGCGUCUACUUCCUUGGCUACAAAACUGUUCUUGGCGACGAUGAGGAAUAUCCUUUCAAUUUUAUGAAAUUUUGAAUUCCUGCUGUUUUGUUCUUUUUUUUGAACUUUUUUUGAACUGCUUGCCUCUCAGUUGAUUUCCUUGACUCCAUUCUUUUGUCCUCCUCCAAGCCUUCUGAUUUCGGAGGUAACUUCGCUUUGUUAUUAAGUGUUUUUUAAUUUGCCAAGCAGGACUGUUGUUUCAUCAUCUGAUUCUCUGCCGUUUCUUUCUUCUUGCUUUCAGAUACUGAUUCUGAAGAUGAAGACAUUCCUCUAGGCCUGAGCUCAAAUGGUACUUUAUAUUGAAAAUAAUAAUGGUUUAAUCGUCUAAGUUUGUCGUAUUGUUCAUACAGGUACAUAAUGCGUAAACCGAUUGCUUAAGUUUACACUAGUGGUUGUAGAAGUGUGUGAGUUGUAAGAAACUUGCUUGCUGAGCACUAGUCUAAGCAACUUGCUUGCACAUAUGCACAUAUCCAGAAUUUCAUUGAAAGUACUAGAUUUCUUUAGAUAAGAAUUGGGGGGUGUUUAGCCUAGAUUUUGGAAAGUAAUUUUUAGGGCCAGAAGUGAUUUUUUUUUUUCUUUAAUAGAACGUUUGGCAACCUCUCUUUUUUAAAAUAUGAUUAUGAUUCUUACUUUUCUGAUUAUUGAGGCCCAAAACUGGAGGCAAUUAAAACCUGCAUCUUAAAAUAUGAUUCUAAUUUUGAACUCAAAAUUUUAAAAUUUUAAAUUCAAAUUAUAAAUUUAAAACAGAUUUUAAAUUUUAAAUUUUCAGGUUUUAAGUUUCUAAUUUCAGGUUUCAGUGUUUGGGAUUUUGGGUUUUGGGGUUUUGGGGUUCAAGUUUCACGUUUCUGGGUUUUCGUAUUUUGGGUUUCAAAUUUCAAGUAAAUUUAAAUAUACAAUUUUGAAAUCGAAUUUUAAAUUUUAAAAUUUUUAAGUUUUUCAAAUAAAUUUAGAUAUUAAGUUUUAAAUUUCAAAUUCAAUAUUAAAUUUUAAAUUUCAAAUUCUAAUUUAAAAAAAAAAUUAAUUAAAAUUUGAUAUUUAGGGUAAAAUUAAAAAUUUCAAACAUGUUUAAAUUUCUAAACUUCACAUUCAAAAUUUAAAUAUAUGGUUUUAAACUUUUAAAUUUUAAAUUUCAAAUUUUGUAUUUUGGUCAGAUUUUAAAUUGAAUGUUUUAAAAUUUUAAAGUCAAAUUUAAAUUUUAAAUUAAAAUUUUAAAAUAAAAUUUAGCAAAACAGAUAUUAUUUGCAACGAAGAAAAUUUUGCCACAUAUUUUUAUCAAAGUUCUUUAGAAAAAUCACUUUUCUAUUGCACCCAAUCAAACACUCCGCACCCUUUAACCAAAAUUUAUUUUUCAAAUCAAAAUCAAUUUUGCAGAAAUCGCUUUUUCAGAAUUUAGGCCAAAUAGUCUCUUAAUUAGAGAACUGAAUUCUCCCAAAUUAAUUCAAAACUUAUGCAAAAUAGGAAGAAUGACCGCUGUCACUAAUUUCAACAAAUUUUAGUAAAAUUUUUUGUUUAGUGGAAAACAAUUCUUUUGAAUAUGGAAAAUCAAAAUUCCCCAAAUUGUGCUUUUGUUGUCAUUUUGAUCAUUGAUCUGAUGAAUAGUAGUUGAAAAAAAGAAUUUGGAAAGAAACUCUAAACUUGUUUGGUUGAAGAAACUAGUCUACAGAAAAGGUGCUUCGAGCUGUGCUGUUGCACAGCGGUUGUGUCAUGCGAUACUUGGUUGGCAUAGUACGAGGGCCAUGUUGAUUUGCUCUUAAUUCCUAGGUUGCGAGGUGGCUUUUAUUGGUAGAAUAUAAAGCUGGAAUUGUUUCUUUUGAUUUUUAAGGGAAACCCAUGGUAAAGGAGGAAGAGGUGAAGCCUGCAGCAGCUAAGAAUAAUACUGCAAAGGCUGAUGCCUCGGCUGCAAAGACCAAGGUCAAGAUAGAGGAACCAAACAAGGCUAGUAGUAAACAGGAAGCAGAUGAUGAGGAUGACGAUGACGAGUCUGAAGAAGAUGCAUCCGAUGACGAGGAUGGCGAUGAGGUAUUUGUUAAAUAGGAAGAAGAAAAGGCUCAUGUAUUUACCCUUUUUUCUGUUUUGUAAUAUUUGUGUAGAUUUGCGAAGUAUUUGUAGUUACCAGUUGACACUUUCCAAGUAAUAUACUGCUUAAGUUGAUGGUUAUGAUGUGGAAAUCAUUCUUUUGACAAGCAUUACCUAGGGGUGGGCUUUCCUGGGGCUAUGCAUCUCUAAAUAUGCUAGUAUUUUUGUUUGCAGGACAUGCUCGAGGGAGAGGAGGAUAGCGAUGAUGAGGAUGAUAGUGAUAGCUCCGAUGAAGAAGAGGAGGAAACGACCCCUAAAAAGGUCUGAUUCCCAUCGGGCUUCUUAUUUCAUACCUACCCUUUGAUCUUUAUUUAUUUUCAAGCAUUAUUCUGCAUUUAUAUUUUUUAAUGAUCUUUUAUUAUAGGCCGAAAGCAAGAAGAGACCUGCCGAGCCUGCUUCGAAGUCGGGGAAAAAAGCAAAGCUGGCGUCCCCAGCGGUGGGCCAAAAAACAGGUUCUUAUCUACUUUGUUCUUUAUUUGAAUGAAGCUGCUUCUUCAGUAAUAUGAGCAUUCAGUCUUAAUAUUCUGCCACUAUUGUGGAGUCUGUCAUGGGGUAAUUUAGUUUCAUCACAUGCCGUUUUAUAUCCUCUUGUGCUAAAUACAUAGCAGAUGGGUGAAACUCAUAUAUUAAAAAUAUACGAGCAGGUGGUGAUGGUAAGGUAGGUGGGCAUGUUGCGACUCCACAUCCGGCCAAACUAGUUGGAAAGACGCCUGCGAGCAAUAAGCAGCAGCAGACUCCGAAAUCUGUUGGUUCGGUCACUUGCAAGUCAUGCUCCAAGUACGUCUCCGGCCUCCUCUCUCUCUAGCCUUCCUGUUCUCUUUCGUAUUACAUGAAUUAGUGGAAGUUUUGGCAAUGCCAUAUCAACUGCUCUCUUGUAUCGCAGGAAAUUCAACAGUGAGAAUGCUCUUCAAGCUCACACGAAAGCGAAGCAUAGCGCCGGCAAGUAAGUUGGAAGGAAUAGAACGUGAGGAAUUCUAGAAGCAAGUGGUUAUGGCUGUGGAAGUGAGAUUACUGAGUCGAAGUUGUCAUCGUUACGCGUUAUUCUUCUUUUUGGCUUUUUCGUUUUUUCCCUACUAUAAUCGUUGCUGAACUGUUGCGCACUUACUUUUAAAGACUCGUCUUAAUUAUUUAGGUCAGUGUCUAUUAGCUUCAAUUAAAGAAAAUGAUUUUGUGCCGUCAUUCUGUUAUCGAUUUUCUGUAGUAUCUCUGAAGCGCUCAACUGUUGGGCUGUAUUAAUUGCUUGCUAAGCCAGGAGAGGUGAAUCUUUUAAGGCGUUAGGAGUUUUGGUUUUGUAGAAGGAUAGCUAUGGUACUGUUUUAUCAAAAGUAAUUCUUUGGAGAAGGAUUGCUAUGGUACUAUUUUAUCGAAGCUAAUUCUUUGGAGAAGCGAUGAAAUUGGUGGGCAGCUGCUGUUUGCUGUUGAUUGUGGUUUAGGAUACAGAGGUCACUAUAAUCUACAUGUGGAAAGCAGUUGAUAGUUUUUAACGCAUGAAGUUUUGCGGUUGCGGUGUCGUUUAUGGUUUGUGGUUGGCAUGGUCAUCCGCGCGCCUUUGAUGGGAGUUUUCGGCAGAAGCAGAGUAACCUCUGUUCUCUCUUGUUCUCUCUUCCUCCCGUCGGCUAAUCCCCAAAGGCUGGGUUUUGAUGAUGAAGCCCUUUGGAAACCCCUUUGCCUGCAGCUCCAUUCUGAUCCAGCUGUGCUGUGGUGCCUUGCAUUAUCGCCCUUUAGUUGUUUGUGGAAAUGCUAGUUUGGUCUCCUAUCCUCCUUUGUCCCAAACCUCUAAUAAUAAUAUCGGUUUCUUAAAAGCUUUCAUGUGGUUUAUCGUACAAUUUUCCUACUGAUAUUAUGUUUUAAGGAUUGAUCGAAUUUUUUAUUUUGGAAAAUUUGGAAGUUUAUUGUUAGUCCAUCAUUUGUUUAAUGAAAUGUCAAUUUCAGCCUCUCCUUUCCCAAUUCCCGUUAAACGUCAAUAAUUUUAAGUUCAAUUUUUCAGAGCUUUUGUGUCUUUGGAUUCCAAUAGUUGUGGAUGUUUUCUAAGAUUAGAUUUUGAGUUCUGUUAGUGUUGUUGGCAUAUUAUGAUUUGGUGUAUGGCGUGCCAUACUGAUAGAUUUCAUUUAUAAAUAUACUUAUUUGCAGAUAUAUAAUGGUACGAAAUAUUUAUAUUUUUGAAUAUUAAUAUAUUUUAAUUGUUUAUUUAUAUUUUUAUUAAAUUUUUUUUUUGUAUUUAUUUUUGUAAUCUAUAAAUCUAUAUGAAGCCAUAAUAUUUUUGCCACAUGACAGGUUAUCUUUCAUUUUCAUAACUCAACUUUAAAUCAAAUCACCUUUUUCUCUUCUCAACACCCAACCCUUCACCUCCCCACUCCUGUAAUUAUAUGCAAGAUGCAAUAUUUAAUUAUAUGCAUCAUAUUAAUAUUCGUUAAUCCACUUUCCUUCUCCAUUAAUCUCCCACUCCCUCUCUUUUGUAACUCUUUUGCAUGCACCAUAAAUUUUUUUUUUGCCACGUGAUAUGUUAAAACUAUAAAUCAAACCACAUUUUCCUCUUCUCAACGCCCAACCCUUCACCCCCCACUCUAAUUACAUACAAGGUGUAACAUUUAAAUGCAUGCAUUAUAUUAAUAUUCUAUCAAUUAGUGGGUUCUAGCUAUAAUUUUAUUCUUUUAACAGUUGAAUUUAGUCAUGCAAAUUGGUUGUACUUAAUAUGGUAUAUUUUCCUAUAUAUCAAUAAGAUGUAAAUAAAUUUUAUUAAAAUUUUUAAAUUUUGUUUCUAUUAUCUACCCGCUGCGUCGCGCGAGUCUCUAUACUAGUUAUUUAUUAAUUUUAGAGGGAAAAAAAAAGGUUUUUAAACCUUGCCAUCUGCACUGCGUGGUAGGGUUUCAAAACCUUUUUCGAGAAUGCUAGUUUCAAGAAAAGAGGGUGUAGUAUCCCUGGUAUUCUGCAGUUGUGAGAUUUCAGCAUCUGAAGCUCAUCGACAUAUCUGGAGAGUGUCAAGACAAGUCCGAAUCGUUUUGGCGUGAAAUAGACGCAAAACGGAUUCAGUGUGACGUGAGAGCAGGAAUUUAGCAUUUAAAAUCUGCAAAUUGCAGGUUUACUGCAUUGCGUACCGGUACUACCCAGGGGCGUACCGGUUCCCCAUCGUAAUCCGCGAAUUGCUGCUCUCGGGUUGCGAAGGCUGAUGCAGGGUACCGGUACGGCAUUGGCCUGGUACCGGUACUUCAGGGUAGGUAAGGGGCUGUUUGGUCUUUUGCUACCUCGUUGUUAUCACCCUUAUCCCCUACCUCUUCUUAUACGUGUAGAGAGGUAGAGAAGGGAUUUUUUUCUGCUGUGCUCUCUCUCUCUCUAGUCCUUGACCGUGAGCAAGGUGGAGACCUCGGAUGGAAUUCGGAUCGACGUCGACGUUGCGCCGAGAAGCCGUCCGAGCGUGCGUACGUCGUUGUAGUACCGAUUGGAGACCGGGCGAGCGCGUGGUUCCUCUUCUUCUAACUUCUCGCCGUCGUGGAUUAGUAUUUCGAUGUGGGUUAAUGUUUACCGAAAUCGAUGGAUUUCCUCCUAAGCCGGAGUUGACAGCAUGUGUAUUUAGCUUCAUAUACCAUGUUAGUAGCUCAAUUCGUAGAUUUGCAUUGUUCUUAAAUGAAAUCUGAAUUGGAGCUUUAUAUGCUAGUUUUAUUAUACAUAUUGAACUUGGAUUUGACUUAGGAGAAAACUGUCGGUUCUACACUGUCAUUUUCUGAAACUACCAGAUUUAGCUUUAGGAGCUGUAGUUUGUUUGUAUUGCCGCAGUUUGUAGGCAGUGGAUAUCCAGAAUAGUGUAGAAUGAAUUUACGCUCGUGCUGGGAUACCGAGUUUAUUUUUAUAGUAGUGUUUAGACCGUUCCGGAUUGUUGGGUGCCGUUGUGGUUGACGGUGGACCUAGAUUGCUGUUUUUGCAUCAGAUUGUGCCGAGGGUAUGUUUAUUAUGGUUGUUAGACCAGUUAGACCCUUCUGCUUUAAUUAUAGCCUGUGAGAACCUGAUUGAGCUCGUCAGAGACAUGCUUGCAUACUCGGUUGGGUAGCGCCCACGAGUGCCACUCCGGAGUCAGGCCUAGUGCUUUUGCGUUGAUGUCGUUGCGUCCUGGUUGGACUUGUUCUCCACUGACGACCGAGCGUGGUGGUAGUUAGUGUAGUUUCGACAGGCGGGACGGGUGUGUUCACGGUCCCUAGUGAGAUUGGGUCAGAGAUUGCAUCUUCUACAGAUAGUUAGUGUUGAAUCGUAAUAGUAUAGUGGCAUAUAGCUGUAGAUUUGUUCCAGCUUCCUGUACUAUUUUGAGUAUACUUCUAUAGACUUAGUGGGUGAGCCGUUGAGGUCAGUAGCGGUAUCCACUGAUGACUACUUCUUUUUCCAGUAGUUCUCACACCCAGUUGUUGAAUCCUUUUUGCAGAGCCUUUUUCUUCCGCUGCUGCUGUUGCGGAUACAGAUCGUGGAAAGGAAAUUGCGAGUUAGAUCCCUUCUCGUUUUGCUGCUGAUCUAGAGAUUUACCAGCUACAGGUAGUGUUAGUUUUUGGUUCUUAUACACAUUGAUGUUAGAUCCUCGCUGGAGCGAGUGUUGUGUAUCUGGAGACUAUGUAUGUAUAAAGAAUCUGAUGUUAUAUAUAUAUAUAUAUAUAUGUUUUUCAGUUUAGCAGCUCUAUACUACUAGUUGUAUUUUUGUAUGAUUAUAAGUACAGGUACAACUAUCGCUUCAUAUACAGGAGAAAUUCCUUUGUAUACGGCAGAUUUGUCAACGUGCCCGAGGAAACGAUUAAUCCGGGGCGUGACAGAUUAAGUUGGUAUCAGAGUUUAGCAUUAGGUUGUUGGGACCUAGGAAUCCUAAAUUUGGCAAACCUUAGGAAGGCAAGACGCGAGAGGCGUGAUUUAUCGCGAAAGUCAGCGAUUGAACUGUUUUAACUUCUCCUAGAGUGGAGUGAGUAAUCGAAGGAGUGUCUGUUUCGGCCAAGAAAAAUUAUGUCGGCUGCAGAAGGCAUAAUUUUGAGGAGAAAUAGGGUCCGCCUUCUAGACUUUCGCUUCAUUGGGUCGAGAGUGAUUGUGUUUUGUAUCUGAUCCUUAUUUUGUUUUCUUACAGCUAUGUAUCGAUGCCGAGGCCGACCGCCAACCCGGGAUCGUGCCGCACCCCCUGAGAUGCCGAAGCAGGCAGGGCUGAGUGCAUCCUUGGAUCUGAGAGAGCAGUUAGCUGCCCGGACGGAGACGACGAGACAGCGGGGACAUUGUUAUAGAUGAUGUGUGAGACAUUAGCUCUGCAGCAGAGAACAACACCGAGAGUACCAGAGCAGUCAGCUCCACCCCCGACUACUCCUGAGGCCGCACCAGCCGUAGCUGUACCCCCACUAGCGAUAGUUCCUACAGCGCGAGUUACAUUCUUUGGAGAGGUGUCGCAGAUGUCAGAGGCCGAGCAGGAGCAGAUGACUGAAAGGUUUGCUCGUUUUCACCAUUUUGAUCCGCCAACCUUUGACGGUAGCUACACGGAGCCCUGAGUUGUAGAGGGCUGGGUGAGCGCGAUGGAGAAGCUAUUUGUGGAUCUAUUUAUACUAGAGAGGGAUCAUGUACACUUGGGAGUGCACUGCUUGGCUGGGGAUGCGCAUUCUUGGUGGAGGAGGCUGAGGCGUGACCGAGGGUUGGUAGCAUUGCAGAUAAGGUGGGAUGAGCUCUACGGAAUGCUGUACGGGGCGUAUUUCCUAAACAGCGUGAAGCAGAAACUUGAAGAGGAUCUGAAGAAGCUGCAACAGGGGGAACGAUCAGUUCAGGAGUACACCCGCGAGUUUACUCGGCUCCUGAACUAUGUUUCAUUUGUAGCGAGAGACGAGGCCUACCGAAUAUAUCUGUUUGAGCGAGGCUUGAGGCCAGAGAUCUUCAGGUUGGUAUAGGCGCGGAGGUUGAGGACCUUGGAUGCGUCUAUUGAGCAGGCUCUAUGGGUGGAGAGAGGUGAUGUAUCGAUCCGCGAGCGGGCGCAGGUACAGGUGCCGGGGCAGAGUGAGGAUAGGAAGCGCCCGGUUCCAGAUGACGGAGGACAGUUGAGCAGCAGGCUUCCGCCGAGGCCUCCACGAUCACGCUCCCAGGGUCGUGGGUCUUCGGGGCGUUAGCGUUCUCGGGGACCUCGUUAGCAGAGGCAGUCACAGGGGACGCCACAGUGUGUGAUUUGUGGGGGACCGCACUGGCCUCGACAGUGUAAGUAGAGAGAGGGCCGAUGCUAUGGAUGUGAACAGCCAGGGCAUAUGAGGGCAGCUUAUCCCCGAGCAGCAUCUACAGCACCAUCGACGGCGUCAGCACAGCUGGCACCUCAGCAGUCUUACAGAGCAGCACCGAGUUACCGCCAGGAGGAUAGAGCGUCUGUGCCGCUGCAGGGUGAGCGGUUACUGCAGGCCCCGAGUGGCAGGAUUUAUGCAGCCCAGGUGGAGGACUCUACGGCAGCCGACAAGGUGGUGGCAGGUAUUAUUUUGAUUUCUGGUAUUCGAGCUCGUACCUUAUUUGAUACUGAUGCAUUGCAUUCUUUUGUUAGCCGAGCAUUUGCAUUGUUGCAUGGUCUAGAGGUAGGGCCGUUGUUGCAUGCACGAGAGGUGCAGAUUCCCGACCAUACUUUGCAGGUGGUAAAGUAAUGUUGGUCAUGUCCGGUGCAGUUGGGCUCGUGGAUUAUGCCUGUAGACCUGUUGGUCUUAGGGCAGCUGCAGGACUUUGAUGUUGUGCUUGGCAUAGAUUGGUUGGCGCGGUACUAUGCUACGAUCGACUGUGGAGUGAGGAUUGUGACGUUCCGCAAGGCAGGCCAGGAGGAGUUCACGUACAGAGGUUGCAGGAGUACGUUGUUUGCUACUUAGAUUUCGUCGGCGAGGGCUCGACAGCUGAUGAGUAGGUUGUAUCGCUUUUCUGGCGACUGUUGUGGAGGUGCCUACGGCUGCGCAGGGACUCGAGGAUAUUCCUAUAGUCCGCAAGUUUUCGGAUGUUUUUCCCCCAGAGUUGACGACUAUGCCGCCGGAUAGAGAGAUCGAGUUUGUGAUUGAUAUAGUUUAUGGAACUGCACCAAUCUCGAAGGCACUCUACCGGAUGACACUGACAGAGCUGAGAGAACUAAAGGCGCAGCUUCAGGAUCUGAUGGAUAAGGGGUAUGUGAGACCCAGUGUAUCGCUUUGGGGAGCGCCGGUGUUAUUUGUAAAGAAGAAGGAUGGUUCAUUCAGAUUGUGUGUGGAUUAUCGAGAGCUGAAUAAAGUGACCAUUAAGAAUAAGUUUUCUUUACCGUGCAUCGAUGAUCUGUUUGAUCAGCUGCAAGGAUCUUGUGUCUUUUCGAAUAUUGAUCUUUAGUUAGGUUACCACCAGUUGAGGGUGAGGGCCGAGGAUGUUCCCAAGACGGCUUUUCGGACUCGGUACGAGCAUUAUGAGUUCACUGUGAUGUAUUUUGGAUUGACGAAUGCUCCUGCCGCAUUUAUGGAUAUGAUGAAUAGAGUAUUCAAGCCAUUAUUGGAUAGAUUUGGAGUGAUUUUCAUUGAUGAUAUCUUGAUAUACUCCCGUAGUGAUGCCCAGCAUGAGGAGCAUUUGAGGAUUGUGCUACAACUUCUGAGAGAGAAGAAGUUGUAUGCUAAACUGAAGAAGUGUGAGUUCUGGCUUCAGAAAGUUUCUUUCUUGGGCCAUGUGAUUUCUACAGUUGGCGUAGCAGUGGACCCGAAGAAGAUUAAUGCUAUUCGGGAUUGGCCCAGACCGACGACGGUUACCGAGGUGAGGAGUUUCCUUGGAUUGGCAGGAUAUUACCGUCGGUUUGUGGAAGGCUUUGCGAAGCUUUCCACUCCCCUCACUCGAUUGACUUGAAAGGGAAUUAUGUUCAUCUGGAGUGGGGAUUGUCAGAGGAGCUUCGAUGAGUUGAGACAGAGGUUGAUGUCGACUCCUAUCCUUGCCCUUCCGGUGAUGGGGGAAGGAUUUGUGAUUUACAGUGAUGCCUCGCAAAGUGGUUUGGGUUGUGUGCUGAUGCAGUAUAGUAGGGUAAUUGCUUAUGCUUUCCGGCAAUUGAAGGAUUACGAGAAGAAUUACCCUGCGCAUGAUUUGGAGCUUGCCGCAGUGGUCUUUGCUUUGAAGUUGUGGCGAUAUUACUUUUAUGGCGAACACUGCGAGAUUUUCACGGAUCAUAAAAGUCUCAAGUAUCUGUUUAUCCAAAAGGAGUUGAACCUGAAGCAACGCCGGUGGUUGGAGUUGUUGAAGGACUAUGAUAUUAGUAUUCAGUAUCACCCCGGCAAGGCAAAUGUGGUGGCAGAUGCGUUGAGCAGGAAGGCAGUGCAGAGCUUGAGCAUGUUGAUUACUCAGCAGAGGCCGUUACUUGAGGAGCUGUAGCGGUUGAGGCUCAAGAUAGUGUCCCCUGGGUCUACUGCAAGACUGAUGUCUAUGGUCUUGCAGCCCACUCUGUUGGAUAGGAUCAGGGAGAAACAGAGUGGAGACCCUCAUUUGGUGAGGAUUCGAGAGCAGUUAGAGAGGGGACAGGCAGAGGCUUUUUUUUAUGGACAGUUCGGGAGUACUGCGGUACAGGGACCGACUGUGUGUGCCUAUGAAUUCAGAGAUCCGAGAGGAGAUUUUGAGAGUCCAUUACUCACCUUAUAUGGUUCACCCCGGUGGAAUUAAGAUGUAUAAGGACUUGAAGACACACUUUUAGUAGAAUGGAAUGAAGAGAAAAUUGGCAGAUAUGUAGCUCAAUGUCUGACUUGCCAACAGGUAAAGGCAGAGCAUUAGGUACCUGCUGGCAAGUUUCAGAGUCUGCUAGUGCCCGAAUGGAAAUGGGAACAGAUCAUGAUGGACUUUGUCGUGGGGUUACCGAGAGCACAGGGUGGUUUCGAUGCUAUUUCGGUGAUAGUGGACAGACUGACUAAGUCUGCUCACUUCUUACCAGUACGGACCACCUGGUCUAGGGAGAGGCUCGCUCAAUUAUAUUUGGAUGAGAUUGUGAGAUUGCAUGGUGUGCCGAUUUCGAUAGUAUCAGACCGAGACCCGAGAUUUGUUUUGCAUUUUUGGAGGAGUCUUCAGACAGCCUUGGGUACACAGUUAUAUUUCAGCACAGCAUUUCACCCACAGACGGAUGGUCAGUCAGAGAGAACCAUUCAGACUCUGGAGGACAUGCUGAGAGCAUGUGUCCUGGACUUUGGAGGAGGGUGACAUCGACAUUUGAGACUGGCUGAGUUUGCGUACAACAACAGCUAUCAAACAAGCAUUCAGAUGGCUUCGUUUGAAGCGUUGUAUGGAUGCAGGUGUCGAUCCCCUUUGCAUUGGAGUGAUGUGGGUGAAAGGAAGACCAUGGGGCCUGAGAUUCUAAUAGAGGUUGAGGAAAAGGUUAAAGCUGUACGACGACAUCUUUUGACAGCACAGAGUCGGCAGAGGAGUUACGCCGAUACCGGGAGACGAGACUUAGAGUUCUAGGUUGGAAAUCAUGUGUUUUUGAAAGUCUCAUCGUCUAGAUGGAUACGCAGAUUCGGAGUGCGUGGAAAGCUCAGUCCACGUUUUGUAGGCCCUUUUGAGAUGUUGGAGCGAGUUGGACCAGUUUGUUGCAGGAUUGCUCUACCCCCACGACUGGCCGAUAUUCAUAAUGUUUUCCAUGUCUGGGCAUUGAGGAGAUACGUAUUCGACCCCUCAUACGUGAUCGACUUCACUCCGCUAGAGCUUGGCGAGGAUUUGAGAUAUGAGGUACGACCGGUGCGAAUUUUGGUUCGUGAGACGAAAGAAUUACGCAGACGGGUCAUUCCUUAUGUAAAAAUACAGUGGAGUCAUCACGAAGAGCGUGAGGCGACGUAGGAGCCGGAGAUGGUGAUGCAGGAAUCCUACCCUUACUUAUUCAAUGCUUAGGAUUAGGUAUGCGUUAAGUUUCAAGGACGAAACUUUUUGUAGUAGGGGAGGAUGUACUGUCACGCUCCGAGACCGCUACCAAUUUGGUCCGGUUCGGGCACGUCGAAUAGACGCUGAACGGACAGUACCUCCCCUGUCCGCCCAAGGCUCACAACAAGAAUGUGUACAAGAAUACGUGUUGUAGUUGCUUUAUUACUUAUGCAGUUCAUGCUAAGUAGAGAUAUCAUGAUAGAAUAGUACUCAUGGUUAUAUACUUGUUCAUUAUUUCGCUUUCGUUUAUACUUGUACUGACCCUCUUUUGUAGCUUUUGGGCCUAGUGGCGCAUUUCACUGAAGUCAGUAAUUGCCCACUGGGAACUAUUAUUUAAUAGUUCUCACGCCCUCUGUUUUAUGGUUUUAUUUCAGAGCCUUCGGCACCGGCGGAGGCACGGGAUCGCGGCAAGGGAGUCGCGCAGCUAGUUAGCGGGAAACUACUUUUGAGCUUAGGUGGUUUACUCUUUCUUUUAUUGUAUUAGGGAGAGAGAGAGAUUUUGAGUACCAUGUAUAGAGAGACCACCUAUGUACUUGUUUAGCUUUUGUAUUGGGAUUCCUAUUGUUUUCACUUUAUGUUUUUACUUAGUGGAUUUACUUUUACAUUCCUUACCCUUAUUGUAGCUUCUAGAUAUAACUUGCUCUGAUGCUUCUAGAUGUUCUUUUUAUUGCUUUAUUUAUCGUUUUGCUUAGACGCCUUAUAUGUUUUAGACAUAUGGCGGGUCUGGGUACGCGCCGGGUGGGCUUUCGCUGGGUCCCGGGGCAUGACACCGGUCCCUCUGCCCGAAAAUUGCCCAGUCCUGGCAGUGCACAGGUUGCUUAGUUGAGGGGCUUUUCUGGAUAUUGUUACUUGAGCGGGGUUAUUUGGCCUUUUCACUCCCUCUCUUCCUCAUUUCUCUCCAUCACACUCUCUCUUACACUCUAGAAAGAGAAGAAGAAGGAAAAGGAAGGAGGAGAAGAAGGAGGAGAGGAAGGAGAGCAAGCCAAGAGGACCUUGGACAUCUUCCUUUCCCUCUUUUCUCACCAUUGGAGGCUUGGAGUUUGUUGUUGGAGCUUUGUGGGGAAAGGACCUUCAACCCUAGAGCACUUUGAGCUUGGUUUGGAGCUUCUCUUGAGGUUGGUAGCAUGUAUUCCUCAUUUGAUGCAUGUUUUUCUAGAUUUUGUUAGAUGAAACCCUAGAAAUGAGAUUUAGGGUUUAUUUUUGGGGCUUUUUAAUUAUAAGCUUUUGGAGCUCUAUUGAUUGAUUUAGAACCUUGGUAUAGGUUGUUUUGGAAGGGAUUUGGCUUCCAUUUGAAAUUUUUUAGAGGAUUUCUACGCUAUAGGUGAGUUUUCUCCACCUUAGCUAGAGUUGGUUAAUGUUUGAGCUUUGGGAUGUUCGUAAGGUUCGUUUAACUCUUGUUCCUACAUCUUUAGGGUGUUAGGAGACUAGUGGGCACCUUUGUCGGAGCAAACGAAGGAUCGCAAGAGUUGUGGUGGGCUUGGCUUCAUGAAAUCAGGGCAAAACGGCCCCUAUGUGUAUUAUACUUGUCGUAACGUCAAUUUGAUUGCAUAUUCAUGCUAAAUGGAAUUUAUGUAAAUUUUAGAACACUUAAAAUGCAUGUGUUAUGUAUAAUAGAAAUUUCACUCUAUAUAGUGGAGCUAUAUGUGUAGGCUGCAUGCAUGUGGAAGUGUUUAUCUUUGCGAGUUGAUUACAUGUCUCGUGCGAGGAAAAUGAUCAGAAUUAUGUAUUCAUGAAUAUAAUUAUCAUGUUUUGACUUAGUGAACAAAAGUGUCAUGAAGGGGCACAUGAACCAGCAAACUGGAAAACUGCAAUAUAGAGAUAUAGUGAUAGGCUAUUGACAUCUACUAGGCCCUUGAGACAUUUGAUACGUUCCAUGUUUUAGACAUGAUGACUUGAGACUUCAGACCUGAGACUUGAGACGGAUCUUACGCUUGCUUGCCAUUGUGCUCAUUCACACAUGCUUGUGAAGGCUGCUCCCUACAAGCCGGCACUCCGGAGAUGGCCAUCGCGAUACAUAUUCACCGUGCGGGAUUGGGCGCCGAAGUGGAUUGCCGUGGGCAAGGCUCAUUUUUAGAGUGGGGCUGUUGACUACCACGGGACCAUUAGGCUCGGCACCGGCCAGACAGCCUACGGGUGGGUCUACAGGUCAGACAGCCUUCGGGCGGGUCUUCCAAGAUUUAACUUUAAAUAGUUAACAUGAUAAGUGAACAUUGACUAGAAUAGUAAACAAUGACAUUUUACUACUACAUUGUGGAUAUUAUGGUGAUUGUAUACUCGUGCAUUUUCAUGAUAAAAUAGCUUUCUUACUUAUGCAAUUCCGUGCUAAGUAGAGACCUCAUGUGGUAGCAAGUACUCAUGUUUAUUUACUUGUCGUAUAUAUCGCUUUUGUUUAUACUCGUACUUACCCUUUUUGUAGCUUUUGGGCCUAGUGGAGCUUUUCACUGAAGUCAGUAAUUGCCCAUUGGGAACUAUUAAUUAAUAGUUCUCACGCCCUCUAUUUUAUGGUUUUAUUUCAGAGCCUUCGGCACCGGCGGAGGCAUGGGAUCGCAGCAAGGGUGUUGCCUAGCUAGAUAGCGGGGAGCUGCUUGCUCUUAGGUAGUUACUCUUUUUUUGUGUUUUGGAGAGAGAGAUUUUUGUAUCAUGUAUAGAGACCACCUAUGUACUCUUUUAGCGCUUGUUUUGGGAUAUCUAUUGUAUUACUUAUGACUUUUAUUUAGUGGUUUUGGCUUCUUUCACCUAUUCUUGCUGUAGAAAUCUAGAUGUACUUCGCUCUGAUACUCCUAGAUGUUCUUCUCUCAUUACUUUAUUUAUCGCUUUGUUGUAGACGCCUUGUAUAUUUUAGACAUUUGGCGGGUCUGGACACGCGCCUGGCGGGCUUUCGCUGGGCCCCGGGGCGUGGCAGGUUGGCAAUUCACCUCAAGUGUACUGGUACAACCAUCAAGGUGUACCGGUACAAAUCCUGUACCGGUACAACCAUCAAGGCUGUACCGGUACACAGCCUGACUGAGGCUAACCCGAGAGCAGGACCAACAAUCCACCCUUUUGGAUUUUGGUACUAAGUUUCAAACCUCAAUUCUCGGGAUAUGAGCCAUAGGUCGGAACACUGUCAACGACCCUCCAGAAUAUCUGGAAAAACUCAUAACACUCAUCAAACACUCGAACCUCGUAAUUUGCAAAGGUCCAGUGUGUUACAUUCUCUUCCCUCCAUUGGGGUGUGUGUGUGUGGUGGGCUGAGGAAGAAGAAGAAAGGGGAGAAAACCCUUUUUAAAGUCAAACCCCCACCACAAUAUUACAAGAAUGCCACUCUACGCUGGGCACUUUUCGGGCAUGGGGUCUGGACUUUGGCCCUAGGGUCUGGACCCCGUAGGUCCAGAAAAACUGCAAAUUUCAGCCUUUUUCAAUUUCGCUCCGUUUUGCUUCGUUUUCGCUCCCAGGGUCCCCGAUGCAUUUCUAAUCAUUCCGAGAACCCCGAAACACAUUUUCGAGCGCGUUUAGAUCAACGUUUCAUCCACGCUUCGCCGGAUUAGGCCAAAGUUAAACAUAGCUACUCGAGUUCCGUUUCUGCGUCCAACUCGCACCGAAAACAAUCGGAUGCACCCGAACUUCACCGAAACUACUCCAAGAAAAGCUUUCCAAACUAAUAUACACCGUAACUUCAUAACUAUAGAAGUUCGGUAUGUUAUAGUGCUUUUAACAUUCUAACCACCCAUCAAAAUUGAUGGAUGGUUUGGAAGUUAGGAGCAUGAUGGCUGUUGUACUCUUAAUAGCACAGUAGCCCUACUCUCUCUCUCUAUAUAUAUAUAAAAAGAGAGGGAGAGAGAGAAAGAGAGAGAGUUGAGCUGGAAUACUAUCGGUAGCAAAUGGGCUCUGUUGCCACCCAUUUGUUUUCAAUAAUGGAGCCCCCAAAUCGAUGAUCAGUACAAUUGAACAUGAUUUAUAUCAUUUGAUGCAUGUAGAAACCAAAUUUCAUGCUUUUCUGAUAUUGUUCUCUUGUCCAUCAAGUAGGCAUAAAAAUGAAUGACUGAAAAUGCAUAUCCUUUAAAAACUGAUGAUAGGAGUUUGGCAAUCAAGAUCAAGAGUAUAGAUCUUAUUUCAAAUAGUUCAAAGAAUUUUCUAAUAAAAAUCCAAUUGAUUUGGAUAUCUUUAUACUGUUAAACGAGAAAAUAUCUCAUAUCGGCUAUUAAAAGUACAGAUUUUAAAACCCUUUAAUUAUUAGGGCAAUGAUGUUGAAAAAUUUUGAAACUUGAUUUCUACAUACUUCAAGUGGUAUAGAUCAUGUUCAAUGGUGCCGAUCGUUGAUUUGGAGGCUCCAUUAUCGAAAACAAUUAGGUGGCAACGGAGCCCGUUUGCUAUCAAUAGCAUUCCAGCUCAUCUCUCUCUCUCUCUCUCUCUCUCUCUCUCUCUCUAUAUAUAUAUAUAUAUAUAUAAAAAGAGAGAGAGAGAGAGAGAGAGAGAGAGCGAGAGUUGAGCUAGAAUACUCUCAAAAGCACCAUGAAGGUGGUGCUUUUGAGUUUUUAGCCAUUGGAUGGAGAGAUGUGAGGUUGAGAUGAUGGUGGUAAAUGGUGGUAGGUGGUGGUAGGUGGAAUAGUGUUUGAUCCAAGGGCUAUUAGUAAUCAAGAGUUAGUCUUACAAAAGUCUUAUUUCGAACAUAGUCAUUUUUAAAACGUAAGAUCUGAAUAUCAAUUGGUUAGGUUCUGUACUUCUUUAAUUAUUAGAACUAGCUAGUGUCUAACUCAAUUUAUAAUAUACAGGGAUAAUGACUUUGAGAUCCUCGCCAGGUAGUGGAGGAGGGUGGACACUAUCACUUUAGUCUGCACUACACUUCAGAUUAGCCGUAUUUUUUUCUUCGAUUGCCUAUUGGGGGAAAUUUUUACUUAUCGAUAUUUUGAGUCCCAUCGUGUUUAGGGAGUCCUCCUGAUUUAGACCUUGAACGAAGUCUGGUUGCUCGUUAACUCUCGUUCCUAACUCAUUGAAGGGUUUUCUUCAAGAAGAACUCUCUCUCUGCGCACUUUUUUGAUUCUCAUGUUACCUAGUUGCCAUUUCCGAAAGCGCUUUGAUUCGAAAAUGACCAUUACAACUUGUUUAUUUUACUGCAGAUUUUCGAAACUAUUUACUGACUCGAUUAUCAAAUUUAUACACAUAGGAUUGUGUUCGAAAAUGAUAGAAGUCCAUUCAAAUCAGUAUGAAAUUUUGAUACAAAAUUAUUCAGCCUCACUCUCAUCUACAACAGAUGCUUAAGUAUUUUAUUCCGAUGAUCAGCAGUUCAAUUUUGCUGCUAUUCACAUUUGUUUAAUGGAUAUUUUUAAUUUUUCAGCCCGUUUAAAAUAAUUGAUUUUGAGUUCAUUUCGAUUGCUAGGUAAAUGAUAUCGCAAAAAAUCGUAAAAUUUAUUUUCAUAGAAACUCAAUACGCUAGAUCAAGUUUAACGAGCCGAUCGUCCAUUCAGAAGCUCCAGAUCAUCGAAAAUGGCCCUCACGGAGCCGUGCUCCUGACGAAGCACUAGCAGCGCCUGUAUAUAUAUAUAUAUAUAUAUAUAUAUAUUAUUAUAAUCUUAUUUAAUCUAUUAUCAUAUAUAUAGUGAUAUCAAAUUAGGUGGUAAUCUAUUAAAUAGUUAAAACAUUCUUUUGCCUAUCAGAUUUUUACGAUUUUAAAAACCCUUGACUGUUCAAAAAUCUCUGGCGUAGCAAAAUUAACAGGGGUUAUUAAGCAUGAUAUAAUAGAUCACUUUCGGUCUUGAGAAAUCUCGAAAGAGUAUUUAAGCUUAUAUUGGAAGUGUUCACUUAUCGCCUCGUCUUCGACGUGGUCUCCACUGGGUGAACAUAUAGCUUAUUUAAUCCAUCUUGAGAGUCUUAGGAAAUAAAUGUAAAGAAGUUUGUUUGAUGUUCCAAGGCUAAAAGAACUUACGGUAUCACAAUGUCGAUUAUUGCUACCACACUAGAUUAUCAGCAAAAUGACGUGCACGGCUAACAUAAUAAUAUAGUAGGAUUUAAUACAUAAAAAAGUUUUCAUAUGUAAUUUUAUAACCACAAAAAAUUUUCUAAUUAAUCUUUAUUAAUUAUUAAAACAAAAUAAAAAAAAGCCCAUAAUAGGUGGUACAAAUUUCAUUAUAACUUUUCAGAAAACAGGAUGGAAAAUAAAAUGGGAAAGUCCGGCAAAUAAAAAUAUGGACAAUUAAUCUAUUAGGGGUGAUAUUAAAGUACACAAGCUAAGGGAGAAAAAUAAAUUUUGGACUAGAAAGUAAAUAUGUCAAUUAAUGCAAACUUUCAUGAUGCUCUGAUUAAUCUAAACAUAGGAAUUCGUAGGCAAAAUAAUUUACAUUUUACAUUAUUGAUGGUGCGAAAUAGUAGUAUAACUAAAUAUUGAUAUGAAAAAUUUAGCAAAUGACUAUUAAUUAUUAUAAGCGAUAUUUAAUGAGGUACAACUAAAUUUCAUAUUUUGAACAAAUUAGAAUAAGCAGGGCAUAUAUUAUGUUUUACGCUACUAUCGUUUUAAUUCAAAAAUUAUUAUGGAUGAUUGUUUUCAAGAAAUAUAAAGAAAAAAAAUUUGUUGCCGAUGAGAGUAGAAGGAGAGUUACAAUGGAUGUAAGUGACGUCAGACAGGCAUCAGGGGAAAAAAAAUAAUAGAUAUGAAAUAUAGAAAUAUAAUUCUUACCAAGAAAUUACAUUAGGGGCUUUAUGCAAAAACACAAUGAAUAGGAUUUAAAUAAUAUGUUUUACUAUUUUUAAUUUAGUUAUUUAAUAAUCUUGUCAAAAACAGCAAAUCUAAUUGACAGAACGUGUUUCUUCAUUAAUACGAUAAUUUUAUUUUUUAAAUAAUUAAUUAAUUGCCAUACGGAACUUCUGAGUCUUUUGCGACAUUUUUUUUAUCUGGAUAUUGUUAUAAUACGAUUUCAAUAAUUCGACAACAGGGAUUCUUCGAAUGAAUAUGUCGCAAACACUAAUUUUAAAUAAUUAGAUUACUCUACCAACGUGCGAUUUUGAGUUGUCAUGUUAUCUGACCAUAUACGCAAUUUCUGGUUUAGUUUCGAUGUUUAUAUAUAUCCUGAUACUUACUCAGACAUUUGUAGUCUUGAACGUUAGAUUAUUGGUCGGAACCAAUAGAGUAUUUAACAUAUUAUUUAAAUUAAUUUUCAUCCUUAUUAUUUUUAACAUAUUAUACUGCCACAUAUGUAUUUGAGUUUAGACCUUUUUUUUUCGCAACUAACAUUUCAAAUAAUUCGCAACAGAUUAUUGCUUAUUAUCGCAACAAUAAUUUUAAAUAAUUAAUUAUCUGCCAAUACGAAAUUUGAGUUUGCAACAGAUUAUUUCCACCGCGAAAAAAUAAUUCGCCAAUAAUUUUAAAUAAUUAAUUAAACCAAUAAUUUCAAAUAAUUCGUAACCAAAUAUCUAUAUUUGAGUUUGACACGUGGCAAGCAUAUAGAAAGUCACGUGUCAGCUUCUCACAUAGGGUUCAUUAAGGGUUCUACUUUUAUAUAUAGUAAUAGAUAAUAGAUAGUAGCCCAGUCCAACUCUCUCUCUCUCUCUCUCUCUCUCUCUCUCUCUCUCUCUCUCUCUCUAUAUAUAUAUAUAUAUAUAUAUAUAUAUAUAUAUAAUUAGGCUACUAUUAUCUAUAGUACCGGAGCUUCGAUACUAUAGUUUUGUUUUCGAUCUUAGGGUGUCCAAAUUAACGAUCCACACCGUUAAAUAUGAUCUAUGGUAUAUGAAGUUUUUAGGAAUAAAAUUUUAGUUUUUUUUGACAUUGUUAACUUAGUAAAUAAAUUAUGUCAAAAUGGACGGUGGAAAUUGAAUAAUCUUUAAAAUUUGAGUAUAGGGCUUUUAAAUUCAAGAUCAAAAAUGUUAAACUUAAUCUAGAUAUUUUAAAGUAUUUUCUAUCAAAAUUUGAAGAAAUUUAGAUUCUUCUACACCGUUAAACUUCAAACUCGCUAUAGUAGCCAUUGAAAAUUGACAAUUUUGAAAUGGUUUGAUCAUAAAGUAAAUUAUGUCAAAAAAAAUAUAAAAUCCUAGAUUUGUUUUAACGGUGUGGAUCGUUGAUUUGAACACCCUAAAAUCGAAAACGGGACUAUAGUACCGGAGCUCCGGUACUAUAGAUAAUAUAGGAGACUAGCUCUAUAUAUAUAUAUAUAUAUAUAUAUAUAUAUAUAUAUAUAUAUAUAUAUAUAUAUAUAGAGUCCCGCUAUGGUGCUUGUAAAAGUANNNNNNNNNNNNNNNNNNNNNNNNNNNNNNNNNNNNNNNNNNNNNNNNNNNNNNNNNNNNNNNNNNNNNNNNNNNNNNNNNNNNNNNNNNNNNNNNNNNNNNNNNNNNNNNNNNNNNNNNNNNNNNNNNNNNNNNNNNNNNNNNNNNNNNNNNNNNNNNNNNNNNNNNNNNNNNNNNNNNNNNNNNNNNNNNNNNNNNNNNNNNNNNNNNNNNNNNNNNNNNNNNNNNNNNNNNNNNNNNNNNNNNNNNNNNNNNNNNNNNNNNNNNNNNNNNNNNNNNNNNNNNNNNNNNNNNNNNNNNNNNNNNNNNNNNNNNNNNNNNNNNNNNNNNNNNNNNNNNNNNNNNNNNNNNNNNNNNNNNNNNNNNNNNNNNNNNNNNNNNNNNNNNNNNNNNNNNNNNNNNNNNNNNNNNNNNNNNNNNNNNNNNNNNNNNNNNNNNNNNNNNNNNNNNNNNNNNNNNNNNNNNNNNNNNNNNNNNNNNNNNNNNNNNNNNNNNNNNNNNNNNNNNNNNNNNNNNNNNNNNNNNNNNNNNNNNNNNNNNNNNNNNNNNNNNNNNNNNNNNNNNNNNNNNNNNNNNNNNNNNNNNNNNNNNNNNNNNNNNNNNNNNNNNNNNNNNNNNNNNNNNNNNNNNNNNNNNNNNNNNNNNNNNNNNNNNNNNNNNNNNNNNNNNNNNNNNNNNNNNNNNNNNNNNNNNNNNNNNNNNNNNNNNNNNNNNNNNNNNNNNNNNNNNNNNNNNNNNNNNNNNNNNNNNNNNNNNNNNNNNNNNNNNNNNNNNNNNNNNNNNNNNNNNNNNNNNNNNNNNNNNNNNNNNNNNNNNNNNAAAUUAAAUUUCAUAAUUUUUCGACAUCAUUUACCUUACGAUCAAAAGCUCACAAAAUUGAUAAUUUUUAACGGCCGGUAUGGAAUACUUGCUAGUUUAAUGGUGCAAAAGAAUCGGAAUAGGUUGAAUUUUUGAUAAAAAAUUCUAUUCACUACCUAGAUAAAGAUCAAUAAUUCCGAUCUUAAAUUGAAGGAUCUGAUCAUCCAAUUUUUAAGACAUCGUUCGAUUUUGACCGUUCAUUUUAUGCCCGCUUGAUGGACUUUAUUAUGAUUUCAAAAAAUUACGAAAUUUAUUUUUUAGAAGUUUCAAAUACUCUAGAUCAUAUUUAAUGGAGUGGAUCGUCGAUUCGGAAGCUCCAUCAUUGAAAACAACUUAUGAGUACGAAGGACCCAAUACUCAUAAUAGUAUAGUAGCCCUACUAUAUACAUAUAUAUAUAGGCAUUCUUUCGAAACUCUAAUUCUCAAAUUAUACCCUAUUCUAAAAAAGACUUUACAAAAAGGCCCCGGGUAAAAUCAUGACAAAAAAAGAGAAAGGAAUGGUGAAACGGGAGAAGGCGAAGAGAGAGAAAAAAAACAAAUGAGAGAGAGGAGGGAGAAAGGGGAUAAAAAUAAUUUGGUCAGUUUAUUAAAAAUUCAGAUCUGAUCUAUAAAAUCUGAAAAACUAUCUUAUUUUUGCAAAAACAUAAAACCAAUGAACUUUUUAGGCAAAUUGGCCAUUUAUUAUUGUACAGAAUAGUCCAGAGGUUUGCCCUUUCGAACCCUAUAGGCUAUAGCUUAGUUUUGGCGUUAGCCAGUUCCCGAUCAACUUUAUAGUCUCUGGCCACCCUUAUCCCAUCGUCCAAAAAUAGAGGGUAAGAGGGUAAGGGUGGCACAGAGACAAAGAGUUGAUGUUUUUGAGACUGAGUUGUUGAGGGCUUGAGUGCUCUAGGCUGAACAGAGGAUAAGACAAGUGACAGAUGGCAAAAUAUUUUUUGCUGGGGAAAAAAAAUCUUUGAAGUUUAGACAGAAUUUGACAUAUUUCUUUUCUUAUCAAAAAUAGCAAAAUAUUAGGUAUAAAUUCAACUCAAGAACUUCCAAUUUCAACUAGUCAAAUCCAAAAUGGACUAUCUAUAUAAAUAUAUGAAUCCAGAGUUAGGAUCCAGGUGGUGGGAAGGGGAAGCGGGAGGGGCUAGGGUUGGGGUUGGGGGUGGGUGUGGGGGCCCACUUGAGGGGGGUGGGCAUAGUUCUUUUUUUUAUUUUUUACUUUAAUUUUUCUCUCUCCUCUGAUUUGGACCGUAAAAUUAGGCUUAUUUUUUUUUAAUCUAAUCUAUUUUUGCUCUCUCUCAUUAUAAAAAUUUAAAAUAUAUAAUUAUUUAUACAUAACUUUUAAAUAGUUUAGAUUGUAUAUAUUAAUAUAAAUUUUAGUUUUAUAAUAUUAAUCAAUUAGAUAGAUUGUACAAUAAAAAUAAAAGAGAGAUUGAUGAAGUUUAUCUUAAUUAGUUAUUUUAAUAAAUUUAGUUGCAAAAAUUACAUGAAGUAUGCUAACUAAAUCAGUAAACCUAAAUGACGCAUUCAAAUUUUGAAAAAAAUAUCAUUGACUAAUUCAAAUCUAAUACAUAAGAAGAUUAGAUAGUAAAAAUAAAAUUUUAAAAGGUUGGAUAGCUGAUUUAAUAUGGUUCGUAUUUCAGAAAAACUCUAUAUGAUUUUACUUUGAUUUUAAUAUCAAACUUUAAUACUAUAUUUAUAUUGUGAUAAACGAUCAAUUUCAUAUUUAAAAUAUUUUGGAACAUCCAAAAUAUGAUUGGCCGACUUUUAAUUUUAACAAUUAGGUAUUUUAAAAUUUAUUAGAUAGUUUAACGUAUUCUUUACUCGAAUAAAAUUACUGAUUAAAUAAAACUGAUCAAUGAUAAACUUUGCCUUCUUAUGAAAUAAAAUUAAAAUAGAAAAAGGAUAAAUUACAUUUUGGUCCUCAAACUAUAAGACGCAUGACAAUUUAGUCCUCAAAUUUAAAUGGGUUAUUUUUUCUUAGCUCAAACUAUAAGGUACCAGAUGCUUUAGAGCUCAUACUUUAAUUAUUUAUAAUUUUUAGCUCAAAUUACGUGGAAUAUGACAUUUUAAUACUCAACUUUUACUACUAUUAUAAAGGGUCCGGCUACUAUACUAUUAUGAGUACGAUUGCCCUCGUACUCAUAAGUUGUUUUUGAUGAUAGAGCUUCCAAACCGACGAUCCACACCGUUAAACGUUAUUUACAGCAUUUAAAACUUCUAGAAAUCAAAUUUUAUAAUUUUUCGACAUCAUUUACCUUACGAUCAAGAGGUCACAAAUUUGACAAUUUUUAACGGCCGGUAUGGGAUACUUGCUAGUUUAACGGUGUAAAAGAAUCGGAAUUUGUUGAAUUUUUGAUAGAAAAUUCUAUUCACUACAUAGAUAAAGAUCAAUAACUCCGAUCUUGAAUUGAAGGAUCCGAUUAUCCUUUUUUAGGACGUCGUUCGAUUUUGACCGUUCAUUUUAUGCCCACUUGAUGGACUUUAUUAUGAUUUCGAAAAUUUACAAAAUUUAUUUUCUAGAAAUUUCAAAUACUCUAGAUCAUAUUUAACAGAGUGGAUCGUCGAUUCGAAAGCUGCAUCAUUGAAAACAACUUAUGAGUAUGAGGGCUCCAAUACUCAUAAUAGUAUAGUAGCCAUGGCCCUAUUAUAAAUAUAAUUUAUUAUUCUUAUAAUUUCUCUCUUAUUCCUUCUUUAUCUUUAUUAUGUUUUUAUUUUUAUGCUUUUACUACAGCCUUUUUUACUACAACUGCUUCUGCUGCUUCUUCAAUUUUUUUUAUUUGUAUUAUUUUUUGUUCUUUGACGUUUUUUUUUUGUUUCUUCUUUUUUUUAGCUUUAUUUAUUUUUAUGGAAUCCACCCACUGCAAUGGACGGUCUAUCUUCACUAGUAGUUCAUAAAAGGUCAGAACCAAUACAACAGAAACCUUCUUUAGGUACGUCGUAUCUACAUAUUAACAUCAACAAUGUUAGCAGCCGCUAAACAAUCCCAACAAAAAAGAGUCUAACAUCUAGAACACCGACAGAACUGACUGGAAAAUGUUUUCUUGAUUCGUACUGGCAAGAAAAAAGGACUAGCUUACCAAACACAAUAGUUUAUUAUUAGAAUUCUCCAGAAAAAGAAGCAAUAUAGAACACUUGUUGAUAAAAAUAACUUUCAAGGGCGCAAUCUAAAGCAACAAGACAAACUCUCUUUUUUUUUCUUUUUUUUUUUUUCGUGCUAAAGCACAAGCACAAUUCAGUCACAAACGCAAUCAAACUAUCUAACUGGCAAUGCUGUUUCAGCGAGCGAAUCGAUUUCUUGUUUCACAUCCACCCCAGUAUCCUUAGACAUACAAUCUGAGCUGUCAUCUAGACCAGAUGUUUUCUGCGAGCACACUGUCGGUUCCAGCCUAAACAUCUCGUCACUUUCUAAACUUGAUACCUUCUCCUUUGACUCCCCUUUCAGCAAGCCCACUACUUCAAGCAUUGUGGGCCGCCUUUCCGGCUUACUCUGUGUACAAACAAGCCCGACAAGCACUAAUCUCUUCAAUUCUUCCUCAACGUAGUUACCGUUUAGCUUUGGAUCAGCUAUUUCACUGAACCUCCCCUCCCUCGCCAAAGGAAGAGCCCAAUCACUUAUUGCUAGCUUCUGUGUGGGACUUAAAUUUUCAAUGGGUCUUUUCCCACUAGCGAGCUCUAAAAGAAGUACUCCGAAGCUGUAAACAUCACAACUCUCUGAGGCCUUUCCAAACAUUGCGUAUUCAGGGGCUAGAUAUCCGAGAGUGCCUUUUACUUUUGUAGUAACAUGAGUUGCGCCGUCAGGAAUGAGUUUUGCAAAUCCAAAAUCGGCAACACGUGCCUGAAAGUCUGAAUCUAGUAAGACAUUGCUUGCUUUUAUGUCCCUGUGGAUUAUAUGAGGUGUUGCAUGGUGGUGGAGAUAACUGCAAAGAAACGAAAGGUUAAGUUCAUUUCCCGGCGUGCUACAGAUCUUACAAAAAUUAUACAGACAGCCAUCCAACUAAUAGGCCAUUUUGGAAGAGAUCCCUGAACUUUUUUUUUUUUUUUUUUUUUUGAUUUUAGGCAAUUCUUUGUAGCCCUGUCAGAAUUUAAAGUUUCCUGCAAACGAAAGUUACAGAACACUUUGUUGAAUAAUAGAAUAUCUUUAUUUAAGUUAUACACUGCUAUAUCUAAAAUGUCACGAAAACUGUUAAGUUGAGAGAGGAGUUAUCUUGCUAGCUGUAGAUAGUGGCGUAUGAAAGAAUUAACUUACGCAAUUCCGUUAGCCGAUCCGAUAGCUAUCGACAUUCGCCUGCCCCAGUUGAGAAGGCACUCAGCAGAGUGCGUUCCGUGAAGAUGUGAGAGUAAACUCAAGUUGGGCAUGUAGUCAUACACUAUAAGGCGUUCCUGCCCCUCGGCACAAGAACCCCGUAGACUCAGGAGGUUCUUAUGCUUUACUUUUCCCAGAACCUCAACCUCAAUAGAAAAUUCUUGUUCGGCCUUGUUGCUCAAAACUUUGAGUCUUUUUACAGCGAUCUACAUCAAAGAAAGAUCAUUACCAAUAAAGCGGAGAAAGGAGGAAAGCAAUAGAACUGCUGCAUAUAUAGUAGAAGACUACUCACAUGAAGCUGAAGACUUCAGUCUGAAAUAUGUUACAUCAUAAUGAAUAAUGAUAUCACAUUGCAGUAACUGAGAAAAAAAAUACUAAAACCAAGCAGCUGUACUCUUUCCCACAUUAGCUUGUUCACGGGGUCAUUAACCUGUAUGAAGAGCUUUUAAAAGGGUGGUGACCAGUAUAAUUCAGGCUUCGUUGGCAUAUUCGGCAAAGAAAGCUCAAGAAGGAUCAAGAGAAAACAAGACAACAUAUUGAAACCUAGUUGAGGAAUGAUAAGUUCAAGUAGCAUCAAGGGCUAGAAGGUGAAUGCUAAUGGUAGCAGCAUUAUGAUAAAAGUAGUCAAAGUUACUAAAGAAAAACUGACAAAGAAGAAAAACGAUAGAAGAAUACAGAAGGUCAAAAUUGAAGCUGAUACAAGGAGUAAAAGAAAAGUAAUACAUUUAUGUCGGUCUAAACAACAGAGAAGACAGAAUGGAAAAGAUACUAGGAUAAACUAGAGGUAUUUUGUUGGCUAAUUCUUUAAUGUCAGUAGUGUAUGUUUCUGAGAAAUUGACUAGGUGUUCAACGGGAUCUCCAUUGGGAUCUGAAAUGCAUAGGGCUGUUGACUAAGCUUCCUAACUAGAUUCUUUUAUUGAAACAAUAUAAUGCUCAAAAAAUGGAGACUAAAUACGCCAAUAUGACUAAUGAAAAUGAGGUUAAUUACAAAAUUUAACUAAAACUUUUAGAAUACUAAUGAAAAUGAGGUUAAUUACAAAAUUUUACUAAAACUUUUAGAAAAACUCAAAAAGGAAUACUAUAAAAUUCAAGAAGUAAUUGAUUGAGCAUAGAAACGACAUGCUUAAACAAGGAGCUGAGAAUAAAAAUGUAAAAAAGGAUCCCCAUAUAAUUUUAAUUUUAAAGAAAGAGAAUAGAAAUUCCAGAGUGAUUAGAAAGUAGGGUGUUCCCUUAAAUAAAUAACUCAUUUAAGGCAUGUAUAUGGCUGGCAGGCCAUGAAUGGCGGCAGCAUGAGCAAAUUCUGAUCACAAAUGUUUAAACUGAGUCCUUUCCCUCAUUCUCUCUGAUGUUAAAUGAGCUUAUUAAACCUAUCUAACAUAAAGUCACUUCACAUCAACUAUUCGCUAGUGAAUAGUUUCGAUAAAUAAGAUGAGAUCAACAACAUUACGACUUAGAAUGAAAAAGGACACUGAAGACUAGAGGUUUCAGGACAACCUCGUAAGCUUAAAGCAUAGAGUACAUAGGUUAUAAUAAUACAGACGGACAAGACAAACAAAUAUCAAAGAAAAAAGAAGAAUAUUCGGAUCCACAACAAAUAGCCAGCAGAAACUUGUUUUGCUGGAUAAAAACUUGCAGAAACUAGUACAAGUACCUAAGGAAAACUAAGUAACUGCACCACCCUUAACUGAAUGGAAGCCACCAAAAACUAAAAAAAAAUGAUGGGAAAAUAUAGGAAGCAGAUGGGCUCAAGGGAUUCUACAAAUUCAGGCUAUCAAAACCAAUCUCACUUUAAUUUGUGCAACUAUGAUAGUUGAAGGGUUUUGUAAUGCACAGUCCUUCCAACAAGUUAUUAGAUUAGUUUUAUGACUUGCGAUAGAAGAAGUAAUAAAAGCAACUGUUCAACCAUUAAAAGUAGUAGGCUUCUUAAUUUAGAGUUAUAUUUCCUUUUACAGUUACAUAUUCAUAAUUCCUUGUUAUGUUAAGAAGGAAAAGUAUGAAAAGUACGGAUCAACUGAGGAGGCCGCAAUAUAAGUCAUUAUUGAUACAGCUAAUGAUGAUGAUGAUGAUUGGCAGAAGCUCAAUGUCCAAGUUUCCUUCCUAAAGAAGGUUGGGACAUGAAAAAACAUGAUCUAAAGGCACAAUCUUAGAGUCAUGUCAAAUAAAGAGAGUUUCUCCCAAUUAUACAGAACACACAUGAAAUUUGCGCAACAGAAAUAGUAGCAAGAAUUGUAAUGCAUAACCUUGAAAAACGUCUUAAAGUAAGGUAUUACUAUAAUUCGAUACUUAAGAACAUUAGAUAAGAUAGUAGAAGGAAAAAUAAACCCAAGUCAAAGAGGACACGUUUAGUAUCGAGGAAAGGGAGCCAUACAAAACCAAAGGAAAUGAAUGAUUGAAUUGACCCACUUUAUGUGAACCUGAUACAGCAUAAAAUUUGUCUUAAGAAUGUAAACGAUCAGAAAAAGGGGUUGUAAAAAAUUUGUCUUAAGAAUGGAAAUCCAUGUGCUUUGAUUAAACCAUGUACAUCCUUCCAGAAUAUUUCUAUAGAUAAUAUCUGAAUAAUACUGAUGAAAAAUGAUAAUUUAUUUUUCUACUCCGAACCUAACAUAUAUAUGUCUUAAAUAUAGGCAGACGUUAUCCGAUUUGUUCUAAAGGCCAUAACGAUCCAAUAGAGUAGUCAAUGAUCUGCUGACCUGCUGACCUGUGACUUCAGGAACAUGUACUUAAUAGACGGUGUUAUGAUUAAGAGCCAAGCAUACACACUUGACAGACUAAUACUUGUUUCUUUUUUCUUUUUUAGGAACUGAUCAUUCUGCAAGGUUGAGGUCAAUCAUUAUUACAGCAAAUGCUGGUUACAUAAACAUAGAAUUAUUCUGAGCAUCACCAAGUAAUUAUUAGUUCUUGCACAAAAAUACAUGCAAUGCUCUUCCAUAAUUGCAGCAAGAAGCAUCCCUCGAAAAAAGAAAGGAGAAAUCUAAGAAAAGCGUACCUCCGUUGGCUAUUCAAAACUCAAGUAGCAAUCUGUUACAACGUCAACAUGUUAGGCACUCAACAAAGGAGACUUAAUACCUUUUGGAUUAGUUUUUCGACUUCAACAUGUGAUAAGUACAAGAUUACUGACACCCCUAUUGCCUUAAAUUUAAAUCUAAAAUAAAUUUAAAUUUUCGUUUCUCAUUUAAUUAAGAUAUUUAACUUUGAAUUCAAAAUAUAAUUUUUUAAUUUGAAUUCGAAUUUGAAUUUUGAAUUCAAUAAAUUUGAAUUUAAAAUUUAAGUUUAAAAUUCUAAUUUAAUUUAAAACUUGAAUUUAAAUUUUAAAUUUGAAUUUGAAUUUGAAUUUAAAUUUUGAACUCAAAAAUCUAAACUUAAAAUGAAAUAUGAAUUCAUAAAUUCAAAUUUAGGAUUUGAAUGAAAUUGAAUUUAAAAUUUAAUUAUACACAACUGAAAUCUGAAUUUAAAUUCAAAAUUAAGUUCAAAGUUUACAUUCAAAUUUCAAAUAAAUGUGUAUAUAAGGGUGUAUUUUGGAAUAACAUAAUCAUUAUUAUUAGGAUUAUCAAGAUAUAUAAGAUGAACCAAACAAAAUAAUUCUAUGUAUGUAGUAUUCCAACAUCAUAUUACUGCACUGAACCAAAUGGAGUAACACAACAUUACUAAUAAUCUGAAUCACAGAUGUCAUAUUAAUAGCUAUAUUGAGAUAACCAGCAAUACUUGCUGAAGAUAAGACCAAACUAUUUGUUAGGCAAUUAGUUACUUAAAAUAAUCCUUCAUUUGUUUAGUUUGAUAAACAUGUAUUAGUUGCGUUGUUAAUCAAUUUGUUGGGUUGUUAGCAUUGCUACCUAUUAAUAUAUUGGUAACCAUCUAGGCCAUUAAUGUACCAGAGAGGAUCCACCAAUUAAUUCAUAUUAUUCUUAUACUACCGCAUCUCAUCUUCUCUUUUCUAUUCUUAAUUUUAUUGUGAAUCACACACACCAUAACAAGUGGAGUGAUCUUAUGAGUGUGCCUACCACCAUAACAAUACUACAUAAUGUGAAUCUAACAAGCCCUGAGGUAAUCUUGUACUAUUAGUAAUCCUGCAUUACUGAUAGGAUUAUAUGCUGAAUGAAUCAAACACAAUAAUUCUAAAAAAGUAUCUGUAGGAUUACAAGUAAUCCUAAUAGGAUAACUUGAACCAAAUGCACCCUAUAAGGUAAUCUUACCACCACAUACAAAAAGUGACAAAAUUUUGAAAAUGCACUUCUCAACUGCAUAUAAUCAAAUAAAUUAUUUAUAGUUGCAACUAUUAUAUUCGACCAACCGAGAUGUAUUUCAUUGUAAUUGCUACAUUUCUAACUGCAUGUAUCUCCAACUAGCCGCAUUUCAUAUUAGCCUUCUAAGCGAGGCAAUCUGUAACUUUUAAGGGGUAUAUAAAAAAUUGCUCCUAAAAACAACAUAUGGGUAAAAAUGUAAGGAGAUCACCUCAGAUAUAUGUUGCAUCUGCCAGUUAGAGAGUAGGUUAGAGAGGAGCAGAGUAGUUGAAUUGAUAAAUAAGUGGAGUUUAGAUGGCUUAACUUGCAAGGUGCACGCAUAGAAGGAUAGACCGGAGGGAAGAGUCGGAGGUCAAGCGGUAACCCUAGGUUGGGGAAGGGGUUGGCGAUGGAGAAGUAAGGAGAAGACAAGUUCCUGUGAGCAAGAAUUGAAGCCACAAGGAGGCAUCUCUGCGGAUCGGGUUGUCAGCACAAGAUCAUCCGACUUGUUAAGAUAGUAGUUGGGUUCGAGUCCAUAUUGUAUCAGUCCUGCAAAUUAAGGCCCACUGGCCCACAUUCUGGAUUUUUUCUCAAUUUCAGUUUAGUACUUAGGGAUUCAUAAUUUUUAUUUUUAGUAGUUGCACGAGAUAUAAAAGGGCAGAUGUAACCAAGAUGGAAUCAUGAAUAAUAUUGAUAUUGAUUUCCUUCUCAACUUCAUCUCGUUCCCUCCCACUUCUUCUUCCUCUCUCAUCUUUUCCUCUUCUUCUUAUCCUUCCUUAGACCCUGCUUAAUCUCUUAACUUAUUCUUCUCUUACCUGGAUCUGUAAUAUUCGAGUCGGAUCAGAGACCAUCAUUCUCGACGCCGUCCUCGUCUCAGCGAAAUCUCAUCAUCGACGGGUUGCGUCGAGUCAGGUACGCAACAAUAUAGUGCCGUUUGAGUUGGACCCGUAAAUUUUUAAGAUUGAUACCCUCAAAAUUUUAUUUGUUUUAAUUAAAGUAUUACCGCAGGAUAAAUGGACAUUCCAUUAAAACUACCUGCUUUAUUUAGUUAUCAACAACAACCAAGGGUCUGACUUGUCUUUUCCAAAUCUUUAUUUAAAUGGAGCUAUUAAAUUUAACAGUGCAGUCAAAUUUAUAAAUAUCUCCAAUUUAUAUAAUAAAAAUAAUUUAAAUUAGUAGAAAUGAAAGUUGAGAAGGCGAGGAAUGAGCGAAAUUGGAGUGGGCUUCUACUUUCUAGGGUCCUAAUGAAUGAGCGAAACAAGGAUGGGUCCUAAGGUGUCAUCUACAGGCCUUAUCCAAAAAAAAAAAGAAAAAAAGAAAAAAAGAAAAAAAAAAAGAAAAGAAAAGCUGAGAAUUCACCAAAUGUUUCAGAAAUUAACAGACAAUCCCUCAACUUUAGUCAAUUACAGAAAAUCCUCUGUCAUCUCUCGAGUAUCGAAUCAUCCCCUCAUAGCGUCUCCCAAUUUUUGAUGACAAACGCCUUACGGUGAGUAAUCUAUUAAUAGCAGUUAAUAGCAGUUAUAGAAAACAAGUAAUGGAGGUUCCAACUAACAGUUAAACUUAGUGAAAUGAUCAUGCUGCCCCAAUAUUAAAGGAUACCUGUGAACCGUCCGAGAGCUGGCCCCAGUAGACGCUGCCGAACCCCCCUUCACCGAGCUUGUUGUCAUAAUUGAAGCUGUUGGUAGCAGAAUGCAGCUCCUUCAGCGAGAACACCCUCCAAUUCGUUGCAUUCUUCCUCCCAUGUUCACUCCUACACCAUAUACGCGGGCGCGCGCGCGCACAAAUUAAACAGAAUCCCGUUAAUAAUUUGACCCACAAAUCUCCUAUUUUCCACACCAAUCUCUUCUUCUACUGUAUUGCCCUUUCUCGAAUCCCUCCCAACGAAAAACAAAAUCAUUCAUGGCAAUUCUUUUCUUUCUCGGGUCAAAUGAACUGCGCCCUACAUUUCCUUCUAUAGCAGAAUUAAAAAAUAAAAAUAAAAUAAAAGAAUCAUUCCUUUGUAUGCUGUCCCGCCGAAAGUAAAAGCACAAGUAGGACCAAUAAAGUUCGAAACUCGUCGUCGUCGUCAUCAUCAUCAUCAUCAUCAUAAGAGGAAGAAGAAGAAGAACAAGAACAUACCGGUCGAGAAUCGUUCGGCAACAGAAGAAAGAACGGAAAGACAUCGGAGAGAGAGUCACUGCUGCUGCUCCGAUUGAUGAGAAAGUACCAAGUUUCUGAAUACAAACCCAGAUGCUGCUUUCUCCUCUUCUUCCCAACUUAAUCUUACUCUAUGCAAUUACAAGGAACGGAGGAGCCCAAAGAGAAUAGUUUAUUACUAUCGGGACCAUAUAAGAGAUGAUGCUCGCCAAGAAAGAAAGAAAGAAAGAAAGAAAGCAGCAUCUGGGUUUGUAUUCAGAAACUUGGUACUUUCUCAUCAAUCGGAGCAGCAGCAGUGACUCUCUCUCCGAUGUCUUUCCGUUCUUNGAGAGGCGGGCGGACACUGGAGCAAGCAAAAGCAACAGCCUACCGAACGGGCUGCGGCUCUCGAUGACGUCUUUUCCUUUUUCUUCUUCUUUUCCUUUUUUUAUUUUUAAAUUGUCUUGUUGGUAUUAUUAUUAUUAAUAUUUUAUUUUGUGUAUUUUGGCGUCUGAUAGAUUCGCGCGGUAACUGUGCGACGAUUUCUACGUGGGAAGAAUCAUCCCUCCACGGGCGUAGUACCUGCGCCUAGCCGCCAACCAUUUUGGCAUAAAUAUUUAAUUAUAAAUUUUAUAAUAUAUAAAUAAAAUUUUUUGAUAUAAUAAUUCACAAAUGCUAAAAUAAAAAAUUUUGAUCAGUUAUCCUAAAAAAAAUAAGGAUAAAAAUGAAAGGAAUAGUAAUAACAAAUGACUAUUGAGAUUUAUAAGUGUUAGAGAGAAAAAAAAAAGAGGGGUUAUCAAUCUUCAUUAAAUAAGUGGAUAUAUAUUUUUUAUAGAAAGGCUUUUUUUGCAAUUGACCUUCUGAAAAAAAUUAAUUUUAAAAAUAGUCUUAGCAAAUUUAUAUUUGCAAAAAUAGUCUUGUCCCUACCACGUAAGCGCCACGCUAGCGGGGCUGGGGCCAGAAAGUUAAGUUGAAUACGGUGAACUAUUAUCAUGUCCAAACACAAUAAAUCAUUCACCGUGUAUAGACACGGUGAAUGAUUCACCGUGUAUACUGCGUGACUUGAACUUGGCAGUGUGUGACUUGGACUUGUUGGUGAAUAUACACGGUGGUAAUACAUUAAACACGGAGAACCGUUCACCGUGUCUAGACAUGGUGAAUGGUUCAUCGUGUUCAGUAGAGCUACAUAACACUUACAAUUAUUUCAGCACAAUAAAUCACUAAAAUACAACAUCAACACACACAAUAACAAAUUCGAUACAACAAUAUAAGAAAUUCAACAUCAACAAUACAACAACAAAUCCAACACAAUAAUAAAUCCAACACAAUAUCAAUAGAGCAUCAAUACCUUAUCAUCACAACAGAAUAUCAAAAAUUAAAACAAAUUUUUUAAUAAUAUAGAAAGUUCGAUGUAAUUUAAAAUUUACAAAAAUAUAAUGUUAUGUUCUCCUUCUAGUCCCUCGAUCACGUCUACUUACAACGUCCCUUACCACGUCCGCGACCACGAUCAACACUAUGCUCAUCAAAGGGCUCUAUGACCUCCAACUGGUCGAGAUGUUCGAUAGUAGCACCCUCAAUAACUGGCUGUAAAGUCCUACGUCUCGAUCACCCAUCUGAUCUCGUGCUCAAUCAUAGCAGGUGUCGGUAGUAUGUCUGGUCAUGGAGGAGCUGAAGAGGAGGGCUGAUCUGUAUGAAGAGACUGCAACUGCCAUCGGCGCUUACGAUAAACAAUAUCGACUGGUCGAGGUGGAUCCUCUGGUACUGGUGCUGGUACUAUGUCUGGGUGAUAAAGUGGCUCCUCUAUCGGUAAAGAUGGCCUCGGUGGACUAUACAAUGGUAUAUGGCCUGACGUCGAUGGUCCACCAUGUUCUGCUGGCCGUGGAGGUACAGUGUGUGGAAGCGUAGGUAAAGUGUCACACCUUGCGACCGCCAAUUUGGUCAGUUCGGGCACGUCAACAGACACCGAACGGACAGCACCUCCCCUGUCUGCCCAAGGCUCCACCAACACAUGUAUAUCCAAAGCAAUUCAAACAGGGCGAAUGCAAGUAUACAUGGUUUGCUCGAGAACAAACAACAACAAGUAGUGAAAGCACUAAGCUACUACUGUCACGCCUCGAGACCGCUACCCAUUUGGUCCGGUUCGGGCGCGUCGAACAGAUGCCGAACGGACAGCACCUCCCCUGUCCGCCCAAGCCUCAACCACGAGAUCAUGUACAAGAAUUCUCCCAAGAACAAUUCAAUACAUACAUGAUCUAUACAACGAUAAUAGAAGCACCACAAGUGCUUAACAACAAGAGAAAGUAACACAAGUAUACAUACAAGUGCAAAAAUAGAGAAUUCUAUCUAUUACAUCACAUUCAUCCAUUGUUUACAUUCGUUUCAUCCAAAAUAUAGAUACAAGUUCGUUCACAUUUCUCCAAAAUGCAUCUCACAACCUAUACAGUAUCUACUCUCAUAUAUGUAGGUAUCUCUAAUGCAGUAGGAGAGCUACUAGUGCUAGGGCGCUAAGCCCUUACCGCGAUCCUCGCCCGGAGCGCUCGUACUCGGCCCUGCAACAAAGUGGGGUGAGAACUAUUGUCCAAAGUUUUCAAUGGGUUCGGCCGCCGACUCCGCCGAUCUCCCCACUAAGUCCAAGUGGACACAAGCAGAUAGAUAGAUAGAUAGAUAUGCGAAAACAGUAACGACAUAGUAAGAAAGCUACGCUACUAUGCCCAAAUCAUAUACAAUAUAUGCAUGCACAAUGUGAUAAGUAAUCAACUAACAUGCCACUAUGUUCAAGAAGUAAUGUUAUUUACUUGUUCAUCAAAUCUCUAGACUUAUUCAAUCCUUGGCCAACCCUGAGGUUCGCCCACGACUCACAUGCAUCUCAUGGUAAGGAGACUCAACUUGCUCAGCAAACUCGAGACCGUCUGCGGGACCCCAUAAGGCUAUCCCCGGGACCCCAUAAGGCUAUCCCUCGUGUGACAAACUCCGGAGCGCACGCUUGUGGAGAGCGACCACCUCAUGCUCUUAACAGACAGCGAGUAUGAUCUAAUCCUCUCAACUCGAGGAUACUCUAUCCACUAGGGCUAACAGUCAUUCGGGAAUCCACCUAUCCCAAUGUCCAUAUGCAAGUGUUUAACUACACUAAGUUCUUGUUCAAUGACUCAUCUCUAGGAAAUCCACCUAUCCCUAAGUUCACAUGUCAAGUGUCAUUUUUACACUAAGUUAUAUGCCACUCGUGCUAUUGUCAUUGUUAUUUACAUGCCACUCGUUAUGUCUUUUGUCAACCAUCGAGUCUAUCUCUUAUCUCAGCACUAUAGGAUUCAAUGUCUCGACCCAAUCCUUAUGUAACAUACUGAAACUUCGGUAGAAUGUUGGACUCUAGCCAAAUUGGCCAAAGAGCCCAAGAGAAAUGGAAGGACGAAGUCUAUUUAACACUCCAACAGUGUUCGAAGGGUUAAAAGUGAGUUCCAAUAAGGUUAGAAAGGUUUUAGCAUUACUCGGCGCGAAUUGGAGUCGAAACAAUGCGAGAUUGAGGUUCAGGAGCAUUCAGGCGUUUUCGGUGCGCGUACGCGUGAAAACGGGACCCGAAAGGCUAUGUUGGACUAUGAGCUAAAUUCGGCAUUAGCUUGAAUGAAAAGAUGACGAAAUCAUGCUCGAAAACAUGUUUUGGGGGUCUCGGUGCGAUUUGAAAUGAAUCGGAGGCCUAACGAACGAAAACGAACGAAAACGGAGAAAAGCUGAAAAUUGGCUAAGUCCUGAAAAAGGGCUGUGUUACCGGUGACACCCCUGGUGUGUACCGGUACGCAGUGUAAAAUCCGAGAAGAUGCCUCUCGGGUUUGGCUGUUGCGCGACCGUGUUACCGGUACCGUGUUACCGGUGACACCAGCCCGUAUACCGGUACGCGGGGGACCCGACAGCACAAUGAAGUCUGCUGCAAAUAAAAAUAGUUGGGGGGCUUAUUUGCAAUUGUGGCACACCGCAUAUGUUCCCAAACACCCCUUCACAGCAGCAAACACCUCUCCCCCUUAUUUCUUCUCCCUUUCUCUCUCUAAAAGCUCUCCACCAAAGCUUAAAGAGAAGGAGAAGAAGGUCUUGAAGGUGGAUUUUGAGUGUUUUGGAGGAUCAAGAAGCUCUCCUUCAUGGUGGACUUGGAAGAGCUUAGGCUAAGGUGAGUUAUUUCGCAAGAAUACUUUUAGGGUUUAGAUUUAUACCCUAAGAUUUAGUGUUUUGGACUUCUUGUAAGACUAGAGCCUCUCUAUAGGCUUGAGCUCCAUGAAAAUCUAUGGAAGCUUAGGGUGCUCUCAUGGUGAUCACCUAGGGUUUGUGUUAGAUGCCCUAGGGUUGGUCCAAUUAGGUUGGAGAUGAUAUUAGAGAGUUUCUUGGGUGGUUCUAAGCUUGAUUAUGCUUAGCAACUAGAUCAAUCCCAAGAAAUCUCAUUAUGGCAUUGUCAGGGCACCAAAUUUAGGGCUUUUUUCUCCAGGUGUUUCCGAGGUAAAUUGACCUUGUAGAAGCCUAAUUGGGGAUCAAACGAACGCGUUGGAAUGCUCGGUUCGACGAUACGACGAGUGUACGCGAGGUUAUUGAUGAAACGGUCGAUUUUGGUACAGAUAGCCGCAGCACGCGGAAUAGACGUCUAAAAAUCAUGAGAUCGGAUCCGGAGCAUCGUGGUAACGAGGAAUAAACUCCGGAAUAGACGGAUCGCGGAUUGGUGGUCGUUCAGGUGGUCGCGCUAGAGUCCGGGUGUAAUCGGGUCACGGGUGUCGCGGGAGGCCGAUUGCAAGUGACUACAAGCAAUCGGAACGCGUUUUGAGGUGGGUUGUGUUUACCGAAGCGACUAGGUCGCCUCUAUGUCUAGAGAAAUGGUUUCAUAUUGAUGCAUAUAAUGAUAGCUAAUGGUAAAUUAUGUGAAUGCAUGAAGUGAAUGCUAAGUAGGCUACCAAAGAAUGCAUGAGAAUAUAGUAGGUGUUACGCCCCGCCCCGAAUCCACUACCAAUUUGGUACGGUUCGGCCGCGGCGGCGGGCCGCCGAACGGACAGCACCUCCCAUGUCCGCCCAAGGCUUAACAACAGGAAUGUGUACAAGAAUUUACCAAGGAAAAUUAAAUUCUAAGCAUACACAUUCACCGGGGCACGAGCAGUGCCAACAAUACGAGAGCAAGCAAUCCACAAGAUAAACAAGUGAAAUAAAGAAAGUACUUACUAACUAUUACAAUAGUUCCAACAUUCUCAUUUACAUCAUUUUCUUUAAAUGAAUACAUUUUUCAUCCAAAAUAUAUAGCUCUCCAAAGCCUCACCUACAAUGAAUCUCUCUCUCAAUAUAUAGGUGACUAAUGCAAAAAGGAAAGCUACUAUACUACCACGGUCUCACAGGUCGGGCGCGAUGCCCUUGCCGCGGUCCUCUCUCUGCAGCCCUGAACCUACCACUGGAAAUAGAGUGGGGUGAGAACUAUCUUCCAUAGUUCCCAGUGGGCUCGGCCGCCGACUCUGCCGAUCUCCCCACUAGGUCCAAGUGGACACAAGUAACAACAGAUAGAUAGAUAGAUAGAUAUGUAUCUGAAAGCUGUAAAUGCGAUAGUAGGAAAACUAUGCUACUACGCCCAUAAUCAUGAAUAUGAAUGCAUGCAUCAUAUAAUAAAGGUUUGCUAUCAUGCUAACAAAUUCGAUCCAUGUUCGAAUAGUAAUGUUUAAUGACAUUAAUAAAUUUUUAACCUUUCCAUUUACCCAAUCUGUGGCGAGGCCCUAGGGCUCGCCCAUGGCUCACCUUUCAAUCCCAAAGUAGGGAGGGAGCUCCAAGUGCACCCAAGCCCGGGACCGUCUGCGGACCUCCAUGUGGUCCAGACCUCCAAGUAGUUAUAGUCGCACGACACUCCGGAGUACUCGACGACCAUCCCCUCCAUGUGGGGAUUGGAUGGCUAUACCAUCCCAACGCAGACUGUGAGCUAGAUCUAUCCUCUCCAAGUGAGGAUACUCUACAGCUAGAGCUAAUACCAAAUCGAAUCCUCUCCAAGUGAGGGAGCACUGUCACUAGGGUCCACAACCCAUUCAAAUCCUCUCCAAGCGAGGGUGCCCUACCACUAGGGUCAACAUCUCUUGCGGAAUCAUUUGUUCCCGAUAUUCAUGCAAUGCUACUUAGCUUUUCUAAAUUCAUUGUUCACAAGGCAUUUUCUAAGGGAUCCACCUAUCCCUAGGUCCAUCGACCUCUAGUGUUAUUUACACUACAUUAAUGCCACUCGUUAUCAUUCAAUGUUUGGAUGCCACUCGUUUGUUCUUUAACAAUAACACUACUUUCUAUGUCAUCAAUACCCCCAUCGGGUUCAUCUCUUUUCUUUCGCACCAUAGGAUUCACGUCUCGACCCAAUCCUCACCUAUCUAAGUUACCAAGCGUUCCAAGUACACUAGGUUAUCAAUUAGAAAGCAUAAGGAAUGGAGCUACUAUGCAAUCCUACAAUGCAACAUGAAGAGAUGAGAUUAAAUGCAAUCUAAGACAUAGAAAGGAGUUCGAAAGUUUCGGAUGACACCCCCCACCUUUAAUCGAUGUAGAGGUUUCGGAAAUCUCUCUCGGCGAGCUUUACGAAAAGGCUUUAGCCUUCCUCGCCCGAAUCAACACUAGCCCGGCCCGAUUUUGCCGAGAACUUCACGUCGGUUCGCCGAAUGCCAAAAUCGACUUCGCCCCCGCGUUUUGGGACCUAUCAAUAGGGUUUCCAAGGCUUCAAAUGAGAUCAAUCUCAUACAUUUACAAAAACCCCAUUUUGGAACCCUAGAUUUGCACCUAUAGCAAACCACCCCAUAAAUCCCUAGAUUCUUGGGAUUGAUCUAUUUAGAAGCUUGCUUAGGGUCCAUUUGACCCAUUCCAAGGCAUAAAACCCAAAAACCCUAAGUUCUAGAAGCUAGGGUUGUAGCUUACCUCUUGAGCUACACCAAUGGGAAGAGGAGAGGGAGAGGAAGAUGCUCCUAGCCUCCUUCUUCUUCUCCUCCUUCUUCUUCUUCUUCUCCUCCUUCUUCUUCUUCUCUUUCUUCUUCUCCUUCUCUUUUCCUUUUUUUUCUAGAGAGAGAGAGAGCAAGAGAGAAAGAGAGUGAGAGAAAGUGAAAUGAGAUGAGUGUGAGGGAGAGAGAGGGCUCAGCCCACUCAAAUAAAAGCCAUUUUGCAUAAAAGCCCCUCAACUUUCACUCCUGUGCACUGCCCUUACUGGGCAGUUUUCGCGCGGAGGGACCGGUCUCCCCGACUUGGGACCGGUCCCCGAGAGCUUCCCUCGGGCGCACGCGUUCGGGAACCAGUCUCUCCCCGGGAGACCGGUCCUCGGGAGACCGGUCCUCACCUGAGAGACCAGUCCCCGAGAGCUCGAUUUUCAGGACUUAGCCAAUUUUUGGUAUUUCUCGCUGGGACCACAUUCGGGAACCGGUCCCUCCCUACCAGGGACCGGUUGCACCAAGCAACCCUGCUACACCCAGCCGAGGGAACCGGUCUCUCACCUGCAGAGACCGGUCCCCGAGAGCAACAUCAGCCCAAUGAUGCAGUUUGCCUCAUUUGCUCUCGCGGACUCAACUCCAAAGCACUUUUUGUGUUUUGGACAUUCUCAACUCCCACAAAGAGCGUUCUCUCAACAAUCAGUCGAUCCUGGAUGAAGUACAAUCCUCAAAUUUUGAGAAUUCACUUCCUUACAUCCUCCCCUUCUUAAAAGGAGUUUCGUCCUCGAAACUAAAUCAAAUUUUUAACCUCAGCUUAAAUUCUUACCUUACUCCUCGAAUAAAUGAGGAUAGUGCUUUCUCAUCAGAUCCUCGAGUUACCAGGUAGCUUCGUGAUCCUCGUGAUUGCUCCACCUGACCUUCACAUAGGGAAUCUCUCGAUUCCUCAACUUUCGCACCUCUCGGGCGAUAAUCCCUACUGGAAACUCUUCAUAGCUCAAGUCUCCUUGAAGUUCCGGCGGUUCAUACAGCAUUGCAUGCUCAGGGUCGUGAAUGUACUUGCGGAGAUUGGAGACAUGGAACACAUUAUGUACAUCCGCAAGCUUCGGCGGUAAAGCAAGUCGGUAGGCCACCGUGCCGACUCGCUCCAAUAUUUCAUAUGGUCCAAUACAUCGGGGACUUAGUUUUCCCCGUACUCCAAACCGCUUCACACCCCGCAUCGGUGAAACCUUCAAGAAUACGCGGUCACCUACCGCGAAUUCUAUAUCUCGACGGCGUCUAUCCGCAUAGCUUUGCUGUCUUGACUGCGCUGUGAGCAAUCUCUUGCGAGCCAGACUGUCACGGCCCGGGACCCAGCAGAAGCCCGCCCGGCACGUGCCCAGACCCGCCAUACGUCUAAAACAUAUAAGGCGUCUAAAAACAACAAUAAUAAAAGCAAUAAUAAAAGACAUCUAGGAGUAUCAGAGCAUAACAAAUGUCUAAAUGCUACAACAAGGGAUAAGGAUAAAACUGUAAGUCCACCAAAUAAAAUAUAAAGUGAUACAAGGAAAACCCAGAUACAAGUGCUAUAGGUAGAUACAUAGGUGGUCUCUAUACAUGGAUACAAAAACCUCUCACUCUCUCAACUACAAAAGAAAGAGUAAACCACCUAGGCAAAGUACCGCUCCUCGCUAGCUAGCUAAGCGAUCCCCUUGCCGCGAUCCCGUGCCUUCGCCGGUGCCGAAGGCUCUGAAAAGUAAACCAUAAAACAGGGGCGUGAGAACUAUUAAAAAUAGUUCCCAGUGGGCAAUUACUGACUUCAGUGAAUGCACCACAAGGCCCAAAGCUACGAAAAGAUGUCAGUGACUAUAAAAGUAGAAAAGCGAAAGGUAAGUAAAAAUGUAACCUACUACGACAUGAUAUCUCUACUUAGCAUAAAUAGCAUAAGUAUGAAAGCAACUAUGCAUGAAGUAAAUGUCUCCAACUAUCAUGAUGUUCACAAUGUGAAAUAGUAAAGUUCCGUUGUUUACUAUUCUAAUCAAUGUCCAAGUAGUAUACUAAAUCCUCAUCUGUCCACAUGUCAUAAUGGAUACACAAAGUCAAAUCUGAAGAGACCCACCCGAAGGCUGUCUAUGGCCCUGAGACCCACCCGUAGGCUGUCUGGCCGGUGCCGAGCCUAAUGGCCCCGUGGUAGUCAUCAUCCCCACCCUAGGAAUGAGCCUGUCCCACGGCAAUCCACUUCGGCGCCCAAUCCCGCACGGCGAAUAUGAAUCGCGAUGGCUAUCUCCGGAGUGCCGGCUUGUAGGGAGCGACCCUCACAAGCAUGUGCGAAUGAGCACAAUGGCAAGUAGUCAAACGAUCUGUCGCAAGUACCAAGUCCUCAUGUCUAAUAACAUGGAAUGUGUCAAGUAUCUCAAUGGCCUAUCCCUAUGUCAUCAUGUCUCUAACAUGGAAUAUAGCAGAUAUGUAGUGGCCUAUCAAUAUGUCUCUAUGUUGCAGUUUCAUAGUUUACUAGUUUCAAGUGCCCCUUGAUGACACUCUUGUUCUCUAUGUCAAAGCAUGGCAACUAUGUUCCAAAGUAUAUAUUCCAAGUCAUAAUUCUCAUAAGAGAUGUAUUUUCCACUUGCAAAAUAAACACUUUUCCCGUAUGCAUGCAUUCUACUCAUAUAGCUCUACUAUAUAGUGAAAUUUUCAUAAUACACAAGGCAUGCAUUUUAAGUGCUCUAAAAUUCAUAUAAAUUCCAUUUAGCAUAGAAAUGAAUUUAAAAAUAUUUUACAACAAGUAGAAAGAGCAUAGGGGCCAUUUCGCCCCAUUUCCACGAAGCCAAACCCACCAAAACUCUUGCAACUCUUCGCAAGCUCCGACGAAGAUGCCCACUAGCCUCCUAGCACCCUAAAGAUGUAGGAACAAGGGUUAAACGAACCUUACGAUUAACCCUAAACUCAAUCAAUAAGCAACAUAGGCUAAGAUGGAGAAAAACUCACCUAGGUGAAGAAAUUCUCUCUCUAGCUCCAAAUGGGAGUUAGAGUUCUUCAAAUCCAACCUAAAUAAAGGUUCCAAACCCAUCAAUUAGGUCUCAAAACCCUCAAAUCCAAAAACCCCCAAAAUAAACCCUAAAUCCCAAAAUCUAGGGUUUCAUCUAGUAAAACCUAGGAAAACAUGUAUCAAAUGGGGAUUACAAGCUACCAACCUCAAGAGAAGCUCCAAUCCAAGCUCAAAACCAAGUAGGGUUGAAGUUUGAUCCUCCACAAAGCUCCAACCGCAAGCUCGAAGCCACCAAGGUGAGAAAAUGGGGAAGAAGAUGAUGCUCCAAAGCCUCCAAGCAAGCUCCUUCUCCUCUUCUUCUUCUUCUUCUUCUUCUUCUUCUCCCUCUCUUCUUCUCUCUCUAGAAUAGGUGGGAAGGGAAGAAAUGAGGAGAGAAGAGGGUGAAAUGGCCAAAUAGGCCAUUAAAAGUAACAAAAUCCACUUAGGCCCCUCAAAAACUCAAAUUUACAUCAGCCCGGUCUGGGCAGUUUUCGCCCAGAGGGACCGGUCUCCCCGACCUGGGACCGGUCUCUCAGCCUGCCCUCGAAAAUCCAACGUUCGGGAACCGGUCUCUCCCUGCGCGGGACCGGUCUCUUCCCGCGCAGACGCACUCGGGGACCGGUCUCGACUGCCAGGGACCGGUUGCCUCGCCGGCUACGCAGCACUGUUCACUGGGGGACCGGUCUCUCCUAUCAGGGACUGAUCCCUGAGAGUAAAAACUCUCAGGACUCUGCCAAAACUCUCGAGAUCAAACUUUUAGGCCGGUAUAUCAUCGACGGCCCUCCACCAAGUGUGGAAAAGUUCGGAAUACAAAUCGAACACUCGAACCUCGCAAUUUGCAAAGGUCCAGUGUGCUACACAGACGGACUUUCUCUUCCGCUUCUCGCAACACAUCGGGGCCGAACUCAGCACACUCGCCUACAUCGCUCCAGUGUAUAGGAGACCGACACGUUCGCCCAUAGAGAGCCUCGAACGGUGCCAUCUCCACACUAGCAUGAUAACUGUUGUUGUAGGCGAACUCGGCCAUAGGUAGGUGGUCACACCAACUUCCCUUGUAGUCGAUGACACACGCUCGCAACAUAUCCUCCAGAGUUUGAAUAGUUCUCUUUGUUUGCCCAUCGGUCUGAGGAUGAAAUGCGGUACUGAAGUCGAGCCGUGUGCCAAGGGCUUCCUGCAGGCUCUUCCAGAAGUGUGAAGUAAACCGGAGGUCACGAUCCGACACGAUCAAUUUCGGCACCCCAUGCAGUCUCACUAUCUCGUCAAGAUACACCUGCGCUAACUUGUCUCCCGACCACGUGGUGUGGAUCGACAAGAAGUGAGCCGACUUUGUCAAUCGGUCCACAAUCACCCAAAUUGCAUCGUGGCCGCCCGUUGAGCGAGGCAAGCCGACCACGAAGUCCAUUGAUAUGUCCUCCCAUUUCCAAACGGGGAUUGGUAGGCUUUGAAGCUUUCCCGCUGGAAAUCGACGCUCGGCCUUCACUUGUUGGCAUGUUAAGCACUUUGCCACAAAGCGUCCAAUGUCGCUCUUCAUUCCCGGCCACCAAUAGUGCAUUUUUAGUCCCUGAUACAUCUUGGUGCCGCCCGGGUGAUCAGCAUAUGGAGAUCGGUGUGCUUCUUGUAGAAUCAAUUCACGAAGCUCUCCAUCUUACGGCACACACCAUCGGUUUCGAAACCGAAGCGCACCAUCGGCAUCUACCCUGAAAUCGCCGCCACGCCCUUCCUCGAUGUUUCGCCACACCUUUUGGAGUUCUGGGUCUGCAGGUUGCAGAUCUUUAAUCCUCUCCAACAAGGUCGGUUGGACAACGAGUGCCAUCAACUGAGUCGGGACCUCGGGAGCGACCACUUCAAGGUCCAAUCGCUCCAUGUCCAGCCAUAGGGGUGUUUGCUGGAUAACAUCAAAAGCGAGGUUCUUCGCCGACUUUCUACUUAGUGCGUCCGCGACCACGUUUGCCUUCCCGGGGUGGUAGAGGAUAUCAACAUCAUAAUCCUUUAACAGCUCCAACCACCGCCGCUGACGCAUAUUGAGCUCCUUCUGUGUAAACAGGUACUUCAAGCUCUUGUGGUCAGUAUAGAUCUCACAAUGGGCACCAUAUAAGUAGGGCCUCCACAGCUUUAAGGCGAAAAUCACCGUCGCAAGCUCCAAAUCAUGGAUGGGGUAAUUCUUUUCAUAGCUCUUCAGCUGAUGGGAUGCAUAUGCGAUCACUUUCCCGUUUUGCAUCAACACACACCCCAAUCCAAGAUAGGAGGCAUCACUGUAGACUACAAAGUCUUCGCCCUGCACGGGUAGAGCGAGCACCGGAGUCGAAGUCAGUCUUUGCUUCAACUCUUUGAAACUCCGGUCACAUUCUUUGCUCCAAACAAACUGGGUGCCUUUUUGGGUUGGGCGGGUAAGUGGAAUCACUAUUUUGGAAAAGCCUUCCACAAACCGCCUAUAGUAGCCCGCCAAGCCCACGAAGCUUCGAACCUCCGUGACAUUCGUCGGACGCGGCCAAUCCCUGAUUGCCUCAACUUUUCUUGGGUCUACAGAAACUCCACCCGCGGAAAUCAUAUGCCCCAAGAAGGCGACCUCGCGAAGCCAAAAGUCACACUUCUUUAGCUUAGCAUAUAGCUUCUCCUCCCGAAGGACUUGAAGCACUAUUUUCAAAUGCUCGGCAUGUUCCUCGUCACUACGAGAAUAGACCAAUAUGUCGUCUAUGAAGACCACGACAAAUCGAUCCAAAUACUUCUUGAAGACACGGUUCAUUAAAUCCAUAAAUGCCGCUGGAGCAUUCGUGAGUCCAAAUGGCAUGACCGUGAAUUCGUAGUGUCCAUACCGCGUACGAAACACAGUUUUUUGCACAUCCUCCGGCUUAAUUUUCAAUUGGUGAUAGCCGGACUGCAAGUCUAUCUUCGAGUGUCACACACGACCCCUGCAAUUGAUCGAACGAGUCAUCGAUUCGGGGUAGUGGGUACUUAUUCUUGAUCGUGACCCUGUUCAAUUCUCGAUAAUCCAGAGUCGGAACGAUCCAUCCUUCUUCCGUACAAACAACACCGGGGCUCCCCACGGUGACACACUUGGCCGGAUAAAUUGCUUGUCGAGGAGGUCUUGCAGUUGACUCCUCAACUCUUUCAAUUCCGCCGGCGCCAUUCGUAACGGAGCCUUCGAGAUCGGUGUGGUACUGGGAACCAAGUCUAUGACGAACUCGAUCUCCCGAUCCGGUGGUAUCCCCGGCAACUCCGCAGGAAACACAUCCGGGAACUCCCGCACCACAGCUAACUUCUCUAAUGUUGGAGCUAUCUGUUCCACUUCCACAACAGUCGCCAAGAACGCCGUGCAACCGCUGUUGACUAAUUUCCUUGCUCUUGUCGCCGACACCGUCGCGACGAAGCACGAGCUUUGACAAGCCCGAUACGUGAACUCCUCUUGUCCUGGCUCACGGAAUGUGAUCACCCUGCUCUUGCAGUCGAUCGUCGCGUGAUACUUCGAGAGCCAGUCCAUGCCCAGAAUGAUAUCAUAAGCCUCAAGCUUUGUGAGUUCCAGCGUCCGGAUAGGCAUAAUCCAUUCGCCUAUUUGUACGGGACACGACGCACACUCCGAGUAAGUGUUAAACGUCGACCCAGGGCCCUCUACUCGCCACUUGUCACUCGCCUCAAUGAGAAUGCCAUGCAUGCGUGCGAAUGAUCUACUUAUGAAUGAAUGCGUGGCUCCUGUAUCAAAUAAAGCCCUGGAGCGAACUCCGUUAAUUAAAACCAUACCUGCCACAAGGCGAUGCUCCUCCGCCUCCGCAGGUUCCUCAGCUUGGACCUGAGCGGCGAACACCCGUCCGCUCGGGGCCGAUCGCGUCACUUCAGGUUGACGCGGCAUCAUCGCGCGUCCAGUCGACGCGGCCGUCGGUGGAGCUCCUCCAUAAUGAGCCGGGAUCGCCGGCGCCGAUGUAGUCGAGGGGGCAGGUGAGGCUCCUCCUCCUGGGCAAUCUCGAAUGAAGUGCCCCGGCUGCCCACACUUGUAGCACUUGCCUCAGCCUUGUUCACAGCGCGAGACCGGGUGGUCUCCGCCGCAUAUCAUGCAUCGCCGCACUCCACCGCUCUUCUGUUGAGUGCACGCAUACUUCGGGGGCUUCUUGUGACGUGUCUGUCCCCCCGAACUACCGCCACCUUGGCAUUUCUUGCCCUUGUCCUUAGACUCGGCCAAAGCCUCACGCUUCUCCCGAAUGUGGGCAUCUCCAUGCUCCGCCCAUAGGGCUCGAUCAAAGACCUCCGCAAAGGUCGUAAGCUUAAGUAUUUGCACGGCCUUGUAGAUCCCCGGCCGAAGUCCUCGCAAGAACCACUCGGCCCGGUUCCGGUCAUCCUUUACAACGUCCGGGACACAGUCAAUAACAUGGGAGAAUUCUUGUUCAUACUCCGCCACUGAGCGGUCCCCUUGUUCGAGCUUGCGGAACUUCUCCUUGAGCUUCCGCUUCAGUGCGUCGGAAAAAUAGUUGGCGAACAUCUCCCGCUUGAAUUCUUCCCACAGCAUCGGCGGAAGACUGCGAAGCCGAUCCCGUCUAACGCGCUCCCACCAAACCUUCGCCGCCUUCUCCAAGCAGUGGGUGGCGAGAUACACCUUGUCCCUCUCCAAGGUACGCAAGUCGUCGAAGAAGGUUUCCAUCGAGUCGAUCCAAGACUCGACCAUCUCCGGUUCCACCUUCUCGCCCUCAAAGGUUGGCGGAUGGAACUUGUUGAACUUGAUAAGAGCCGCCAACGCGCGCUCUCCCUCCACGUCUUCGGCCGUCACAUCGGGUGUAGCCGAUCCCGAUGCCGCCUGUGGUGCGAUCGCUGGCGGUGGGCGUGCCGUCACCGGAACCGCCGCUAUGCCCUCACCCUCUGCCGCUCUAAGUAUAUGAGUCGAGGGUGCGGGCGGACCACCGCCUUCAUUUGCCGUCGCAGCCGUCGCUGCGAUCUACCGCUCCAAUAGAUCCUGGAGCCGCUCGAAUCGGGUCUCCUAGCGCUGCACCAUGUUGGUCAGCGCGGUCACCUGCGCUUGCAACCGAUCGAUCACGCUCGGUUCCUCCUGCUUGGGCACCUCAGGAGUCGGUGCUGGGGCAGAUCUACGCGUGUAGCGUCUUGGAGACAUUAGUCCCUGAAACGCAAUUACUCGGUCAGUCACCUUAACCAAUUGCCUCGUUGCAAUUACGACACGUGACAACUCAACCACAAAAUCGGGCGGAAGCACACAAGUGCACUCGUUCUAGGCUCUUGGUAUCAUGUCGUCGGCCGCCGACACAACCACCUCAAGACGAGAACUCAUACAACUUGAAUCCGUCUCUAAUCACAACUAGAGACAUAUUACCACCUUCGAUCCAAUCGAAUCAACUUCCGCCAUCGCUACAGGUUCACGUUCCGCUCACGCACCUAUAACCUUAGGGCUUACCAACCUAGGGUCUCCUAGGUCAUCCUAGACUCUCUCUUUACUUGCUCUUAUUGCUCUGAUACCAAAACAGCUGUNAUAACCUUAGGGCUUACCAACCUAGGGUCUCCUAGGUCAUCCUAGACUCUCUCUUUACUUGCUCUUAUUGCUCUGAUACCAAAACAGCUGUCACGCCCUGCCCCGAAUCCACUACCAAUUUGGCACGGUUCAGCCACGGCGGUGGGCCGCCGAACGGACAGCACCUCCCAUGUCCACCGAAGGCUUAACUACAGGAAUGUGUACAAGAAUUUACCUAGAAAAAUUAAAUUCUAAGCAUACACAUUCACCGGGGCACGAGCAGUGCCGACAAUACGAGAGCAAGCAAUCCACAAGAUAAACAAGUGAAAUAAAGAGAGUACUUACUAACUAUUAUAAUAGUUCCAACAUUCUCAUUUACAUCAUUUUCUUUAAAUGAAUACAUUUUUCAUCCAAAAUACAUAGCUCUCCAAAUCCUCACCUACAAUGAAUCUCUCUCUCAAUACAUAGGUGACUAAUGCAAAAAGGAAAGCUACUAUACUACCAAAGUCUCACAGGUCGGGCGCGAUGCCCUUGCCGCGGUCCUCUCUCUGCAGCCCUGAACCUACCACUGGAAAUAGAGUAGAGUGGAACUAUCUUCCAUAAUUCCCAGUGGGCUCGGCCGCCGACUCUGCCGAUCUCCCCACUAGGUCCAAGUGGGCACAAGUAACAACAGAUAGAUAGAUAGAUAGAUAUGUAUCUGAAAGCUGUAAAUGCGAUAGUAGGAAAACUAUGCUACUAUGCCCAUAAUCAUGAAUAUGAAUGCAUGCAUCAUAUAAUAAAGGUUUGCUAUCAUGCUAACAAAUUCGAUCCAUGUUCGAAUAGCAAUGUUCAAAGACAUUAAUAAACCUUUAACCUUUCCAUUUACCCAAUCUGUGGCGAGGCCCUAGGGCUCACCUAUGACUCACCUUUCAAUCCCAAAGUGGGGAGGGAGCUCCAAGUGCACCCAAGCUGGGGACCGUCUGCGGACCUCCAUGUGGUCCGGACCUCCAAGUGGUCCUAGUUGCACGACACUCCGGAGUACUCGACGACCAUCCCCUCCAUGUGGGGAUUGGAUGGCUAUACCAUCCCAACGCAGACUGUGAGCUAGAUCUAUCCCCUCCAAGUGAAGAUACUCUACAGCUAGAGUCAAUACCCAAUCGAAUCCUCUCCAAGUGAGGGAGCACUAUCACUAGGGUCCACAACCCAAUCAAAUCCUCUCCAAGCGAGGGUGCCCUACCACUAGGGUCAACAUCUCUUGCGGAAUCAUUUGUUCCCAAUAUUCAUGCAAUGCUACUUAGCUUUUUCUAAAUUCAUUGUUCACAAGGCAUUUUCUAAGGGAUCCACCUAUCCCUAGGUCCAUCGACCUCUAGUGUCAUUUACACUAUAUUAAUGCCACUUGUCAUCAUUCAAUGUUUGGAUGCCACUCGUUUGUUCUUUAACAAUAACACUACUUUCUAUGUCAUCAACACCCCUAUCGGGUACAUCUCUUUUUUUUCCGCAUCAUAAGAUCCACAUUCCGACCCAAUCCUCACCUAUCUAAGUUACCAAGCGUUCCAAGUACACUAGGUUAUCAUUUAGAAAGCAUAAGGAAUGGUGCUACUAUGCAAUCCUACAAUACAACAUGAAGAGAUGAGAUUAUAUGCAAUCUAAGACAUAGAAAGGAGUUCGAAAGCUUCGGGAUGGCACCCCCCACCUUUAAUCGAUGUAGAGGCUUCGAAAAUCCUUCUCGGCGAACUUUACGAAAAGGCUUUAGUCUUCCUCGCCCGAAUCAACACUAGCCCGGCCUGAUUUUGCCGAGAACUUCACGUCGGUUCGCCGAAUGCCAAAAUUGACUUCGCCCCCGCGUUUUGUGACCUAUCAAUAGGGUUUCCAAGGCUUUAAAUGAGAUCAAUCUCAUACUUUUACAAAAGCCCAUUUUGGAGCCCUAGGUUUGCACCUAUAGUAAACCACCCAAUAAAUCCCUAGAUUCUUGGGAUUGAUCUAUUUAGAGGCUAGCUUAGGGUCCAUUUGACCCACUCCAAGGCGUAAAAACUCAAAACCCUAAGUUCUAGGAGGUAGGGUUUGAAGCUUACCUCUUAGGCUACACCAAUGAAGAGAAGAGAAGGAGAGGAAGAUGCUCCAAGCCUUCUUCUUCUUCUUCUCCUCCUCCUUCUUCUUCUUCUCCUACUUUUUCUUCUUCUCUUUCUUCUUCUCCUUCUUUGUUAUCUCUAGAGAGAGAGAGAGAGCAAGAGAGAGAGAGUGAGAGGGAGUGAAAUGAGAGAGUGUGAGGGAGAGAGAGGGCUCAGCCCACUCAAAUAAAAGCCAUUUUGCAUAAAAGCCCCUCAACUUUCACUCCUGUGCGCUGCCCUUACUGGGCAGUUCUCGCGCGGAGGGACCGGUCUCCCCGACUUGGGACCGGUCCCCGAGAGCUUCCCUCAGGCGCAAGCAUUCGGGAACCGGUCUCUCCCCGGGAGACCGGUCCUCGGGAGACCGGUUCUCACCUGAGAGACAGGUCCUCGAGAGCUCGAUUUUCAGGACUUAGCCAAUUUUUGGCAUUUCUCGCUGGGACCACGUUCGGGAACCGGUCCCUCCCUACCAGGGACCGGUUGCACCAAGCAACCCCGCUACACCCAGCCGAGGGAACCGGUCUCUCACUUGCAGAGACCGGUCCCCGAGAGCAACAUCAGCUCAAUGAUGCAGUUUGCCUCAUUUGCUCUCGCGGACUCAACUCCAAAGCACUUUUUGUGUUUUGGACAUUCUCAACUCCCACAAAGGGCGUUCUCUCGACAAUCAGUCGAUCCUGGAUGAAGUACAAUCCUCGGAUUUCGAGAAUUCACUUCCUUAUAGUAGGAAUGAUGCUAGUUAAAAGCAUGAGAUAAAUGACAUUUGCAUGUUAACAUAAAGUAGAGAACAUGCUAGUUGUAAUGUAAAGAAUGCUAAAUAAAUGCUAGAAUCUAUGCAUUGGUUAAUGUUAGUUGAAUGCAUGUCAUGGAAAUGCUAAAUGUAAGCAUGUGGCUAAUGCUAAGAUAUACGUGAUAAUCAUGUUGUAGAGAUACUAAUGUUAACUAAAGGAUAUGGGCAUGUGGACAUAUAUAUAUGCACAUAGAUCAAGUGGCAUUGAACAUAGUGUUUUGAACAUAGGUUAAAUAUGGAUGAUAUUGAACCUAGUGUGAAUAAACAUAGGUUGGACAUCAAGUGGCAUCGAACCUUGUGUGAAUAAACAUAUGUUGGACAUCAAGUGGCAUGAACCUAGUGUUAAAGAAUAUAGUUCGGACAUGAACCUAGUGUUAAAGAACAUAGGUUGGACAUGAACCUAGUGUUAAAGAACAUAGGUUGGACAUGAACCUAGUGUUAAAGAACAUAGGUGGAGAAUGAACCUAGAGGUAAUUAAAUCUAGGUGAGUGGCAUUAACCUUGUGUCGUGAACAUAGGUUGUGAACUAAAUCUAGAGUCAAGUAAACCUAUGUUAUGGCAAGUGUGGCCUAGAGAGUGGCAUAUGUGACAAGGUAGGACCUGGUUAUGUCAUUGUGGCUAUAUAUUCCCGAAUUGGGAAUUGGAUCAUACUCACACUGGUUCCGGCUUGAGGGAGGUAGCUCCUCCUCAAGCGGUGUACUCCGGAGUGUAGACACCACGGGGAGAGUACCCCGGCGAAGAUCCCUCGGGUGGUAGUGCGAAGUGCCUCCCCCGGUAGACGGGAUAUAUGGAUUGUGAGUUUGGGGUAACAAGUGUUAACCGAGAUAAUUGGGUAAAGGCCAAAGUGAAUGUGUGAAAGCAUGCAUUAUGAGCUAUGGAUUUGGUAUUCCAGUUGAGUGGAUUUAUGGCUGAGGUGCAUGUGAGACGUCCUUCACCUCGAGCCUGGAUGCAUGCGGUAUUCCGCAGAUGAUUGACUCGAAACCGAGUUGGGUGGUUAGCUUGGCUAGGGUAAAGGAAAACCUUAGGAGCAAAUAACCAACGAUGUAAACUGACAAGAGGUAUAAGUUAUGAAAAAGCUAUGGAUAGCAUGAUAGCAAGUUAAAUCAUUUAUUCUACUUGUAUAGUUGCAUGAUUCGUAUAUAGCAUGACAUUAUUGCAUUCGUGAGGCAAAGCAUGGUUUUAUUAGUUGCAUAGUCAAGAUAUAUAUCUAUCUGUUCAUUGAACUAACCUGUGUUAAGGAUUUUAUAGGUUGGCGAAUUUCGUAAUGUUGAAUGGAGUCUUGAAGAGUUGAUCGCGGAAGUUUUUGAAGAAAAGAUUCAAAUUGAAGUACAAAGAUUCAUUCGUAAAGUUCGACAUUUAAGGUAUGAAGAAAAGAUCAUUUGUGGUGAAGAUACUUAAUUAGAAUAAGUUCAGAAGGCUUAGAUUACUUUAAAACUAUUUUACUGAACUUUUCUAUGUUCUGGGACCGGUCCCUGAGUUCAAGAGACCGGUUCCCCUAAGGUCCUCACUGCGUGAGCUUUGAUGCAACCGGUCCCCUGAGAUGAGAGACCGGUUCCCGAACCUUGGUAAUUCUGUCGCGCAGCGAGGGACCGGUCUCAAGCUUGAGAGACCGGUUCCCGAACGUUGUGAUUUUGGUCACGCAGCGAGGGGCCGGUUCCUCACUUGAGAGACCGGUCUCUCACAGACCGGUCUCCUCGAGAGGACCGGUCCCUGAGGACGACACAGGUUUUUAAAAAAGGACUCUUUGCAAUCCUAGUCUACUUCUAAAUCUUCUAAACAUAUAAAUAAGCCAUGGGGGUCAUCUAAAAGGUAGAGGCUUUGAAUUUCUACUUAUUCUAAACCCUAGAAACUUGUUUUUCCCGUUCAUAUGGUUUGAUUCUAAUAACAAGUUUCUAACAAUCAAUAAUCGACUUGAUUCUUCGUUUUUACUCGAGAACUCAUACGAGAAUCAAGUAGAUGUUUGAUGAAAGGUAGACCCUCAGUGCUUAUGGGAUUCUAAAGCUUAAUCACCACAAAUCUUCGAUUCAACAAGCUCCGGAAGGAGAUUCGGCGCGUGGAGCUCGUGUGUAGCCGAGAAUUCGGUGGACGCUUCGAGGGGUUGAGGCGUUGACGCUGCGAGGAGUUGCAGUGAGAUCGAUUGGUGGAUUCCCAUCGAUCAAGGACCGGUGAAGAUCGCUAUCUACGGAAAAUCGGUAAAUUGAGUCGUGUAUUUUUGUCAAAAUCACUUGUACUCAAGUUUUCUUAGUGGAUUUUCUUCGCGUGAUCGGUCCCGUGGGUUUUUCACUCCGAAUUGGAGUUUUUCCAUGUUAAAUUCUCGGUGUGCUGUUUUAUUUUCCGCUACUGUGUUUUAUUUGCAUCGAGACUUUCGAGUUUGCCGUUUUUACACCUAUUCACCCCCCUCUAGGUGUUACUUACCUUUUAGAUCCUCGGGAUCCAUAUCUUACAACCUGUUGUUGCCUCCUUUGGACCUAUUGGUCGAGCUUUUUCCUUGGGUGGCCGUACCCACUGGGAACCAUGGAGUUGGUUCUCACCCCACGUUGUUUUGGGGUGUUACAGGUUCACACGUGAGCGGCGCGGCGGCGCGAGGCGAGGGCGUAGCUCCGUAGUUAGCGCCCUACUACCGAGACUAGAGUUAGCGGUACCCUGAGUCAGCUACUUAAGGAUGUAAGAAAAUAAAAGGAAUAAGAUUGUAAUAAUUUGUAAUAAAAGUAUGAUUGUAUUUGGAAGUUAAAUGUAAUAUGUAAUUAUGAUGUAAAAUGUAUCUAGUGAAUGUGAAUGCUUGUAAUAACAAGUAGAUUAUGUUUUUGAUACUUCCUUAUGCAAUCUUUAAUUGAAAUGUGUUCCUAGUUGGAACUUCGUACAUCGUAUUGAUUGCGACGCCUUGAAUGUACAGGGGAGACUCUGUCCGCAGUACAGGGGAAACCCUGUCCGUUCGGCGGUCUGUCAGCGGCGCCGCGACACGGCCAAAUAGGCGGGUGGUCGCGAGUUGUGACACCUUAUCUACACCUAUAUCAAGCAUUCCACUCCUACUAUGAUAUCAUCUAGGAAAGCAUAAGGAAAUGACAAUGCACAUUUAUCCUACAAUGCAUAUAUGCAAGAGAUGCUAGAUUAUAAUGCACUAAGACAUACAAAGGAGCCCGGUUGCUUCGGGAUGACACCACCCACCUUCUGGCGUUGUCACAACUCUAGGAAUGACGUUUGGCGAUUUUACGACGUCGUCUCGGCCUCCCAGGCGUAAACGAAACUCAGAAGGUCCUUUCCGCCAAUAACUUUGCACCCGUUCGAUGAAUUGUCGAACUGUCUUCGCCAACGCGUUUAAACACCUAGCAAUUAGGUUUACACAUGAUCAAUUUAGAUCAAUACCCAACAAAUCACAAAACUCCCAUUUUGGAGCCCUAACUUGCAAUCAUACAAGAAUCUAUCUCUAAAUCCUCAAAUUCAUACAUUAAACACUUGUUAAGCAUGCUAGAGUUCCAACUAAAUCAAUUCUAGAGUAUGAAAUCCAAACCCUAGAAGUUCACCAUUAUUGAGCUUCAAGCUUAUCUCCAAAAGCUUGCUACAAGCUUGAGAGAAAGAAGAAGAUGACAAAGAUCCUUCUCUUUGCAUGCUUGUCCACCAAAAUCCAUCUCUUCUUCACCUUCUAGAGAGAGAGGGAGAGAGUUUAGAGAGAGAGAGAGUUAUUAGGUUUAGGUUGAGGGAAAUGAGGGAAGAGAGAGUGAAACAACUCUCAUAUAACCCCUCAUGUGUAACAAUGCCAAAAACCCCCUCAACCUGCCAAAUACUACACAGCCCCCUCAGGGCAAUUUUGGGCUAUGGGGACCGGUCUCUCUAAGAGGGACCGGUCCCCGAGAGUGUCUUAUUUAUAGAAAAGGGCCUUUGUCCCCUUUUCCACGCUCACGGGGACCGGUCUCUCCAACGAGGGACCGGUCCCCGAGAGCUCACUCUCGCAAGAGGGCCCCCUUGCUCAAUUCGCAUACCUACGGGGACCGGUCUCUCUCGCCAGGGAUCGGUCCUUGAGAGCAAAUUUUGUGCGCAGAGCCUUUUGCCACAUUUUCCAAGCUACGGGGACCGGUCUCUCCCGCCAGGGACCGGUCCCCGAGAGCAAAAAUUUUGCACUUUGCAGAAUCUUCACAACUCGCUCUCGGAGACCUUCUCCAACGCACUUUUGGCCUUCUUGAUGCCUUCGGACUUUCCGAAGCACACCAAGUCGACAAUCAGUCGAUUUUCAUCGAAGUCCAACUCUUGCAUUUAGAGAAUUCACUCCCUUACAACUACAUACAAUCACACAACCACACAUGAUAUUUGAUUACAUUUAAACCAAAUACAAGUGAACUAAAUAUAUUACAUCCAUUUCAUUUUCCUUCAUACAUGUACAUACAUCGCAUAAGUCAUCUAACCAAAACCUAUGGAUUUACAAUUCUUUUUAUACAUCACUUGUUCAACAUACAAAAGUUGAAUGUACACAUGGUAUGUCACGCCCCGCCUUGAAACCCCUACCAAUUUGGCACGGUUCGGGCGCGGCGAACGGACAGCACCUCCCCUGUCCGCCCAAGGCUCAACAACAGAUCGAGUACAAGAAUUUACCCAGGAUUUUAAAUUCUAUAAGUACACAAUCAAUGGGGCACAAAUAGUGCCAACAACAAAGAGCAAAUAAUCCACAAGAUACAUAAGUGAAAUAAAGAGAGAACUUACCAACUAUUACAUCACAUUUGCAUUUUGUAUACAAUUACAUUCUUUUCCUCAAAAUGAAUACAUGCUCAUCAAGUACAUAGCUCUCCAAAGUCCUCACCUAUAUGAAUCUCUCUCAAAUACAUAGGUGUGCUAAUGCAAAAGGAAAGCUACUACUCUACCAAUAAUCCUCACUGGUCGGGCGCGAUGCCCUUGUCGCGGUCCUCGCCCGGCAAACCUGUACCUAGCCCUGGAAAUAGAGUGGGGUGAGAACUAUCUUCCAUAGUUCCCAGUGGGCUCGACCGCUGACUCCGCUGAUCUCCCCACUAGGUCCCAAGUGGGCAAAAGUAACAACGAAACAGAUAGAUAUAUAUAUAUCAAAGCUGUAAAGACAUAAUAGGAAAACUAUGCUACUAUGCCCAUAAUUAUGUGAAAUGAAUGCAUGCAUCAUUUAGUAAAAGUUUACUAUCAUGCUAACAAGUUCGAUCCAUGUUCGAUAAGCAAUAUUCGAUGACAAUAUUAACUUUUCAUUUACCGAAUCUGUGGCAAAACCCUUGGGUUUGCCUACGCCUCACAUAUCCAUCCCAUUGGGUAUGGAGGCUCCAUGUGCCCCCGAACCCGGGACUGUCUGCGGACAACUCUGUCCUGAUCGCCCGACACUCUGGAGUACUCGACGACAAUCCUCUCCAUGUGAGGAUAUGGAUGGCUUUACCAUCCCGAAUAACAGACCGUGAGCUUGAUCUAUCCUCUUCACGUGAGGAUACCCUACGAACUAGGGCCAACAUUUCUCUCGGAACUCACCUAUUUCGACAUUCAUGCAUAGUUACUUAGCUCUACUAAGUUCAUUGUUCACGAGUCAUUUUCUAGGGAAUCCACCUAUCUCUAAGUUCACGAACCUCUAGUAUCAAAUACACUACAUAAUGCCAUUCGUUCUGUUCUUUAAACAUUUAGAUGCCACUCUCUAUGUCACUAAAUAACCAUCGAGUUCAUCUCUUUCCUUUAGCACUAUAGGAUCCUGUUCCGACCCAAUCCUUACCUAUCCACUUCACCAAGUAUUCCAUGUAUACUAGGUUAACAUUUAAAAGCAUAAGGAAAAGGUACUACUAUGCAAUCCUACAAUGCAACAUGCAAGAGAUGUGUAACACACUGGACCUUUGCAAAUUGUGAGGUUCGAGUGUUUGAACUGUGUUCUAAGUUUUUCCAGAUUUUCUGGUGGGUCAUUGACAGUGUUCCGACCUAUGGCUCGUAUCCCGAAAUUUGUAGUAUGUUAUGUAGCGCUAAGGUCACCAAAGAGAUGAGCUUAGACUACCCUCGGAUUGCACUCUGCACACUGUGUAACCGAUGACAGGUCGAUAGCUGUACCGGUACAGAUUUUGUACCGGUACACGUUAAUGGUUGUACCGGUACACUUGUGCCGAAUUUCAAACCCAAGCCUCGGGUUUGCCAUUUUUGUGGGAUUUGUAUCGGUACACUUUCCCGUGUACCGGUACACUUUGGCUGAAUCUGAACAGGUUGAACUGCAGGGGUGUUUUUGCGAUUAUGGCCUUCUAUAUCAUCACCCACGCCCCUAGAGCUGUUCCUUGAGCUUGGAACAGCAGGGAGAAAGGUGAGGGAGCUCUCCACACCUCCCCAUUCACUUCUUUGAUUUUUCUUGGAUUUUAAGAGAUUAAACACCUCUUUUGCUCAUUUUUGGCUUGUUGGAGGCUUUUCUACCUUGGUAGAGGCUUGGAGCUUGGACUUGGGGCUUGCUUGAGGGAAGAUCCUUGAACCUUGAGAACUUUGAUCCUUGUUUGAAGCUUCAUAGAGGUUAGCAUCUUAUUCUUUCCCUCUAGAUUUGGUUUUUGGAGGUUUUCUUGAGAUGAAACCCUAGAAAUGGAAACUUAGGGUUUAUUUGGGGCUUUUUGAUUUGAAGCUUUUAGAGCUCAUCUAAUUGGAUUAGAAUCUUGAUUUAGGUUGCUUUGGAAGGAAUUUAGCUUUUAUUUGGGAUUUUAAAGGAGAUUUCUACACUAUAGAUGAGUUUUUGCCCCUUUGCUAGAAUUGGUUAAUGUUAGAGCCUAGGGCUUUUCGUAACGUACGUGUAUCUCUUUUCUUGUGACCUUUAGGGUACUAGGAGAAUUGUGAACAACUCCGUUCGGCAAAACGAAGGAGUUUUAGCGGUGCUCUAUGGGUUUGACCUCACCUAAGAAUGAGAAAAUCUCAUUUUUUGUGGAUUUAUGUAUCGUAAAAUAGAAAAUCAUGCAUUUUCAUGUUAGAUGUAUUAUUUAUGAAUUUUAGAAUGCUUAAAAUGCUUAUGUUGUAUACAAUACAUUUUUGAACCUCUAUGUAGUAGAGAGCUUGCAUGUGAGACUUUUGCAUGAGUUUAGCAUUCGUAUUUGGGACUUAGAAUUGUGUUUCAUAUAGUGAAAUAACAAUGAUUAUAUAUACCCUUGGUCAUAUGAGGAAAUAUUAGGCCAUGAAGUGGCUUGGAACUUGAAUGUCAUGUGAAUUAGUAAGCUAAUGUCAUAAAGAGACAUUGAACUUGGGCUAUAUGUGAACCUAGUAGAUAAUGUCAUAAAGGGGCAUUAGAUUAGAGUGGUUUGUGAAUUAGUAAGCUAAUGUCAUAAAGGGGCAUUAAGCUUGGAAUAUGUGUGGACUUAGUAAACCUAAUGUCGUGAAGUGGCAUUAGUGUUGAACCGAGAUUUGGGCAUAGUGAGAUGUAAUGCCAUAAAGGGGCAUUGGACAUAAUGAACGGUUAAACCUUCACGUUGGACAUUGUACUAGACUGAUGGGUUGCUAGUGACUGUUACCAUGUUAGAGACAUGAUGAUUGGACAUUUGAGACGAUGACUAUGCUUGCUUGCCAUUUGUGCUCAUCCACACAUGCUUGUGAGGGUUGCUCCCUACAAGUCGGCACUCCGGAGUUAGCCUAUGCGACUUAUGUUCGCUCGUGCGGUAUUGAGAAGCCUACGGGGCUGGGUGGGACAGACUCAUUCCUCGAGUGGGAAUGUUGGCUACCACAGGCACUUAGGUGGCACAAGCCGGACUACCUUGGGUAGGUCCUUAAUGAGAAAUGGAAAUCGACAUGGAGUCGCAUAAGUAAAAAUCACUACUAAAUAGAUUAUAGUAGUUGGGUUUCUUGGACAUGCUUAUAGCAUAGGUUUGGACUUAUAGUAUACUUGAUUAUAGCGCUCUUUACACUUUAGUAUACUUGCUUGUCAUGUGGGAUCACACUAGUUUUGUUUUGGGCAUAUUUGAGCAUGAUAGAAUCUGUGUACUACACAUUGCUAUCAUAGUGUAGUUUAUUUUUAGCAUUCAAUACAUGCUUUCAUAUCUGCAGUUUAAUUCCAGUUGUUUAUCAUAUUUACCGUACUCUUUGGGCCUAGUGGCGCAAUGUGUUGGGGUCAGUAAUUGCCCACUGGGACUAUAAAUUAUAGUUCUCACGCCCCCUGUUUCUUAUUUCCUUACAGAGCCUUCCACACCGGGCAAGGCUAGGGACCGCGGAAAGGGCAUCGCCUCGAGCUAACUCUUUUGCGAAGGUCGUAUCGAUAGCUGGUCUACCUCUUAUUGGUUUCUUUUUUGAAGAGGUUGAGAGUUGUACCAUGUAUAGAGACCACCCAUUUUGUAUUUUGAGACAGAUGUUGUACUUACCUUAUGUUUUAUUAGUGGAUCAGUUUACUAUUCUCUACUUGUUGUUAGUAUGUAGCUGCUAGUUGCUAUGAUAUCUAUAGUUGUCUUACUUUUUCUUGCUUUUAUAUCUCUAUUGUUGUAGACGCCUUAUAUGUGCAGGCAUAUGGCGGGUCUGGGCACGCACCGGGCGGGCCUAUGCCUGGUCCCGGGGCGUGACAAGAUGAAAAUCAUGUAUUUCUAAGAUAUAGAAAAGAGUUCGGUUGCUUCGGGAUGACACCCCCCACCUUUUGAGGUAUGAAGGUUCUAGAAACGCUUCCCAACGAACGUUACGACGAUGUCUCGGCCUCCUUGGUCCAAAACGGUGCUCAAUCGGCUAUAUUUUGCCGAUAGCUUUUCACCCGCUCGACGAAUCGAAAAUCCGACUUCGCCCCCGCGUUUAGACACCUAUAAAUUAGGUUCACAAGCCAUCAAAUGAGAUCAAUCUCAUCAUUUAUCAAAAACCUCCAUUUGGGUGCCCUGGGGUUCACAUCUUGCAAUUAGCACUAUAGAACCCUAGCUUCUAGCUCUAUUCCACCAUUAAUGGUACUAGAGGUCCAUUUGACCUCCUCUCAAAAGCCAAAAAUCCAAAAAUCCUAAGUUCUACCAUUAGGGUUCAAGAGCUUACCUCUAGGUUAGCUCCAAUGGAGAGGAGAGGAAGAGGAGAAGAUGCUCCAAGCCUUCCCUAGCUUGCUCUCCUUCUUCUUCUUCUCUUUCCUUUCUCCUUCUUAUUCUUCUCUUUCUUUUCUUCUCUUUUCUUUCUUUCUAGAGAGAGAGGGAGAGAGAGAGGGAUGAGAGUUUGGAGGGAAAUGAGAGAGGGAGAGAGAGCCCUUUGCUCUCUAUACUCUCUAACUAAGGCAUAAUUGCAGCCAAGCCCCUCAAUUUUUUAUUUCUCAAACUGCUCUACCUGGGCAGUUUUCGUGCGGAGGAACCGGUCCUCCCGAUGAGGGACCAGUCCCUGAGAGCCUUCUACCUGGUUACGCUUACGAGAACCGGUCCCUCUGGCCAGGGAACUGGUUGCAUCGGCUGUCCACCGCAACCUCAGCUACGGGGACCGGCCCUUCCCUGCCAGGGACCGGUCCCCGAGAGCAACUCAACGCAAACCCCUUCUCUGCCAGCAUUCUUGCUUACGGGAACCGGUCCCUACCACCAGGGACCGGUCCCCGAGAGCAGAACCUGCCAAAUGCAUAGUUUUGCAUCUUUGCUCUCGCGGACUCGACUCCAAAGCACUUUUUGUGUUUUGGACAUCUCUAGCUUCUGUGAAGCCUACUCACUCGACAAUUAGUUGAUCCUGGAUGAAGUCCAACUCUCGAAUUUCGAGAAUUCACUUUCUUACAUGGUAUGACUAAACACCGGUGGCCGCUAUCUAUGGUGCAAUACCCUUGCCUCGAUCCUCCGCCGCCCCGCUCGCGCUAGGAUCUGCAGGGUUAGUGGUGUGAGAACUAAAAAAAAUUCCCAAUUGGUUCGGUUGCCUACCUAGCCGACUCGCCCACUAGGUCUAUUCAGGCA